AGAUAAGUUAGUCUGUCCAAAUUUCCUAUUGAUGGAUGGAUCUCCUUCAGACUUGAGCAAUUCUCAAGCAGCAAAGUCUCGAGACUUCGUGAACCGUUUGAAGUUUUGGAGUUUUUCUGAGGCGCUUGCAAUCAGAGAGAUCCAGCAUUUUCAAAUUUCUACAACACUAAAAGUAAACAAAAUAUUGUUUCAAUUAAGAUUUUCUUUCUCUUAAACAUUACACAUAAAAUUGCAGAAUUGAGUAACGAACCUGCAAAUUCAAACCAAAUUCUUGGAUAUUGCUCCCUUUCAUAUUCAGAAAUACAAGUUUAUCAGAUGGAAAAUUUGAUGGUAUACAUUUUUAAAGGACAUCCUUUCCAAGACAGCCAUCUGAGCUCCUUGGACAAUAGCUCAAAAUCUCCACUAAUACGUAAGUCGUCGAUUUUAAGCACCCUAAGAUUUAUCAUUUUCUGAAAUGCUUUGGUGUUCAGCUUCACACCCUUUAAUGCAUGUCGUUCUACCACCAAUAUUUCUACAUUUUCAGAACCCUACAGUUUAGUAAGAAGAAAAGUACUAUAAGACCAUGUUAAGUAUGAUAAAUUAAGAAAGAGAAAUGCUUUAUACAAAUUGAAGGUCAAACAAAGAGAAUAAAUUAUGUACCAAUAAAAAUAAAUUUACACAUUAUAUCCAACUAAAGGAUAUUUAUUUGAUAAUUUUGUCUUUGAUAGUUUGUUUAGACUUCAGUAAAUGUUCAUUUCAAGUACAGAAUGGUUCAAACGUCUAAAGAUACUUACUAGCCGGAGAAGAUUUAAGCACAAAUGCAUAAAUUAUAAGCAAAUGUAUAUCAAUAUAAAAGAAAAAAAGAAGAAGAAGUAUAACCAAGAUAAAGAUAAUGAAAUUUACUGACUUUAUUUCCUUGUAGAACAUCAAUGACUUCUUGAGGGUUGAACAAUCUACUCCGUUUUCCAGGGUCUUGAGAUUCCAUGCGAACGAUUUCUCUUCCCAUUUCCUGCACUAGAUCAUGCAUCACCAAACUAUGCCGAUCCCUUUGGAGCAAGUUCCUUUGGACUAAGGUUGAAAUUGCACUUUCAGAAUAAAAACCACACGCAUUUAAUGUUUUGGUAACUUCAUCCUCAUACCAACCAUGGAAGGCACAUGCGAUAUCAAGGAAAACACUCUGAGUAUUGACAUCAAGUCCAUCAAAGCUUAUCUUGAGAAUCUUUUGAAUACCACCAUGAGGAAUUGCUUUUAGUUUUUUGAACUCGUAUCUCCAUUCUUUAACGGAUCUCCCUUGCAGAUGCGACCCCAAUGUCACAAGAGCUAAUGGUAGCCCGCAUGAAUAUUUUAUUAUGUCUUGUGCCAGAUCAACAUAUUCUUGUGGUGGAGAAAAACAGUUAAAAGCAUGACAAGAAAAAAGUUGUUGUGCUUCAUUGUCAUUUAAAAGUUUGGCCUGGUAUAGCUCACUUGUUGUAAGCCCAUAUAGCAAAUGCCCAUCUCGGGUUGUAAUAAUUACUACACUACCAAAGCCAAACCAACUUCUUUCUCUUGUUAAGGAUUCUAAUUGGCCUCUAUGAUCCACGUCAUCAAGAACAAUUAGAACCUUCUGAGACCCAAGUCUUGCUUUGAUGAGAUUAACACCUUCAGCAACACUAUCAACUUCAAAUUCCUUAGUUUUGAGGAUUUGAUUAAGUAGUUUCUCUUGAAGCUUGACUAGACCCGAUUCAUCGGUUUUUGAUCUAAUGUCAGAAAGGAAGCAACUACCAUCAAACUGUUGAAAUAUUUGAUUAUAGAUAGCUUUUGCCAAAGUUGUUUUUCCAAUUCCACCAACUCCACAUAUACCAACCAUGCGAACUUCAUGCUCACAUCCACUUUGCAGUAACACCUCUAUAUGUUUGAUAGGAGAAUCUAAUCCAAUUGGGUAAUGAGCAACAUCUAGAGGUGUCUGGUUAACCUCUUGCAGAACUUGUUUUAUAAUACUCUCAAUAAACUUUGAUUCAUGCCUACAGUUUUUGGAACAAUAAAUACUUGAGUAUUUUAAAAUAUUUGAUGAACAAAAUAAAAAUCAAUAGCCAAAAGAUAACAGAGUUUAUAGAAUGGAGAAUAUAUUCCUUGUCCCUAUCUAUAUAAAACAGUUUGAUUUGACAUAGAAUUUAAAAACUAUAGAAAUAUUUUGAAAUUUUCCAUAAUUAACCAACUUAUAAGAUUAGGCAAACGCUUAAAUUCAAAAUCUUAUAGUUGAAUUAAGAAGUCUUACCCAUCAGCAAUAUUUCUCAAAUUCCAUCCAGAUAAAUUUGCUGCUUCAGUAAGUGCAGCUUUCCACUUUUCCAUUCUUUCAGCUCCAACCAAUCGUUCCUUGUGUUUUCCAAAGCUUCGUCAAAGGAUCCAGUUUGCCUUCGCACUUGAGAAGGAUCAACAUCAUAGAAAAUAGGCAAAACUACCUGAUUUUAACCUCUCUUUGCAAUCGAGAAUUUUGACAAGUUCAUCAAGACACCAACUAGACGAAGCAUAAUUUUUGGAGAAAACAACAAUGGCAAUUCUAGAUUGUUCAAUUGCUUUGUCAAGUUUGUUUGAAAUGACGUCUCCCUUUCUCAAUUCCUCAUCAUCUAUGAAAGUAUUAACUCCGACUUGACACAAUCGAAAAUAAAAAUGACCUGUGAAGUUUUUGCGAGUAUCUUCACCUCUAAAACUCAGAAACACAUCAUAAGAGAAGUUGGAAGAAGAAGAUGAUUCUCCUUGAGUAUUCAUAUUUGAUGACAAUAUAUGGAAUAAUUAGGCGAUUUUUAGUUGAAUGAAAGAAAGAUGAGUGAAGCAGCUACAGGUAAUAAUUUGUUCCUGGAAACCCAAUUUUGGGUCAACUCAUUUACAAUCCCUAAAAAAGUUAAUCCCUAGAUAGUUCACGUGUCUAUAUUUUAAAAGUAGAUAUAUUGACAUAAAUUUAGAUGGUAAAAAGUACUCCUUUUCUCUUUAAUUAUUUCUUCAUUUUUAAUUUGAUAGACCUAUUAAGAAAACUGUAACUUGCAUCUAGUUAAAAAGAAUGUUGAAAUAUUGAGUUUUAUGAAUUUGAUUUUAUUUUACUUUCUACAAAAGUUGUGUGAUCAUUUGGUAAUGGCCAUUACUAUUGCUCAAAGUUUUUAAACAUGAAAUAUAACUAAUACGAUAAUAAUUUUAAUAUAGCUUACUAAAAUAUUCAAGAUAAUAAAUGGAGAUGAUUAAAGUUUUUGGUCAAAAUCAUCCUCAAACUAUAGUCUAGAUUUUGGAUACAUCCUUGCAUUAUUAUACUGAACGAAAAACAUCAUUCAUCUAUCUAAAAAGUUUCAAUAGUCAUCCUUCUGUUAAUUUUUGUCAAAAACUACCGUCAAAACAUGUGUCAAGCAUGUGGCUUUUCCUCUAAAUCUCCUAAUUUUAAUCGUCUUCUGCACUAUAUUUUGAGCUAUUGUACACUCCCUCCGAUCAUGUCUCCUCGAGAAGUACUUGUUAAAUUAUUCUAUUGUAUCUUAUAUUAACUUUAAUCAAGUAAAUUAUUACAAAGUAAGAUAUCAACUUAGAACAUGUUUUAACUGUAACUGUUAGAGGUCGUUUGGUAGAGUGUAUUAGGAAAAAUAACGCAUGCAUUAGCAUUGUGUAUUACUAGUACCUUGUUUGGUACUCUUUUCCAACCUAUGUAUAACUAAUGCUUGCAUUAGUUAUACACUCUGAUCUAUUGUGUAUUAAGGUGUGUAUUGCUAAUACCAUGGAUUUCUAGGUAUUAGCAAUGCAAUGGUUUUAAUGCAUGCAUUAGAUUAACUAAUGACAAAACUACCCUCUAAGCCUAAUAAUAAUAAUAAUAAUAAUUAUAAUAAUAAUAAUAAUUAUAAUAAUAAUAAUAAUUAUAAUAAUAAUAAUAAUUAUAAUAAUAAUAAUAAUUAUAAUAAUAAUAAUAAUUAUAAUAAUAAUAAUAAUUAUAAUAAUAAUAAUAAUUAUAAUAAUAAUAAUAAUUAUAAUAAUAAUAAUAAUUAUAAUAAUAAUAAUAAUUAUAAUAAUAAUAAUAAUUAUAAUAAUAAUAAUAAUUAUAAUAAUAAUAAUAAUUAUAAUAAUAAUAAUAAUUAUAAUAAUAAUAAUAAUUAUAAUAAUAAUAAUAAUUAUAAUAAUAAUAAUAAUUAUAAUAAUAAUAAUAAUUAUAAUAAUAAUAAUAAUUAUAAUAAUAAUAAUAAUUAUAAUAAUAAUAAUAAUUAUAAUAAUAAUAAUAAUUAUAAUAAUAAUAAUAAUUAUAAUAAUAAUAAUAAUUAUAAUAAUAAUAAUAAUUAUAAUAAUAAUAAUAAUUAUAAUAAUAAUAAUAAUUAUAAUAAUAAUAAUAAUUAUAAGUUGAAGAUAAACUAACAGAAGGAUGAGUAUGCAAUUUUUGGGUAAGAUAGAGGGAUGUUUCUUAUCCAUGAUUAUAUUAGAAUGAUGUACUUUAGAUUUGUGCCAUAGUUGAGAGAUGAUUUCAGUUAAAAAUUUAAAAUACUUUAAUUAAAAUUAAUACGAUUUCUUACCUACUUCCUAAUUGGGAACUUUGUAUUUAUGAUAAAGAAGUAUAAAAAAAUUAUCCCGAACCCAACCAAUAAAUGUUUUUUUAUAAAAUUUAGAACCUAUAGUUUUUUAAUCUUCCAGGGUCCCAUUUUUCUAUGGAUUGAAUCAUCAUAAUAUUUUAUGACAAAAUACUGUAAAAUGGUGUAUGAUUGUAUGGCAUAUAUACCAUUUGUAUAUUCCCCAAAAUCAAUGAUAACCAUUUGUCUCUAACUUUAAUUUUGAAUUGUACUAAUUGAAUAUAUUAAUUGUACAAUACACAUUUAUUUAGUUCAAAGAUUUCCUCUUUGUACUUUAAGCUUCGGAAUGUAUUGUUUUCCUCAUUUUAUGAAGUGUUAUUAGAAAAAAAAAAAAAAAAAGCAUAAUACAUAAACAUGUGAUAUUUAAAUUUGGUCUUAGUUAAAUUAUCCAAUUUAUAAAAUGAUCAUUUAGACUCUUCCAAAAAUUAUUUGUUACGUUAAUGUAGGAUGUCCAUGAGAUACAUUGAGGCCAAGUUGGAGUGUUUAGUUGUUAGUUGAUAGCAAGUUAAAAUAUCUAGACUUGCACUUUCAAAGUUAGAGACUGAUUUUAUGUUGUUUUUUAUUUGUGUGUCUAAUUAUGAUGUUUUAUUCAUAUGGUUUUGAUUUGUGAAUGAAUUUUGAUUUUGCUCAUGUUAUUGUUGAUGGAUUCAUUUUCAGUCACUACUUAAUUAGUUACUAGAUGUGGAUUAAGAUUUUGAGUUUGUAAAUUCUAGAUCACAAUCGAUCUUUUUUGAAGUUUGUUGGAAUGUCAUAACAUAAAUACAUGAUUUGAAUCAAAGUUAUUGAGUUUGAUCAAACCCGUAGAUCCUAUACACGGUGGAUGAGAGAAUUAGAAAUAAUUGGACAAAAUUCAUUUAGGAGUCAUUUGCAAAUGAGAUUGUAUUUGGAUGAGAAUUUUGAAUAUAUUACAUGUUGAUAGUAGUGUCUGAGGUGUUAUAUACAAAUACUUUUAGAACAAACUUUUUUCUUACAUAACGAACACAAAAAGCAAGUAAGAAACUGUAACAUCCGGUAAUUUGAAAUAACUAUGAAGAAGCUUGAAAUUGGAAAUAGUCAUUUUUGGAAAGAAUUCAAAAAUCUGGAAAUUUAGCUAAGUAUGGAAAAAGUGAGUUUUUGGUCAACUUCGAACAGUCAUAACUCCUAGCUCAGGAUGAGUUAGGUGUAUUUCCAGUUAUGUUUGCGAAUCCCUUGGAAUGAUCUUUCCAACGCCGCUGAGUUUGCUCGAUUCCGAGUUCGUAUGAGUGAGUUAUGCCCUUUGGAAGUUGGGCUGUUGGCAUAGGGAAGUUCAUCCGAAUUAGUAAGGGUAUUUUGGUCUUUUCCCUAACCAUUUCUUUUGGUUAUAUUAAGGGUCUAGGAUGAUAAAAAAAUCAGUUUUCCCUUUUAAAAGUGAGAGUUAGGGUUCUUGAGAGAAAAGGAGAGAAGAGGAGAAAGAGAAGAAGAAGCAAAGUUCGUCAAGAUCGUCGUGGUUUUCGUCGGGGGUGAUCCCUAUUAAGGUAUGUGAGAUCAUAGUGUUGGGUUGGUUCAUUCCCCCACACGCCAAACUCGUUUUAAUUUCCGAGAAAAGAUUGGUUGUGUUUGUUGAAGAUUUGGUUAUGUUUGUUGAAGUUUGUGCCUGGUUGUGUUUGUUGAAGUUUCUUGUUGGUUUGGUACAUGUUUCCGGUUGUGUUUUCGAGUUGAAUCUAUUGUAUGUUGAGGGGUUUUAGGAUUCUAAGUGUUUGGGGCUGGAACCUUUGAAGUUAAGGUUGUUUAGAGUUGGAAAAACAAGGGAGAAAAGUCGAGUUUUUUGGGGAAAGGGCUGGCGCGUUGAGCCAGCCAGCACGCCUAAAAAGGGAUUUUGAACUUCCACCCUUGGGGCGGCGCGCCAUGCAGAGCGCCCCACCAGCCCUUCUGAACUUUGAGGGCUGGCGCCCCGCGCCUCUCAGAGCGCCAAGGACGCCAAGUCUUCCCAUUCAUUCCCCACUUUUUCAUACAUGUUCCUUAGCAAUGUACCUAUGUUUUAUAGUUGUUUUCAACACUCCAAGGUACGUCUAAACAUCAAGAACUCAUCCAUAAACAUGAGAUCUUUACCCUUGAAUUCAUAAUCCGAUUCGAGGAAAGUUCGGACCAAAGUCAAGUGAAGUUAGAGUCAAGCUUAGAAGUUAAGAAGUAAGUCGAAGCAAGUCUUUAAAGUUUUUCAAGAGUCUUUAUUGAACGUUUUAACUUCAUUUUAAGACUCAAGUUUCAAGGUGAGUAAAGAGUAUAGAGUUUCAAGUUAAGUAAAGAGUAUAGAGUUUCAAGUUGAGUAAAGAUUAUAGAGUUGAGUUCAUUUCUCAAGAGUUAUUAGGGAACUAAGUAUUCCCAAAGAAGUUUAGAAAUGUUUUCACAUUUGAGUAAGAAAGGAACAAUGAUUUCCAAAAGAGCCUUUGGGCUAGUUUUCAAGAAAAAGAAACAUCGAUUCCAAGUGAGCCUUUGGGCUAGAUUUUGAGCAAUUAUCUCAAACUAAAGAAAGAUGUGUUUAAAACACUUAUGAGCUAAAGUAUAUUUUGGGAGUAGUCUUGAGCACUGAAUUGGGGACACGAGUUCAUAUUAACUCAACUCUCCAUAAGAACCAUGUAGCCAACAUGGGAGUUAACGGGUCAUACUUUUUAGAUGAACCCGUAAAGUUAAGCUAGUGGAUCCACUUAGUAAAGUUAGCUUGUUAACGAGUCAUACUUUUUAAAUAAUCACGUAAGAUUAAGCUAGUGGAUCCACUAAGUUAAGUAAGGUCCUAUAUCACGGCAAGGUAUAGGAUGUUCCUUGGCCAACGUGAGGUAAAACGUUGUAUCAUCACUAGGGCUCAUAGUGGUGGUUGUCGGUUAAAGAAUCUCCUACUAAAGUUAUAUUACUUUUAUAUAAGUAAAGUUGAGUUUGUUAUUGUUUUAUCCUUAACGAACUAAGUGGUUUACACUGUUUUUACAAGCUUUAUAUAUUGCAUGUGUCUUAUUGCUUUAUAUUGAGUUCGGUUGUUCAUGAGUCGAACAGAGCUAAGGUAAGAGUUCCUUUGUAUUCCUUUCAAGCUUAAGUUGUUGUUAGCUUCCCAGCUCGCAUACUCGUACAUUCAAUAUACUGAUGCCAGUUUGACUGCAUCUUAUUAUGAUGCAGACGCAGGUACCCAGGAUCAGCAUCCAGCACGCCGUUGAUCCAGCUGAGCACUCCAGAGUCAGUGGUGAGCCUCUUUACUUUCCGGAGGACUCUAUUAUUUCGUUUUCCUAGUUUUGUUUUAUUAGGAUGUUGCGGGGUCUGUCCCAACAUCCAUCUCAGUGUUAUAGAAGCUGCAUAGACAGUCAGUCAGUUAGUAUUGAGUCUCUCAUCUAUGUAUAUAUGUAAAUAUUCUAUUUUGAGACACGAGUUGCCUUUUGGCCAGAUUUUAUCAGUUAGGUUGUUUUAUGACCUUUCAUUGCAUUGAGUUAUUCUGUCGAGUUAAGUUUCCACUGAGUUAAGAAAGUUGGGCCAAGGGUUUGCUUGGGGCCAGCAAUGGUCUUCAAGUGCCAGCCACGUCCAGGGUGUAGACUUGGGGCGUGACAAUCUCUUUUAAGAAAAAGAUGAGUUUUGCGAAAGAGUUUCUAAAACAUGAUUAGUAUGACAAUCGAGUAUGUUAUCAAUGUUUAAACAGUAUGGUCUCUAGAUAUACCAUCAAUGUUUAUGAAGUAUGACUUCUCGAGUCAUCAAUGAUCAUAUUAAAAUAUGGUUUUGAUAUGUUUCUUUUUUUUUAAAACAGUUUUCAAGAGCAAUUACCUCUUUUAAGAGGGUAGUUUUGAGUAAUUUUCUCAAACUAAAUAAAGAAGUUUGUUUUAAAGCUUAUGAGCUAAAGUAUAUUUUUGGGAGUAGUCUUGAGCACCGAAGUGGGUAUACGAGUUCAUAUUAACUCAACUCUCCAUAAGAACCAUGUGGCCAACAUGAGAUUUAACGGGUCAUACUUUUUAAAUGAUCACGUAAGUUAAGCUAGUGGAUCCACUAAGUUAAAGUUAAAGUAAGGUCCUAUAUCACGGCAAGGUAUAGGAUGGUCCUUGGGCAACGUGAGGUAAAACGUUGUAUCAUCACUAGGGCUCAUAGUGGUGGUGAUCGGUUAGAGAAACUCCCAUAGUAGAAAUGGUUCCUCGAGGGGUUCUGCUUAGUAUGGAUGGGGGUAUGGGACUUCACUCAUACAUUGCACAAGUAGACCUUGAAAGGAAGCAUGGUAUUUUAUGAUAUUAUAANNNNNNNNNNNNNNNNNNNNNNNNNNNNNNNNNNNNNNNNNNNNNNNNNNNNNNNNNNNNNNNNNNNNAUGGGGGUAUGGGACUUCAUUCAUGCAUUGCACAAGUAGACUUUGAGAGGGAGCGUGAUAUUUUUAUGAUAUUAUAAAUGUGAUUUUUGACGUCAUGUUUUAAUAGUUUUACAAGCUUUAUAUAUUGCAUGUGCGUUAUUGCUUUAUAUUGAGUUUGGUUAUUCAUGAGUGUCUGUCCCAACAUCCAUCUCAGUAUGUUAGUGGCUUCAUAGACAGUCAGUCAGUUAGUAUUGAGUCUCUCAUCUAUGCAUAUAUAAAUAUUCUAUUUUGAGACGAGUUGCCUAUUGGCCAGAUUUUAUCAGUUGGGUUGCUUUAUGACCUUUCUUUGCAUUGAGUUAUUCUGUUGAGUUAGGUUUCCGCUGAGUUAAGAAAGUCAGGCCAAGGGUUCACUUGGGGUCAGCAAUGGUCUUCGAAUGUCGGUCCCGCCCAGGGUGUAGGCUCGGGGCGUGACAGAAACCUACUUAUUCUCCGAAAAAGCAUUUUUCAAAAAGACAUUUUAGAGGCAUUGUUAUCAUUUGGUAGAUCCAGGUUCAUGGCCUAUUUCUAUGGAACACAUUCUCCAUAGUACCGAACACAGUCUCAGAACUUUGUUUGUUGAUAUCCACUGUUAUGGACCUCACUUGUGGAAUUUCAUUGGAUGUGUUGUUGAUGUUUGAGUUGAUAUGCCGUGCUGAAAAUCUUUGUGGGUAGGAGGGAGUAUAAGAAUGAUCCACAACUCCCGGCAACGAUGUAAUAAGAAAUUUGUUUGUUAUGUAUAAAAGAAUUAUCCCGAACCUGGCCUUUUUUCAUAAAAUUCAGAACCUAUAAUUUUUUAAUCUUCCCGGGGUCCCCUUUUUCUAUAGAUUGAAUUAUCAUAAUAUUUUAUGACAAAAUAUUGUAAAGGUGUAUGAAAUGGUAUAUUGCUCAAAAUCAUGGUAAUACCAUUUAUUUAUAACUUUAAAAUUUUGAAUUGUACUAAUUGAAUAUAUUAAUUUCACAAUGUACUUUUAUUUAGUUCAAAGUUUUCCUCGUUGUACUUUAAGCUUUGGAGUGUAAUGUUUUUCCGCAUUUUAUGAGGUGCUAAGAUUAGAAAAAGGCAUAAUACAUGAAUAGACGAUAUUCAAAUUUGGUCUUAAUUAAAUUCUCCAAUUUAUAAAUUGAUCACUUAGACUCUUCCAAUAAUUAUUUAUUACAUCAAUGUAGGGUGUUCACGAAAUACGAGAUACAGUGAAGCCAAAUUAAAAUAUUUAGAUGUACACUUCCACAAGAAGGUUAACCAAAAUGAAAGGGAAGUUUCCCAACAUAUUUUUUCUUAGAUAUGUCUCAUUCACUUUUACCUUUACUUUUACUUUUACGGUUACUCUUUUUUUUGUGUGUUAUAUUUGAAUUUGACAUACCACUAAAAAUAUUAUUGGGACUUCUUUUAUAUUUGUCCUUUCUUAUUGAGUAUGCUAAAGUAUACACUUAAAUUUGUAUAAAAUUAAAUAAAUAGACAUGGCGUCUUACAUGAAAAUUUGUGUCCUAUAUGUAUUACGUCACAUAAAAUGAGUAUGUCUACUUGUUCAAUUUUAUACAAGUUUAAGUGUUUAUUUGUACACAUCUAAAGUUGGAGGACAUAGAUGUCAGCAAAAACCAAGUUAAAUGACAUAUAUUUUUUUUUAUAUCUUUAGAAAUAUUCAAAAGAAUAAUAGUGAAAAGUAAAUUUUGAUUUUUGUCUUUAAAUUUAAGCGGUACAAACUUCUUUUCUUAUACAACUAGGAUAACAGUUCUCUCUUGAUAUGUCACCUCUUUCACAUUAAUUGUCGUCCUAACUCUUUGUUUAAACUUCUUUGUUGGCAUCUCAAAGUCAAUCAUUCUUUGAAUCUCUUUCACAUUUUUAAGUGAAUUGAAAUAAAUGGACAAAAUUCAUUUAGGAGUCAUUUGCAAAUCAGAUUGUAGUUGGAUGAGAAUGUUGAAUAUUACAGAUUGAUAGUAGUGUCUAAGGUGACUGUUAUAUACAAAUACUUUAAGAACAAACUUUUUUCUUACAUAACGAACGCAAGAAAAUAAGUAAGAAAUCUACUUAUUCUCCGGAAAAACAUUUUCCAAAAAGACAUUUUAGAGGCAUUGUUAUCAUUUGGUAGAUCCAGGUCCAUUGCCGAUUUCUAUGGAACACAUUCUCCAUGGUUCCGAACACACUCUCAGAACUUUGCUCGUUGAUAUCCACUGUUACGGACCUCACUUGUGGAAUUUCAUUGGAUGUGUUGUUGUUGUUUGAGUUGAUAUGCCAUGCUGAAAGUCUUUGUUGUUGUUUGAGUUGAUAUGCCAUGCUGAACGCUUUAUAUGGGCAACAGUAACAGCGAAGUGUUCAAGCUCAUGUGCAUCGCAAAGGCGGCAAACAAACCAGAGAACCAUUCCUAAGAACUUGUUAUUAUGUACUGUGGGCAUAGUCAAACAAAUAAGAUAAAAGAAUUUACUGACUUUAUUUCCUUGUAGAACAUCUCGGACUUAUUGAGGUUUGAACAAUCUACUCAAUUUUCUAGAGUCUCGAGGUGAUUCCAUACGAACAAUUUCUCUUCCCAUAUCUCGCACUAGAUCAUGCAUCACCAAAUAACGCCAAUCCCUUUGGAGAAAGUUCCUUUGGACUAAGGUUGAAAUUGCACUUUCAGAAUAAAAACCACACGCGUUUAAUGUUUUGAUAACUUCAUCCUCAAAAAAUUCAUGGAAGGCACACGCAAUAUCAAGGAAAACACUUUGAGUAUCACAAUCAAGUCCGUCAAAGCUUAUCUUGAGGAUCUUUUGAAUAUCACAAUGAGGAAUUGCUCUUAGUUUUUUGAACUCGUAUCUCCAUUCUUUAACGGAUCUCCCUCACAAUCAAGUCCGUCAAAGCUUAUCUUGAGGAUCUUUUGAAUAUCACAAUGAGGAAUUGCUCUUAGUUUUUUGAACUCGUAUCUCCAUUCUUCUACGGAUCUCCCUUGUAAAUGUGACCCCAAUGUCACAAGAGCUAACGGUAGCCCACCUGAAUAUUUGAUUAUGCUUUGUGCAACCUCAACAUAUUCUUGUGGCGGAGAAGGACUACUAAAAGCAUGACAAGAAAAAAGUUGUUGAGCUUCAUCUUGAUUUAAAUGUUUUGCCUUGUAUCUCUCGUUUUCUCUAAUCCGAGAUAGCAAAUGCUUGUCUCGGGUUGUAAUAAUUAUUAAACUACCAGAACCAAACCAACUUCUUUCUCUUGUUAAGGAUUCUAAUUGGCUCAUAUAAUCCACGUCAUCAAGAAUAAUUAGAACCUUCUUUGACCCAAGUCUUGCUUUGAUUAGAUUGAUGCCUUCAGCAACACUGGUAACUUUGACGUCCUUAGUUUUGAGAAUUUGAUUUAGUAGUUUUUCUUGUAACUUGACUAAACCAAAUGCUUCAGCUUCUGAUCUAACAUCUGAAAGGAAGCAACUAAUAUCAAAGUGUCGAAAUAUUUGAUUGUAGAUAGCUUUAGCCAGAGUUGUUUUUCCUAUUCCACCUACGCCAUAUAUACCAACCAUGCGAACUUCAUCUACACAUCCUUUUUGGAGUAACAACUCUAUAUCUUCGACACGAGAAUCUACUCCAACAGGAUGCCAAGCAAUAUCUAGAGGUGUCUGGUUUACCUCUAGUAGAACUUGUUUUACAAUACUUUCAAUAAAUUUUGAUUCAUGUCUGCAUAUUAGCAAAAACAAAAGUUAGAAUAAAAAAAACAACUUUGAUGUGUGGAAAAAAAAUAAUUGAUAACCAACUUAUGACUUUUGACUGAUAAGUCAGUUUGACCAGUUUAUAAAUAUUACCCGUCAACAACAUUUCGCAAAUCCCAUCCAGAUAAAUUUGCGCUAAUUCAGUAAGUGAAUCCGUCCAUUUUUUCAUUCUCUCAACCUCGAAUGAUCGCUCCUUAAGCAUAGCUAAAACUUCACCAAAGUAUCCGGUUUGCUUGCGUACAUGAGAAGGAUGAACAUCAUAGAAAAUAGGCAAAACUAUUUUCUUUAACUUGUCUUUGCAUUCGAGAAUUUUAACAAGUUCAUCAAGACACCAACUAGACGAAGCAUAAUUUUUCGAGAAAACAACAAUGGAAACUCUAGACUCUUCAAUUGCUUUCUCAAGUUCUUUUGAAAUCACCUUGCCUUUUCUUAAUUCCUCAUCAUCUAUGAAGGUAUUAAUUCCAACUUGACAUAAUCUGGAAUAAAGAUGACCUGUGAAGGUUUUUCGAGUAUCUUCACCUCUGAAACUCAGAAACACGUCAUAAGAGAAGUUGGAAGAAGUAGUUGAUGAUUCCCCUACAACAAAUUGAGUAUUCAUAUUUGAUGACUAAUAUAUGGAAGAAUGAGUAGCUAUCUAUAUAAUAUACCAUGCACAUGCUAUGGUUUUUUCUUGGUAACUUAACUAAUGCUAUAUAUUCUUUAAUUUAUUUUGUACAAUUAUUCUUCAUUAAAUUUUGUUAAUUGGGACUUUUUUUUUAAUGAUUCUUUACCUUUUGUCUCAUCUUUAAUUUGUUAAAGACUUGAAUGAUAAAAAGUAAGAUUCUUUCUUCCUUGAAAACUCAAAAGUUCAUCUCUCCACAUAAUUAUGAUGAUGUUAAGCUUGAUGUCAUAAUCUUUUAAUAAUGGAAUUGAAAACAUCGAUUUGUUCUCAAUUCACAAGUUGGAUUAAACUUUUUUUUCUUUUUUACCUAAUCAAGUAGUAUCGCAUAAAUUAUAACGAUAAUUUUUUAAAAGAAAUUAAAACACUUUGUAUUAAUAGUAAAAACUAGGAAACUUUGUCGUAAUAAAACUAACUACUAGUCUAUUGCAACUAUUAAACAAGUAAACAACUAAUAAAACUAAUUGGAUCACUCUUACUGAACCAUUGGUCUUAAUCCUAUACCUAUCAUACUGAUAUAGAGGUGAAUUCAGAACUUAAAAUUUAUGAAUUCUUAUAAAAAAUAAAUAAAUUUAUGAAUGAUAAUAAUUGAGUUCAUAAUCAAAUUAUAUUAAUUACUUAAUGAUUUUCUUAGUACAUAUAAAUAAUAUGAAUAAAAUCUAUUGAGUUCACACUAACCUCUCUAUAAUAAUCAAAUCAGUAAUUUUGAUCCAAAUUGAACUUUGUAUUUAUGAUAAUAAAUUUGUUUGUUAUGUGUAAAAAUAAUAUCCGGAACCCGAUCCGACCAGUAAAUGCUUUUUAUAAAAUUGAGAACCUAUAAAUAUAAAAUCGAAAUGCCAGUAGCAGUCAUAGUAUUUGGAACAAAGAAAAGCAAGGGAAUAACAAACCAUAUCUUCUGCUCCAACUUCACUUUCUUUAUAGUAUUUUUGAAAGGAAAAAAGGGAAUAGAAUUAAAUAUUAUCAGAAUGCCAACCAAAUAUUGAUUUUGUGCUCUAUCCUUACUGUGGGAAAAAAAAGAAAAUGUAAUUUAUUUGUGCAGUUUUUUAAUCUUCCAGGCGUCCCAUUUUUCUAUGGAUUGAAUUAUCAUAAUAUUUUAUGACAAAAUACUGUAAAAUGGUGUAUGACUGUAUGGGAAAUAUAAUAUUUGUAUAUUCCUCAAAAUCAUGAUAAUACCAUUUGUUUCUAACUUUUUAAUUGUACUAAUUGAAUAGAUUAAUUGUACAAUAUACUUUUGUUUAGUUCAAAGUUUUCCUCUUUGUACUUUAAGCUUGUGUGUCACGUCAGUAUAGGGUGUCCACGAGACACAUUAAGGGUGAGUUGGAGUGUUUAGCUGUUAGUUGAGAUGUCUAUAUGUACACUUUUAAUUAGUUACGCUUGCGAAAUUUUAAUUGGAUGACAAAACUAGGAUCGAAGUUUCGAGUGGUUAGCAUCUGACGGAUGAAAAAAAAAUCUAAAUGAAAAAUACUUUUUAGCGAAUCAGCUUGUAGUUGGAUGAGAAUUUUGAAUAUUACAGAUUGAUAGUAGUGUCUUAGGUGUUAUAUACAAAUACUUUAUGAACAAACGUUUUUCUUACAUAACGAUCACAAGAAAAUAAGUAAGAAACCUACUUAUUCUCCGGAGAAACAUUUUCCAAAAAGACAUUUUAGAGGCAUUGUUAUCAUUUGGUAGAUCCAGGUCCAUGGCCUACUUCUAUGGAACACAUUUUCCAUGGUACAUAACACAUUCUCAGAACUUUGCUCGUUGAUAUCCACUAAUACGGACCUCACUUGUGGGAUUUCACUGGAUGUGUUGUUGUUGUUUGAGUUGAUAUACCAUGCUGAAAGUCUUUGUGGGUAGGAGGGAGUAUAAGAAUGAUCCACAACUGCCGGGAAAGAAGUAACAUUACCAUGUUGAUCUACAUAUAAUAGACGUACUCCUAUCUUCUUUACAACGGCUCCGCCAGUGCGAUCCUCUACUGUUAUCUGUUCCCCGCCUUUGAUCUUCAGGCCAUUAAAAGGUCUAUUGUUUGAGUAAGAGAAGUAAUAUACACGUGAUAUUUCUCCCUGACUGUCAGGUAUAUUAAAAUGCGAACUCCACCAAAAAGUUGAAGACUCUACAUGGGCAACAGUAACAAUGAAGCUUUGAAGAUAGGAGGAUACAUUGCCAAAGUGGCAAACAAACCAGAGAACCAUUCCCAAGAACUUAUUAUUAUGUACUGUGGGCAUAGUCAAACAGAUAGAUGGAGCUGUUACUUUAUUGCUGCACCAAUCUGGAAUCUCAUUGCUUUCGAGAUUAAUUUGUAAUGACAUCUUCAUCAGACAAAUUAAGACACAAUUAGAUCAUUAAUUAUUAAUGUGAUACGAGGGAGAGAUCAGAGAGGGAGAGGGACUAACCUUAUACCGUUGAUGUUUUCUAGACGGAAUUGAUAGAGCAUGGGCACUAAAGAAGCCUUCAUUGAAUGGAUUCUGCAGACGAGUACAAUUAAUCAUGUCCACCUUCUCUAUUGAAGGGAGGUAGUCCGACCCUGUAAUCUUGACCAGUUUUUGGCAAUUCCUAAGUUCAACAAUUGCAAGGUGCUCUAAAUUUGAUAUUGACGGGAGUGUUUGAAGGUUCUCACAAUCAUUCAAAUAUAAGGACGUCAACAAUGGUAACUUGGAAAAAUCAAAGGGUAGAUAGAGGAAACUGUUGCCGCUCAAAUCUAAAAAAUAUAAGUUGGAUAAACUCCCAAUAUCCCUAGGAACAUCAGCCUCCGAGAAACCACAAUAUGAAAGGCGUAGAUUCAAAAUAAAUUUUGACAAGGACACUAUGGGGCGUACUCUUCUUUGAGAAAAACUCCUUUUGGCCUUUAAGUAUUGGCCUCCCAUUUCCAAUUCUACAAGAUUUCGUAGCAUUUCAACAGAUCCAGGCAAUUGUUUUAUACCUGUUUCACGUGCAUUAAGAUAUCUUAGGCUUUGCAUAGCUCCAAUGUUAACUGGCAGUGUUUGUAAAGACGAGCAGUCAUUAAUGUACAAGGUUUUAAGGGAUUUUAGCUGGCAUAUGCUGCUCGGAAGAUCCGUAAUAUUUUUUGCAACCAUUCAAUUGAAGAUCAGUUAGUCUGUCCAAAUUUCCUAUUGAUGGAUGGAUCUCCUUCAGACUUGAAGCAAUUCUCAAGCAACAAAGUCUCGAGACUUCGUGAACCGUUGAAGUUUGGAGUUUUUCUGAGGCGCUUGCAAUCAGAGAGAUCCAGCAUUUUCAAAUUUCUACAAUACUAAAAGUAAACAAAAUAUUGUUUCAAUUAAGAUUUUCUUUCCCUUAAACAUUACACAUAAAUUUGCAAAAUUGAGUAACGAACCUGCAAAUUCAAACCAAAUUCUAGGAUAUUGCUCCCUUUCAUAUUCAGAAAUACAAGUUUCUCAGAUGGAAAAUUUGAUGGUACACAUUUUAAAGGACAUCCUUUCCAAGACAGCCAUCUGAGCUCCUUGGACAAUAGCUCAAAAUCUCCACUAAUAUGUAAAGUCGUCGAUUUUUAAGCACCCUAAGAUUUAUCAUUUUCUGAAAUGCUUUUGGUGUUCAGCUUCACACCCUUUAAUGCCUGUCGUUCUACCACCAAUAUUUCUACAUUUUUAGAACCCUACAGUUUAGUAAAAAGAAAAGUACUAUAAGACCAUGUUAAGUAUGAUAAAUUAAGAAAGAGAAAUGCUUUAUACAAAUUGAAGGUCAAACAAAUAGAAUAAAUUAUGUACCAAUAAAAAAAAAAUUACACAUUAUAUCCAACUAAAGGAUGUUUAUUUGAUAAUUUUGUCUUUGAUAGUUUGUUUAGACUUCAGUAAAUGUUCAUUUCAAGUACAGAAUGGUUCAAACAUCUAAAGAUACUUACUAACGGGAGAAGAUUUAAGCACAAAUGCAUAAAUUAUAAGCAAAUGUAUAUCAAUAUGAAAAAAGAAGAAGAAGAAGUAUAACCAAGAUAAAGAUAAUGAAAUUUACUGACUUUAUUUCCUUGUAGGACAUCAAGGACUUCUUGAGGGUUGACCAAUCUACUCCGUUUUCCACUGUCUCGAGGUGAUUCCAUGCGAACGAUUUCUCUUCCCACAUCCUGCACUAGAUCAUGCAUCACCAAACGACGCCGAUCCCUUUGGAGCAGGUGUCUUUUGACUAGAGUUACAAUUGCACUUUCACAAUACAAACCACAGGCGUUUAAUGUUUUGGUAACUUCAUCCUCAUCACAUCCAUGGAAGGCGCACGCAAUAUCAAGGAAAACAUUCUGAGUAUUGUCAUCAAGUCCAUCAAAGCUUAUUUGGAGAAUCUUUUGAAUAUCAAAAUGAGGAAUUGUUCUUAGUUUUUCGAACUCGUAUCUCCAUUCUUCAACGGAUCUCCCUUGUAAAUGUGACCCCAAUGUCACAAGAGCUAAUGGUAGCCCACCUGAAUAUUUAAUUAUGUUUUGGGCCAGCUCAACAUAUUCAUGUGGUGGAGAAAGACUGUUAAAAGCAUGACAAGAAAAAAGUUGUUGUGCUUCGUUGCCAUUUAAAAGUUUGGCCCGGUAUAUCUCAUUUGUUGUAAGACCAUAAAGCAAAUGCUCGUCUCGGGUUGUAAUAAUUAUAACACUACCAGAACCAAACCAAUUUCUUUCUCUUGUUAAGGAUUCUAAUUGGCUUCUAUGAUCCACAUCAUCAAGAACAAUUAGAACCUUUUGGGACCCAAGUCUUGCUUUGAUGAGAUUAACACCUUCAGCAACACUAUCAACUUCAAAUUCCUUAGUUUUGAGGAUUUGAUGAAGUAGUUUCUCUUGAAGCUUGAUUAGACCCAAUUCUUCAGCUUUUGAUCUAACAUCUGAAAGGAAGCAACUACCACCAAACUGUAGAAAUAUUCUAUUGUAGAUGGCUUUUGCUAGAGUUGUUUUUCCAAUUCCACCAACGCCACAUAUACCAACCAUUCGAACUUCAUGCUCACAUCCACUUUGCAUUAACAACAAUAUAUCUUUGAUAGGAGAAUCUAAUCCAAUUGGAUAAUGAGCAACAUCUAGAGGUGUCUGGUUGACUUCUUGCAGAACUUGUUUUAUAAUACUUUCAAUAAAUUUUGAUUCAUGCCUACAGUUUUUUUAGCAAAAACAGUAAAAAACAAAACUUUGAUAUUUGAAAAUAUAUGAUGAACAAAACAAAAUCCAUAGCCAACAGAUAACAGGGAAAUCGAGGGUAGAGAAUGGAGAUUAUCAAUUACUAUUACUCCCUCGUUCCAAUUUAUGUGAUGCAGUCUGAUUUGGCACGGAGAUUAAGAAAUAUAAAAAGAAUUUGCAAUGUUCCAAAACUAACCAACUUAUAAGCUUAGGCAAAUGCUUAAAUUCAAAAUUCUAAAGUUGAAUUAAGAAGUGUUACCCAUCAGCAACAUUUCUCAAAUCCCAUCCAGAUAAAUUUGCUGCUUCAGUAAGUGCAGCUUUCCACUUUUCCAUUCUUUCAGUUCCAAUUGAUCGUUCCUUGUGUUUUGCCAAAGCUUCGCCAAAGGAUCCAGUUUGUCUUCGUACUUGAGAAGGAUCAACAUCAUAGAAAAUAGGCAAAACUAGCUGAUUUAACCUCUCUCUGCAAUCGAGAAUUUUGACAAGUUCAUCAAGACACCAACUAGAGGAAGCAUAAUUUUUGGAGAAAACAACAAUGGCAACCCUAGAUUGUUCAAUUGCUUUCUCAAGUUCAAUUGAAAUGACGUCUCCCUUUCUCAAUUCCUCAUCAUCUAUGAAAGUAUUAACUCCGACUUGACAUAAUCUGAAAUAAAGAUGACCGGUAAAGUUGUUUCUGGUAUCUUCACCUCUGAAACUGAGAAACACAUCAUAAGAGAAGUUGGAAGAAGAAGAUGAUUCUCCUUGAGUAUUCAUAUUUGAUGACAAUAAAUGGAAGAAUUAAGCGAUUUUUAGUUGAAUGAAAGAAAAGAUGAGUGAAGCAGUUACAGGUAAUUGUUUGUUCCUGGAAACUCAAUUUUGGGUCAACUCAUUUACAAUCCCUAAAGAAAGUUAAUCGAAACGAAAGGGAAGUUCCCAGCAUAUUUCUUAGAUAGUUCACGUGUCUAUAUUAAAAGUAGAUAUAUUUACAUAAAUUUAGAUGGCAAAAAGUAAUCUCUUUCUCUUAAUUAAUUACUUCUCCACUUUUGAAUUGACACACCUGAGUAUUAAGAAAACAAUAAGAAGUAGUAGAAAUAAUUAGGGAUGAUAAUGAGAUAGCGUGGAUGAAAGGUAGGGCGGAUUAAAGGUUAUAUGGGGCGGGGGCGGGGAGCUUUUAAGGUUGUAUGGGGUUGGGUGGAUGCAAAUUAAUGUGAGGCGGUGCGAUUUGUGGGUUCAUGUGAUUUUAUACGGAUUCAAAUUUAAUUUUAAUUGUAUAGGUUAUAAGAGUGAUGAAGCUUUCACGGAUAAAAAUACACAUGAUUUGGUAGUUAAACUAUUAGUAUUAGGAUUAGGAUAAAAUAAAGAGAAUAAUCUUGCCCUUUGUCUUGUAUUGUGUUAUAAUUCAUAUAAAAAAAUUUAUCUGAUUUGGAGUCUACUCAAUUUUCAAAAGAAAAAAAAAACUUUAAUUCAUGAUGUGCACUUUAUUUAUGCUUUUAUUUGCAUCUACUUAUUUUGACCCAACGAAAAUGAAUUUUGUUAUUUAUGCUCUGCAUAAAUUGCAUCUAGUUAAAAAGAAUUUUGAAAUAUUGAGUUUUAUGAAUUUGAUUUUAUUUUAUUUUCUACAAAAAUUGUGUGAUCAUUUGGUAAUGGCCAUUACUAUUGCUCAAAGAUUUUAAACAUGAAAUAUAACUAAUACAAUAAUAAUUUUAAUAUAGCUUACUAAAAUAUUCAAGAUAAUAAAUGAAAAUGAUUAGAGUUUUCGAUAAAACUCAUCCUCAAACUAUAGCCUAGAUUUUGGUUACAUCCUUGCAUUAUUAUAUUGAACAAAAAACAUCAUUCAUCUAUCUAAGAAGUUUCAAUAGUCAUCCUUCGGUUAAUUUUGGUAAAAAGUUAACUUGUUAUCGUCAAAAUAUGUGUAAAGCAUGUAGGUUUCCCUCUAAAUCUCCUAACCUAAAUCGUCUUCUCCACUAUAUUUUGAGCUAUUGCACUUUAGAUUUGUGUCAUAGUUGAAGGAUGAUUUCAGUAAAAAAUUUAAAAUAAUUUAAUUAAAAUUAAUACAAUUUCUUACCUACUUCCUAAUUGGGAACUUUGUAUUUAUGAUAAAGAAGUAUAAAAAAGUUAUCCCGAACCCGACCAGUAAAUGCUUUUUUAUAAAAUUUAGAACCUAUAGUUUUUUAAUCUUCCAGGGGUCCCAUUUUUCUAUGGAUUGAAUUAUCAUAAUAUUUUAUGACAAAAUACUGUAAAAUGGUGUAUGAUUGUAUGGCAUAUAUACCAUUUGUAUAUUCCCCAAAAUCAAUGAUAACCAUUUGUCUCUAACUUUAAUUUUGAAUUGUACUAAUUGAAUAUAUUAAUUGUACAAUAUACAUUUAUUUAGUUCAAAGAUUUCCUCUUUGUACUUUAAGCUUUGGAGUGUAUUGUUUUCCGCAUUUUAUGAAGUGUUACUAUUAGAAAAAAAGGCAUAAUACAUAAACAUGUGAUAUUCAAAUUUGGUCUCAGUUAAAUUCUCCAAUUUAUAAAAUGAUCAUUUAGAUUCUUCCAAAAUUAUUUGUUAUGUUAAUGUAGGAUGUCCACGAGAUACAUUGAGGCCAAGUUGGAGUGUUUAGCUGUUAGUUAAUAGCAAGUUAAAAUAUCUAGACGUGCACUUUCAAAGUUAGAGACUGAUUUUAUGUUGUUUUUUAUUUGUGUGUCUAAUUAUGAUGUUUUAUUUAUAUGGUUUGAUUUGUGAAUGAAUUUUGAUUUUGCUCAUGUUAUUGUUGAUGGAUUCAUUUUCAGUCACUACUUAAUUAGUUACUAGAUGUGGAUUAAGAUUUUGAGUUUGUAAGUUCUAGAUCUCAACCGAUCAUUUUUGAAGUUUGUUGGAAUGUCAUAACAUAAAUACAUGAUUUGAAUCAAAGUUAUUGAGUUUGAUCAAACCCGUAGAUCCUAUACACGGUGGAUGAGUGAAGCAGAAAUAAUUGGACAAAAUUCAUUUAGGAGUCAUUUGCAAAUGAGAUUGUAUUUGGAAGAGAAUUUUGAAUAUUACAUAUUGAUAGUAGUGUCUAAGGUGUUAUAUACAAAUACUUUUAGAACAAACUUUUUUCUUACAUAAUGAACACAAGAAAAUAAGUAAGAAAACCUACUUAUUCUCCGGGGAAACAUUUUCCAAAAAGACAUUUUAGAGGCAUUGUUAUCAUUUGGUAGAUCCAGGUCCAUGGCCUAUUUCUAUGGAACACAUUCUUCAUGGUACCGAACACAAUCUCAGAACUUUGUUCGUUGAUAUCCACUGUUACGGACCUCACUUGUGGGAUGUGUUGUUGUUGUUUGAGUUGAUAUGCCCGAAAGUCUUUGUGGGUAGGAGGGAGUAUAAGAAUGAUCCACAACUCCCGGCAAAGAUGUAACAUUACCAUGUUGGUCCAAGUAUAACAGAUGGAUCCCUAUCUUCUUUACUAGUCUCUGUCAGUUUCAUUCUUUACUGUUAUCUGUUCCCCACCUUUGAUGUUCAGGCCUUUAAAAGGUCUAUCAUUUACGGAAGAUAAGUAAUAUACACAUGAUACUUCUCCGUGACUGUUAGGUCUAUCAAAAGGCCAAAUCCACGGAAAACCUGUACUCUUUUUAUGGGCAACAGUAACAGCGAAGUGUUCAAGAUCAUGUACAUCGCAAAGGCGGCAAACAAACCAGAGAACCAUUCCUAAGAACUUGUUAUAAUGUACUGUGGGCAUAGUCAAACAGAUAGAUGGAGCUGUUACUUUAUUGCUGCACCAAUCUGGAAUCUCAUUGCUUUCGAGAUUAAUUUGUAAUGACAGCUUCAUCAGACAAAUUAAGACACAAUUAGAUCAUUAAUUAUUAAUGUGAUACGAGAGAGAUCAGAGAGGGAGAGGGACUAACCUCAUACCGUUGAUGUUCUCUAGACGGAAUUGAUAGAGCAGGGGCACUAAAGAAGCCUUCACUGAAUGGAUUCUGCAGACGAGUACAAUUAAUCAUGUUCAUCUUCUCUAUUGAAGGGAGGUUGUCCAACCCUGCAAUCUUGACCAGUUUUUGGCAAUUCCUAAGUUCAACAAUUUCAAGGUACUCUAAAUUUGAUAUUGACGGGAGUGUUUGAAGGUUCUCACAAUCAUUCAAAUACAAGGACAUCAACAAUUGUAACUUGGAAAAAUCAAAGGGUAGAUAGAGGAAACUGCUGCCGCUCAAAUCUAAAUGAUAUAAGUUGGAUAAACUCCCAAUAUCCCUAGGAACAUCAGCCUCUGAAAAACCACAAUAUGGAAGGCAUAGAAUCGAAAUAAAUUUUGACAAGGAUACUAUAGGGCGUACUCUUGUUUGAGAAAACCUCCUUUUGGUCUCAAAGUAUUGACCUCCCAUUUCCAAUUCUAUAAGAUUUCCUAGCAUUUCAACAGAUCCAGGCAAUUCUUUUAUACCUGUUUCACGUGCAUUAAGAAAUCUUAGGCUUUGCAUAUCUCCAAUGUCAACUGGCAGUGUUUGUAAAGAUGAGCAGUCAUUAAUGUACAAGAUUUCAAGGGAUUUUAGCUGACAUAUGCUGCUCCAAAGAUCAGUAAUCUUUUUGCAACCACUCAAUCGAAGACAAAUUAGUCUGUCCAAAUUUCCUAUGGAUGGAUGGAUCUCCUUCAGACUUGAGCAAUUCUCAAGCCACAAAGUCUCGAGACUUCGUGAACCGUUGAAGUUUGGAGUUUUUCUGAGGCGCUUGCAAUAAGAGAGAUCCAGCAUUUUCAAAUUUCUACAAUACUAAAAGUAAACAAAACAUAGUUUCAAUUAAGAUUUUCUUUCUCUUAAACAUUACACAUAAAAUUGCAGAAUUGAGUAACGAACCUGCAAAUUCAAACCAAAUUCUUGGAUAUUGCUCCCUUUCAUAUUCAGAAAUACAAGUUUCUCAGAUGGAAAAUUUGAUGGUACACAUUUUAACGGACAUCCUUUCCAAGACAACCAUCUGAGCUCCUUGGACAAUAGCUCAAAAUCUCCACUAAUAUGUAAGUGGUCUAUUUUAAGCACCCUAAGAUUUAUCAUUUUCUGAAAUACUUUGGUGCUUAGCUUCACACCCUUUAAUGCUUGUCGUUCUACCACCAAUAUUUCUACUUUUUUAGAACCCUGCAAUUUAGUAAAAAUAAAAGUACUAUAAGACCAUGCUUAAGUAUGACAAAUUAAGAAAGAGAAAUGCUUUAUACAAAUUGAAGGUCAAACAAAUAGAAUAAAUUAUGUACCGAUAAAAAUAAAUUUACACAUUAUAUCCAACUAAAGGAUAUUUAAUUGAUAAUUUUGUCUUUGACAGAUUGAGUGUUUAGACUUCAGUAAAUGUUCAUUUCAAGUACAGAAUGGUUCAAACAUCUAGAGAUACUUACUGGCCGGAGAAGAUUUAAGCACAAAUGCAUAAAUUAUAAGCAAAUGUAUAUCAAUAUAAAUGUAAAAAAGAAGAAGAAGUAUAACCAAGAUAAAGAUAAUAAAAUUUACUGACUUUAUUUCCUUGUAGAACAUCAAUGACUUCUUGAGGGUUGAACAAUCUACUCCGUUUUCCAGGGUCUUGAGAUUCCAUGCGAACGAUUUCUCUUCCCAUUUCCUGCACUAGAUCAUGCAUCACCAAACUAGACCAAUCAUCCCUUUGGAGCAAGUUCCUUUGGACUAAGGUUGAAUUGAACUUUCAGAAUAAAAACCACACGCAUUUAAUGUUUUGGCAACUUCAUCCUCAUAACAACCAUGGAAGGCACAUGCGAUAUCAAAGGAAAACACUCCGAGUAUUGACAUCAAGUCCAUCAAAGCUUAUCUUGAGAAUCUUUUGAAUAUCACCAUGAGGAAUUGCUUUUAGUUUUUUGAACUCGUAUCUCCAUUCUUUAACGGAUCUCCCUAGCAGAUGUGACCCCAAUGUCACAAGAGCUAAUGGUAGCCCACCUGAAUAUUUUAUUAUGUCUUGUGCCAGUUCAACAUAUUCUUGUGGUGGAGAAAAACAGUUAAAAGCAUGACAAGAAAAAAGUUGUUGGGCUUCAUUGUCAUUUAAAAGUUUGGCCCGGUAUAUCUCACUUGUUGUAAGCCCAUAUAGCAAAUGUUCAUCUCGGGUUGUAAUAAUUAUUACACUACCAGAGCCAAACCAACUUCUUUCUCUUGUUAAGGAUUCUAAUUGGCUUCUAUGAUCUACGUCAUCAAGAACAAUUAGAACCUUUUGAGACCCAAGUCUUGCUUUGAUGAGAUUAGCACCUUCAGCAACAUUAUCAACUUCAAAUUCCUUAGUUUUGAGGAUUUGAUUAAGUAGUUUCUCUUGAAGCUUGACUAGACCAGAUUCUUCAGUUUUUGAUCUAAUGUCAGAAAGGAAGCAACUACCAUCAAACUGUUGAAAUAUUCGAUUAUAGAUAGCUUUUGCCAAAGUUGUUUUUCCAAUUCCACCAACGCCACAUAUACCAACCAUGCAAACUUCAUGCUCACAUCCACUUUGCAGUAACAACUCUAUAUGUUUGAUAGGAGAAUCUAAUCCAGUUGGGUAAUGAGCAACAUCUAGAGGUGUCUGGUUAACCUCUCGCAGAACUUGUUUUAUAAUAUUUUCAAUAAAUUUUGCUUCAUGCCUACAGUUUUUGCAACAAUAAAUACUUAGGUAUUUAAAAAUAUUUGAUGAACAAAAUAAAAAUCAAUAGCCAAAAGAUAAAAGAGUUUAUAGAAUGGAGAAUAUAUUCCUUGUCCCUAUCUAUAUGACACAGUUUGAUUUGACACAAAAUUUAAGAAAUAUAGAAAGACUUUACAAUGUUCCAAAAUUAACCAAGUUAUAAGCUUAGGCAAACGCUUAAAUUCAAAAUUUAAUAGUUGAAUUAAGAAGUCUUACCCAUCAGCAACAUUUCUCAAAUCCCAUCCAGAUAAAUUUGCUGCUUCAGUAAGUGCAGCUUUCCACUUUUCCAUUCUUUCAGCUCCAACAAAUCGUUCCUUAUGUUUUGCCAAAGCUUCGUCAAAGGAUCCAGUUUGCCUUCGCACUUGAGAAGGAUCAACAUCAUAGAAAAUAGGCAAAACUACCUGAUUUAACCUCUCUUUGCAAUCGAGAAUUUUGACAAGUUCAUCAAGACACCAACUAGAGGAAGCAUAAUUUUUGGAGAAAACAACAAUGGCAACCCUAGACUGUUCAAUUGCUUUCUCAAGUUCAAUUGAAAUGACGUCUCCCUUUCUCAAUUCCUCAUCAUCUAUGAAAGUAUUAACUCCAACUUGACACAAUCGGAAAUAAAGAUGACCUGUGAAGUUUUUCCGAGUAUCUUCACCUCUGAAACUGAGAAACACAUCAUAAGAUAAGUUGGAAGAAGAAGAUGAUUCUCCUACAACAAAUUGAGUAUUCAUAUUUGAUGACAAUAAAUUAAAGAGAUUUUUAGUCAAUUUUUUGCUUAAUUAAUUAAAUAGAGAUGUGAAGCAGCUAUUUAUAUACCCACAAGUACUUGUUUGUUCCUGGAAAUUUAAUUUUGGGUCAAGUCAUUUACAAGCCCCAAAGAAGGUUUACAGAAAUGAAAGGGAAGUUUCCAAGACAUAAUAUGUCUAUUCACUUUUAUUUGUCCAGCUAUUAAAAGUAGAUAUACAAUUUACUUUCAUUUCCUUCGUAGAUUUUUACUCAUUCACACUAUUAAAAAUAAUGAUCAUUUUUAUAAUGUAUUUUUUCAUCAUAUUAAUAUGCAAAAAAUUGUAAUUUAUAAUUUUUUUAUAGUUUUUGAAUAUUUAAAUUUUUUGUUUAAAAUAUCAAAUUAAUACAAUCUAAUUUAAUUUUGAAAAUUAAUUAAAUUGACUUUCGAAAAUGACAAUAUGAUAUAAAUGAGAGAAUACCAAAAGAGCUGGCAAAUUUCCACCAAAACUUCGCAAGUGGAAAUUAUUAUUAUCUUAAAGUUAUGAACUCACAUCUACAAUUAUUAUUUAGUUUAUUAUAUUUAAAUAAAAAAGAGGAAAAGUCGGAAGUUGUAAAAUUUUAAAUGACAAGUAGAAUGUUUCAACAUGAAUUUAUGAUACUUUAAUAAGCAAUAUUCGUUCUGUAAUAAAUUAAUCGCAAAGAAUUGAUUAGGAAUUUGGUUGAAAAUAGAAAUGGUCCAAUUCAAGAUGAAACUAUUAGAAUUGACCUUUGGUGAGGAAGUAAAUUAAAUUACUCCCUUCGUCUAUUUUUAUUUGUCUAGUAUUAACUCAUGCAAUAAAUAAAACAAAAACAUGAUCGUAUUUGUUCCUGUAUUCUAACAAAAAAGUUAUAUUAUUUGUCAUUUGUUAUACUUCAGAGUCAUAUUUAUCCUUGAGACAUUAAAUCUCCAUGACCCGCCUUAAUUUAACGCAGAAUAGGACGAACACUCUUCUCCAAAGUCCAAGCUAAGACUGUUUCCAUUACUAAAAAUCAAUAAAUUACACAGUUCGAUCACUUACAAUGUUCUCUGGUAUUGUAGGUUAAUCAGAGAGACACUAUAUUCACUAUACAAAGAAAAAGUUGAUCAAUUUUUAAAACUAAGCUUUAGUGCAACUCUACAUACUAGCACUAUACAAUGGAAAAAUUGGUUACAUAAAUUAAACAAAAUUUUCUAUAGAAGCUACUGCUAUCGAAGCUCGAUGCUCCAUUGUUCAUACCUAAUAAUGGCUUUGUAGCCCUAUAAUAGUACACAUUCUACUACAUCCAUCUUCCCAUCUUCAUUGACAUCAUUUUCCUCUUCUUGUGGGCUUUAUGCUUUUCUGCAAUCCUCAGCCUCCUCUUGGCGUUUCUCAUUGGAUUGACCUUCUCUUCUUGUUUCCUCUUAUCCCUCUUCGAUUUGAUAUUCUUCCUUAUAUGACUGUAGAUUUGGACAAAAUAUGUGUUCCUAUAACAUUGCUUAUGCUCCCUCGCACUCCUUCAGCCAGUUGUUUCACGUCAUCUGUGGAGAUGAUGCAAACGUAAUGUCACGCCCCGAGCGUACACCCUGGGCAGGACCGGCACCCGGAGACCAUUUCUGGCCCCAAGCGAACCCUUGGCCUGGCUUUCUUAACUCAGCGGAAACCUAACCCAACAGAAUAACUCAAUGCAAUGCAAUAUUACAAAACAACUUAACUUAUAAAAUAUGGCCAUAAAGGCAACUCGAAUCUCAAAAUAGAAUAUUUACAUAUAUAUAUAGAUGAGAGACUCAAAACUAACUGACUGACUGUCUGUCUAUGAAGCCUCUAAAAUACUGAGAUGGAUGUUGGGACAGACCCCGCAACACCCUAAUAAGACAAAACUAAGAGAACAAAAUAACUAAGCCCUCCGGAAGCAAGGAGGCUCACACUGACUCUGGAGUGCUCAANNNNNNNNNNNNNNNNNNNNNNNNNNNNNNNNNNNNNNNNNNNNNNNNNNNNNNNNNNNNNNNNNNNNNNNNNNNNNNNNNNNNNNNNNNNNNNNNNNNNNNNNNNNNNNNNNNNNNNNNNNNNNNNNNNNNNNNNNNNNNNNNNNNNNNNNNNNNNNNNNNNNNNNNNNNNNNNNNNNNNNACAAGGAUACAAUAAGCCUGAGAUGUAUAUAGAAAUACAAUUAAACUGAUGUAUAUAAAAAAAUACAAUAAUCUCUGUGUAUGAAAAUACAAUAACUGCUGUGGGAGUUUCUCUAACNNNNNNNNNNNNNNNNNNNNNNNNNNNNNNNNNNNNNNNNNNNNNNNNNNNNNNNNNNNNNNNNNNNNNNNNNNNNNNACUUUGGCUCAUAUGUUUUAAAAACAAACUUCUUUCUUUAGUUUGAGAUAAUUGCUUAAAACCUAGCCCAAAGGCUCUCUUGGAAUCAAUGUUCCCUUUACUUUGCUCAAAUGUGAAAACAUUUAUAAACUUCUUUGGGAAUACUUAGUUCCCUAAUAGCUUUUGAGAAAUGAACUCAACUUUAUGCUCUUGACUUACUUGAAACUUGAGACUCUUUACUUAGCUUGAAACUUUAAACUCUUUACUUGACUUGACACUUGAGUCUAAAAAUGAAGUUAAAACGUUCAAUAAAGACUCUUGAACAACUUUGCAACUUGCUUACCUUGCUUAACUUCUAAGCUUAACUCUUAAUUUCUAACUUCACUUGACUUCUAACUAACUCUCCUUGAAUUGGAAUUUUGGAUUCAAGGUGUUUGAUCACAUGUUAUGGAUGAGUUCUUGACUUUUAGAAGUACCUUGGAGUGUUGGAAACAACUAGGAAACAUAGGUAUAAUACCUAGGAACAUGUAUGAAAAAAGUGGUGAAUGAAAGGGAAGGAUUGGUGUCCUUGGCACUAGGAGAGGUGCGACAGCCCAGCCCUUUGUUCCCCAAAAAUCCGACUUUUUCCCCUUGUUUCUUUCCAAUUCUAAACCCUCUCAACCUCAAGGUUUCAGCAACAACACUUAGAAUCAUAAAGACCCUUAUUAUACAAUAGAUUCAACUCAAAAAUCACAGCCGGAAAUUUGUACUAAACCAGCAAGAACUUCAACACAACACCACUACAACUUCAACAACCAAUAAAUCUUCUCUUGGAAUUAAAAACGAGUUGGUGUGUGGGGGUAUGAACCAACCAACNNNNNNNNNNNNNNNNNNNNNNNNNNNNNNNNNNNNNNNNNNNNNNNNNNNNNNNNNNNNNNNNNNNNNNNNNNNNNNNNNNNNNNNNNNNNNNNNNNNNNNNNNNNNNNNNNNNNNNNNNNNNNNNNNNNNNNNNNNNNNNNNNNNNNNNNNNNNNNNNNNNNNNNNNNNNNNNNNNNNNNNNNNNNNNNNNNNNNNNNNNNNNNNNNNNNNNNNNNNNNNNNNNNNNNNNNNNNNNNNNNNNNNNNNNNNNNNNNNNNNNNNNNNNNNNNNNNNNNNNNNNNNNNNNNNNNNNNNNNNNNNNNNNNNNNNNNNNNNNNNNNNNNNNNNNNNNNNNNNNNNNNNNNNNNNNNNNNNNNNNNNNNNNNNNNNNNNNNNNNNNNNNNNNNNNNNNNNNNNNNNNNNNNNNNNNNNNNNNNNNNNNNNNNNNNNNNNNNNNNNNNNNNNNNNNNNNNNNNNNNNNNNNNNNNNNNNNUGAUUUGUGAAAAGACCAAAAUGCCCUUAAAUUUUCCGGACGGAUUCCCUGCCAACUGCCCAACUUUCAAAGGGCAUAACUCGCUCAUACGAACUCGGAAUCGAGUAAUCUCAAUGGCGUUGGAAAGAUCAUUCCACAAGCUUCGCAACCAUAACUGGAACUACUCCUAACUCAUCCUGAGCUAGGAGUUACGACUGACUCAAAGUUGGCCAAAAUCACUGAUUUCCACACUUAGCCAAAUUUUCCAGAUUUUGAAUUUUUCCAAAUUUCCAGAUUCUGGACUGCCAAAUUUCCAGAUUUUAAAUUUUUCCAAAAAUGACUAUUUCCAAAUUCAAGCUUCUUCAUAUUCAUUUUAAAUUGUCGGAUGUUACACGUAAUCAUCAAAUAUAUUAAGGACUACAAAGUUAAUCACUCGGAAGCCAAAGAGGAAGUGAAGAACAUUUGUAAAUGCAGCUAGCACUUUGCAUAUAAGAUAGUAUGGGCAGACACUUGAAACAACAAGUUUGCAAGAGAUUGAAUGAGAGACCAUACCUGAUAUAACUUUUCCAGCAAAUCCUUCACAAACUUUGUACAGGGGCAACAGCAUAUGAUAUGCAAAGCUUUGGCAAUCAACCUCACCUUCAGGGGACAACAAUCUACUCUGAUCUAUAAGCUUUGGUGAAACUGAUUUGAAACAAUUGAAGAUAAUUCUCAUCUGCAAAAAAUUGUGCACAUUCCACAGCAUGAGAACAGGCACUCCUAGCACCAUAUAUGGGAGAGUAAGGCACAAAAUAUUUUUUUUGGAAAACAACGAGAAGGUAAAUUACAUAGCAAUGACUAGGCUAAGAAAUUUUUUGCGAGUCGAGCAAACAGAGAUAUCCUUAAUUAAUCACCCACCUGCAUAUCCUCCACAUGAAGGGAAAUCUUUCCCAUUGUCUUAAGCAAAUAAGAAAUGACCAAGUAGCGCUGGCCUUCAUCUUCUUGAUCGCUAAGGUCAGACACAAGAGACAGAUAGAUGUUUUUCCCUUUCCUUGAAUCAAGCUGUUGAAAAGCCUUAAGCAGAAGACCCUGCUCGUCAUGUUCAAUGGUGGACCAGAACUCAUCUUUACAUUCAUUUUUUCCUAAGAAUGAAUGCAGAGAGCAAAUUGAAAAGACAAGAUUUUGAGUAAUGAGAUCACUGGCAGCAUCAUCAGUCUGCAGCACCUUCAGCUGACAACAAAGAGAAGUAGCUACGAAGAAAAGUCUACUUGGCCUCAUCAAAAAGUAAGUUUCUUGUGGCAGUUCAAGGUUUUCUUUCCAAGCCUCAGUCACAGUGGCAAAGUAGCAAGCCACAAGACGGUUUGAUAUGUUGCGCAACCACAGAUGCGGAUGCAAAAGCAACUCACAGAUUGCUUCCCACAGAUCCUAUGAGAUGUCAAUAAAAAUAAUAGUCAGAAAACAAAUAUGAAUUUAUCCAAAGAACAGGACAAGUUAUUGGCAAUCUGGAAAUGGGAGUGUGGUAGCUGUGGAGCGUACUUUCCCCAGUACAACAAUAACAUACCUAGUGAAAUCCCACUAAGUGGGGUCAGGGGAGGGUAGAAUGUACGCAGUCCUUACCACUACCUCGUGGAGGUAUAGAGGCUGUCUCCGAAAAACCCUCGGCUCAAGUGCAUCAAACCAAAGUAAAAGUAUCCUCUUCAAACUUUAAGCCCAGUAUACUAUUCAAACUCUAAGCACUUGAUUUUCAAAUACUUCUUAACUUUACACCUAGUCUGUAGUUGCAACUAUCUUUUGGCAUGCUGCCUAAGUUUGAGGACUAAAGCAAUUUCACCUAAGUGGUUGUAGCCACACCAAAAAGUAAUUCAUUUCUUAAAUCUAUCACAAAGCAAAAUGAGGUCCAGCGGUUUUCACAUAAGUCCCCUCGUACAUAUGCUAAGUAGGACAUAUUAUGGAUGACUUGGUUUUAGCCCUAUAUUUUAAGACCAUAGCUAAAAUAAUGAAAUACANNNNNNNNNNNNNNNNNNNNNNNNNNNNNNNNNNNNNNNNNNNNNNNNNNNNNNNNNNNNNNNNNNNNNNNNNNNNNNNNNNNNNNNNNNNNNNNNNNNNUAUCAUAAUCAAGAUCUCCCAACUCUACAGUAGACGUGGCAUUCAAUUCACGAAGAAGAUUUGCCUGUAUGAAAUUAAGAAGUGUUACACGUCAACAAACACCUAAAGCAACAAGUUCAAAAGAAAACUAGAUGGUCUAGUAAUACCGUAGGAUGUACAGAAGAAUCAUUCCCUGCGACAGCAUCAAGAACAUCACAAAUAGAAGUACGGACAUCCAAGCCAGCAGAAAUUACGAGUGGAGAAACAGAUUUGACGGUCUUUUUACUGCUUUCACUACCCAAUGGUUCUACAAUAUCCUUAAUAAUCUGUAAAGUGCCUACACAAAUCUCUGCAACCAGAAAGAAAGGUAAUCUUAGAAAAAGAGCAAGGACAUGAGACCAAACAGGUCCACCAAAACUGUAAGACAAAACUCAGAGACUCUGACCAGGGUCUUUGGAUCUCUUUGACAGAAGCGGAAGCAAGAUGUCAAGAAACUUCCUUGCAGCCAAUGGUCCCUUUAUGUGCUUCGAUAAAAGCUUGAAGACAUUGAGCUCUUUUUCCCCAGGAUAUUUGACAAUCUUCCUGGAAAAGUGAAUACAUCAGUUAAGAGGAGAACUGAUGCUAGUGCAUCUCAUAUAACACUUAAUUACAUAAAGAGCAUGCUAAGUCCACUUAGCCAUAUAGGGUGGAUGACACAUACACAAGAAAAUAAGUAAGAAACCUACUUAUUCUCCGGAGAAGCAUUUUCCAAAAAGACAUUUUAGAGGCAUUGUUAUCAUUUGGUAGAUCCAGGUCCAUGACCUAUUUCGAUGGAACACAUUUUCCAUGGUACAUAACACAUUCUCAGAAUUUCGCUCAUUGAUAUCCAUUGAUACGGACCUCACUUGUGGGAUUUCACGGGAUGUGUUGUUGCUUGAGUUGAUAUGCCCUGCUGAAAGUCUUUGUGGGUAGGAGGGAGUAUAAGAAUGAUCCACAACUCCCGGCAAAGUUGUAACAUUACCAUGUUGAUCUAAAUGUAAUAGAUGUACUCCUAUCUUCUUUACUAUGGCUCCGCCACUGCUAUCCUCUACUCUUAUCUGUUCCCCGCCUUUGAUGUUCAGGCCUUUAAAAGGUCUAUCAUUUGCGUAAGGUAAGUAAUAUACACAUGAUACUUCUCCGUGACCAUCAGGUAUAUCAAAAGGCAAAAUCCAUGAAAAACUCUUUUUAUGGGAAACAGUAACAACAAGGUGUUCAAGCUCAUGUACAUCGCAAAGGCGGCAAACAAACCAGAGAACCAUUCCUAAGAACUUGUUAUUAUGUACUGUGGGCAUAGUCAAACAGAUAGAUGGAGCUGUUACUUUAUUGCUGCACCAAUCUGGAAUCUCAUUGCUUUCGAGAUUAAUUUGUAACAACGACUUCAUCAGACAAAUUAAGACACAAUUAGAUCAUUAAUUAUUAAUGUGAUACGAGAGAGAGAUCAGAGAGGGAGAAGGACUAACCUCAUACCAUUGAUAUUUUCUACACGAAAUUGAUAGAGCAGGGGCACUAAAGAAGCCUUCACUGAAUGGAUUCUGCAGACAAGUACAAUUAUUCAUGUCCAUCUUCUUUAUUGAAGGGAGGUUGUCCAACCCUGUAAUCUUGACCAGUUUUUGGCAAUUCCUAAGUUCAACAACUCUAAGGUACUCUAAAUUUGAUAUUGAUGGGAGUGUUUGAAGGUUCUCACAAUCAUUCAAAUACAAGGACUUCAACCAUGGUAACUUGGAAAAAUCAAAGGGUAGAUAGAGGAAACUGUUGCCGCUCAAAUCUAAAUGAUAUAAGUUGGAUAAACUCCCAAUAUCCCUAGGAACAUCAGCCUCCGAGAAACCACAAUAUGGAAGGCAUAGAAUCGAAAUAAAUUUUGACAAGGAUACUAUGGGGCGUACUCUUGUUUGAGAAAACCUCCUUUUGGUCUCUAAGUAUUGACCUCCCAUUUCCAAUUCUAUAAGAUUUCCUAGCAUUUCAACAGAUCCAGGCAAUUCUUUUAUACCUGUUUCACCUGCAUUAAGAAAUCUUAGGCUUUGCAUAUCUCCAAUGUCAACUGGCAGUGUUUGUAAAGAUGAGCAGUCAUUAAUGCUCAAGUAUUCAAGGGAUUUUAGCUGGCAUAUGCUGCUCGGAAGAUCCGUAAUCUUUUCGCAACCAUUCAAUUGAAGAUCAGUUAGUCUGUCCAAAUUUCCUAUUGAUGGAUGGAUCUCCUUAAGACUUGAGCAAUUGUCAAGCCACAAAGUCUCGAGACUUCUUGAACCACAGAAGUUUGGAGUUCUUCUGAGGUGCUUGCAAUCAGAGAGAUCCAGCAUUUUCAAAUUUCUACAAUACUAAAAGUAAACAAAAUAUUGUUUUAAUUAAGAUUUUCUUUAUCUUAAACAUAACACAUAAAAUUGCAGAAUUGAGUAACGAACCUGCAAAUUCAAACCAAAUUCUUGGAUAUUGCUCCCUUUCAUAUUCAGAACUACAAGCUUCUCAGAUGGAAAAUUUGACGGUAUACAUUUUAAAGGACAUUCUUUCCAAGACAACCAUCUGAGCUCCUUGGACAAUAGCUCAAAAUCUCCACUAAUAUGUAAGUCGUCGAUUUUAAGCACCCUAAGAUUUAUCAUUUUCUGAAAUGCUUUGGUGUUCAGCUUCACACCCUUUAAUGCCUGUCGUUCUACCACCAAUAUUUCUACAUUUUCAGAACCCUACAGUUUGGUAAAAAGAAAAGUACUAUAAGACCAUGUUAUGUAUGAUAAAUUAAGAAAGAGAAAUGCUUUAUACAAAUUGAAGGUCAAACAAAGAAAAUAAAUUAUGUACCAAUAAAAAUAAACUUACACAUUAUAUCCAACUAAAGGAUAUUUAUUUGAUAAUUUUGUCUUUGAUAGCUUGUUUAGACUUCAGUAAAUGUUCAUUUCAAGUACAGAAUGGUUCAAACAUCUAAAGAUACUUACUAACCGGAGAAGAUUUAAGCACAAAUGCAUAAAUUAUAAGCAAGUGUAUAUCAAUAUGAAAAAAGAAGAAGAAGAAGUAUAACCGAGAUAAAGAUAAUGAAAUUUACUGACUUUAUUUCCUUGUAGGACAUCAAGGACUUCUUGAGGGUUGACCAAUCUACUCCGUUUUCCAAAGUCUCGAGGUGAUUCCAUGCGAACGAUUUCUCUUCCCAUAUCCCGCACUAGAUCAUGCAUCACCAAACGACGCCGAUCCCUUUGGAGCAGGUGUCUUUUGACUAGAGUUGCAAUUGCAGUUUCACAAUAAAAACCACAGGGGUUUAAUGUUUUGGUAACUUCAUCCUCAUCACAUCCAUGGAAAGCGCACGCAAUAUCAAGGAAAACACUCUGAGUAUUGUCAUCAAGUCCAUCAAAGCUUAUUUGGAGAAUCUUUUGAAUAUCAAAAUGAGGAAUUGUUCUUAGUUUUUUGAACUCGUAUCUCCAUUCUUCAACGGAUCUCCCUUGCAGAUGUGACCCCAAUGUCACAAGAGCUAAUGGUAGCCCACCUGAAUAUUUUAUUAUGUCUUGUGCCAGCUCAACAUAUUCUUGUGGUGGAGAAAAACAGUUAAAAGCAUGACAAGAAAAGAGUUGCGGGGCUUCAUUGUCAUUUAAAAGUUUGGCCCGGUAUAUCUCACUUGUUGUAAGCCCAUAUAGCAAAUGUUCAUCUCGAGUUGUAAUAAUUAUUACACUACCAGAGCCAAACCAACUUCUUUCUCUUGUUAAGGAUUCUAAUUGGCUUCUAUGAUCCACGUCAUCAAGAAUAAUUAGAACCUUCUUUGACCCAAGUCUUGCUUUGAUUAGACUAACACCUUCAGCAACACUAUCAACUUCAAAUUCCUUAGUUUUGAGGAUUUGAUGAAGUAGUUUCUCUUGUAGCUUGACUAGAACAUAUUCUUCAACUUUUGAUCUUAUGUCUGAAAGGAAGCAACUACCGUCAAACUGUUGAAAUAUUCGAUUGUAGAUAGCUUUUGCCAAAGUUGUUUUCCCAAUUCCACCAACGCCACAUAUACCAACCAUGCGAACUUCAUGCUCACAUCCACUUUGCAGUAACACCUCUAUAUGUUUGAUAGGAGAAUCUAAUCCAAUUGGGUAAUGAGCAACAUCUAGAGGUGUUGGGUUAACCUCUUGCAGAACUUGUUUUAUAAUACUUUCAAUAAACUUUGAUUCAUGCCUACAGUUUUUGCAACAAUAAAUACUCAAGUAUUUUAAAUUAUUUGAUGAACAAAAUGAAAAUCAAUAGCCAAAAGAUAACAGAGUUUAUAGAAUGGAGAUUAUCCCUUGUCCCAAUCUACGGUUUGAUUUGACACGAAAUUUAAGAAAUAUAAAAAGACUUUACAAUGUUCCAAAAUUAACCAAGUUUUAAGCUUAGGCAAAUGCUUAAAUUCAAAAUUUAAUAGUUGAAUUAAGAAGUCUUACCCAUCAGCAACAUUUCUUAAAUCCCAUCCAGAUAAAUUUGCUGCUUCAGUAAGUGCAGCUUUCCACUUUUCCAUUCUUUCAGCUCCAACCAAUCGUUCCUUGUGUUUUGCCAAAGCUUCGUCAAAGGACGAAGUUUGCCUUCGCACUUGAGAAGGAUCAACAUCAUAGAAAAUAGGCAAAACUACCUGCUUUAACCUCUGUUUGCAAUCGAGAAUUUUGACAAGUUCAUCAAGACACCAACUAGACGAAGCAUAAUUUUUGGAGAAAACAACAAUGGCAACCCUAGAUUGUUCAAUUGCUUUCUUAAGUUCAAUUGAAAUUUCGUCUCCUUUUCUCAAUUCCUCAUCAUCUAUGAAAGUAUUAACUCCGACUUGAUACAAUCUGAAAUAAAGAUGACCUGUGAAGUUUUUGCGAGUAUCUUCACCUCUGAAACUGAGAAACACAUCAUAACAUAAGUUGGAAGAAGAAGAUGAUUCUCCUUGAGUAUUCAUAUUUGAUGACAAUAAAUUAAAGAGAUUUUUAGUCAAUUUUUUUGUUUAAUUAAUUAAAUAGAGAUGUGAAGCAGCUCUUUAUAUGCCCACAAGUAAUUGUUUGUUCCUGGAAAUUUAAUUUUGGGUCAACUCAUUUACAGGCCCCAAAGAAGGUUAACAGAAAUGUAAGGGAAGUUUCCAAGAUAUUUCAUAGACAUGUUGCGUUCAAUUUUAUAUGUUAUAAUAUUAAAAAUAGAUAUACAAUUUACUUCCACUUCUUCCGUAGAUUUUUACUUGUUCACAUUAUAAACUAUAGUGAUCAUUUUUAUUUGUACAAUUUAAAAAUAAUCAAAAAUAAGAACUUUUAAUUUAUUUAUUUUAAAAUGUGUCAUACUUCCAAUAAUUCACUUAUGAACCAGUGAGAGUAGAUAAUGAGUGACUUGCUUUCACAUUUAUUGUCAGCACAACUCUAUCAGUCUUCUUUUUUUUUCAUCACUUUCACACUAUCGACAAGUGGAUUGACAUUACCAUGUUGGUCUAAAUAUAGCAGAUGGAUCCCUAUCUUUUUUAUUGCAUCUUUGCGAAAGAACAAAUAGUCAGACUCGUGAACUGUUACCUUUGAUCAUCUGGUCAACAAAAGGACUAGUUAAGCAAGAUAUGUAAUAUACACAUGAUACUUCUCUGUAUUGUCCGAUCGAGUAUAUCAAUAUCACAAAUUCUUGACAUAGAUACUCUCUCUCUAUCGGAUACAGCAAUACUGAAGCGUCCAAAAGUGGAUGAAAGUCUCUUAAAGUCGCAAAAAAAAACAGAGAAUCAUUCCUAAGAACUUGUACCCCUUAUCAUGUACUGUGGGCAUAGUGAAACAGAUAGAUGGAGAUGUUACUUUAUUGCUGCACCAAUCUGGAAUAUCAUUGCAUUCGACACAAAUUCGUAAAACUUGCUUCUUCAGAGUGUGAAAUGACAGAGCCUGGGCACCUUGAUUGAACGAUCUCCUUCAUCCUUGAGCAACCUUGAAGCUUCAAAGUCUCGAGACUUGUUGCACCGUUGAAGUUUGGAGUUUUUUUGAGGGCCGAGCACCAAGAGAUAUUCAGCUCCUUCAACCUUGGGCAACACUAAAUGUCAACCAAGUACAUUAAUAUUCAAGUUAUACAAGACUAUUUUGUAUAAUUUCACUAGUCAAUGAAAAAUGUAGAAUUGGGCAACAAAUUAAACCUGCAAAUUCAAGCCAAAUUUUUCGAUAGCACUCCCUUCCAUAUUAAGAACUACAAGAUUCGCAGCUGGAAAAUUUGGUGGAAUAUAUUUUAAAUGACAUCUUUGCCAAGAUAACCAUUUGAGCUCCUUGGGAAAAUGCCACAAAUCUCCAUGAAUACGUAAUCCAUUGAUUAUAAGCACCCUGAGUUUCUUCAUUUUCUUAAAUGCAUCGGUGCUAAACUCCACUCCCUCUAAUUCCCCUGGUUCAUCUAACCUCAUUACUUGUACAUUUCCGAAACUCUGUAGUUCAGAGAAAAUGUUUUAAUUAGGACUAAGAAUUGUAACACGACAUACAAUUAAAUUAAAAAGGAACAAGGAUUUACUCACGUUUUUUCCUCGUAAAACAGCACAGACUUGUUGAGGUAUGAAUAAUCUACUCCGUUCUACAAGGCAUUGAGAUUCUGAGCGAACAAUUUCUCUUCCCAUAUCUCGCACUAGAUCAUGCAUACUUACACAACCCCCAAGUACCCCUUGGAGCAACUGUUUUUGGACUAAAGUUGCAAUUUCACAUUUAGUGUGAAAACCACAUGCAUUUAGUAUUUCAGUUUUCUUGAGAGUCUUUUGGAUAUCAUCAUGAGGAAUUUCUUUUAGUCUCUUGAAUUUGCGUCUCCAGUUUUCUAUGGAUUCCCCUCGAAAAUGUGAACCCAAUGUCACAAGUGCUAAUGGUAGCCCACCUGAAUAUUUGAUUAUGUCUUUCGUCACCCCAACAUAGUCUUUAGGUGGAGAAAGACUGUCAAAAGCAUGACGAUAAAAAAGUUGCUGAGAUUCAUUGUCAUUUAAUUGGUUGAUCAUACAUCUUUUUGCAUUAAGCCAACUUAGCUAAAGCUCGUCUCGGAUUGUAAUAACUAUUAUACUACCCAAACCAAACCAUUUCUUUUCUUUUGUUAACGAUUCUAAUUGUUUUUUUGUGUCCACUUCAUCAAGAACAAUUAGAACCUUCUUUGACCCCAGUUUUCUUUUGAUUAGAUUGAUUCCUUCAGCAACACUGCGAACUUUGUACUCGUUGGUUUUGAACAGUAUAUUGAGAAGUUUCUCUUGUACACUUUCUAGACCAAUCUUUUUUUCUAGCAAUCUAACAUCAGAAAGGAAGCAACUACCAUCGAAGAUAAAUAAUCGAUUGUAGAUAUUUUUGGCCAGAGUUGUUUUCCCGAUUCCACCAACUCCAUAUAUACCAACCAAGUGAACUUCAUCUACGUGUCCAUUUUGCAAUAACGACUUUAUAGGUUUAGUACGAGAAUCAACUCCAAUUGGGUAAGAAGCAACAUGUAGAGGUGUAUGGUUGACCUCUUUCUUCAUAUCUUGUAUAAUCAUUUCAAUAAAUUCAGCUUCAUGCCUACCAAUAUUUUUACCAAAAAACACUCACAUGAUGGGAGGUGUUACGCUUUAAAAUAGUUGCCUAUCUAUGGAUGGCAAUGGGGCGGUGCGGGACGGGGCGCGUUGAGCUUAAUCUAUAAAAAAUUUAAUUCGCUCUGCAUAACAAUUUUUUUCAUUUUCAACCUGCCCCGCAUGAAACUCCCCACAUAGUUUUUUUAAUAUUUUUCUUUUCUAGUUAAGUUUGACACUAAAAAUAAAAUUCAUAAAAAUAAAUUCAUUUUUUCAUUAAGUUGUAUUAAUUUAAUAGAAAAUGACCUAAAUUUUAUUUUUUAGAAGUCAAUUGGUAAACAUGUAAGAAAUUGUAUUAAUUUUUAUUGAAUCAUUUUCAUUUACCAUCUUGAAUAUUUUAGUAGCUUUAGAGAAAUUAUCUUAAUAAAUAAUGUUCUAUCACUCUUAUAGCAUGUAAAAAGUUAAAAUUAAAUUGAAUCCACAUAAUGCCACAUAUUCCGGCAACCCCGUCCCACAUAGCCUUAAAUCCACUCCAUCCCGCAUCCGCCCCGUUUCAUUGUUAUCUAUGGCUAUCAAACGACCCAAAAUUGUUAACAGAAAUAAAAAGGAAGUUUCCUAAGAGGUACUUUCUCUUUUGGGUAAUAACCAUAGUUAAUAGUAUAAUUAAAAACAUUACAUUUCAUCCUUGUAGGAAAUUACUUAUGGGGUUCUUGAUAGGCAAUCUUACUGUGGAGGAAAGUUGAUAGAAAUUGAAUGGAAACAUUCAAAUUCUUUUUCUUUUUAAUUGAAUGGUUUUCACAUUCUAAAUUUUCUCUACCCACCAAAGGUCAAUUCUAAUAGUGGUUGCAUCUUGAAUUGGACCCUUUUUAUUUUUAAACAAAUUUCUUAGUACACAAAACAAAUAUAUUGCUUACUUUAAAAGCAAGGUAUCAUAAAUUCACGUCGAAACAUUGUACUUGCCCUUUAAAAUUUUACAACUUAUGAUUUUCAUCUUUUUUUAAAAAAAAUAAUGCAAGAAAUAUGUCAUGAUGUUCCACUAUGCCUUUAUAAAUCUCCAUUUAUCUUUGUUUUGUUUGUUUAAUCGAAAUUUAAUCUUCUUACUGUUACGAUUACCAGAUUUUACACACUACUUGCCUAUUCUUUCUUCUUCUAACCUUUUCUUUUCCUUUUUGAAUAUUUUCUUUUAAUAUUAGUAUUUCUUUUGAAUGGUCUAACCAGUAGUUGAACUUAGAAGCUUUCUUUGGUUAUGAAACCAAAUUAAUAUUAUUUACCUUAUUUAGAGGUAUUGCCACUAUAAGUAAUACAACGAUUAACUAUUUUAUGCAAAACUUUCGUAAAUGUGCUUUUACAUAAAUUUCCAUUCAGUGUGACACACACGAAGUAAAACCACAUGUUUCUUCUUUUUGCAUUCCAAAAAAAAGGAAGAAUAUUCUUCUCCAUUACUAAAAAUCAAUAAAUUACACAGUUCAAUCACUUACAAUGUUCCCUGGCAUUGCAUGUUAAUCAAAGAGACACUAUAUUCACUAUACAAUGAAAAAGUUGAUUCAAUUUUUUAAACUAAGCUUAGUGCAACUCAACAUACUACCACUAUACAAUGGAAAAUUUGGUUACAUAAAUUAAACAAAAUUUUCUAUAGAAGCUACUGCCUAUAUCGAACAACAAAAUUUUCUAUAGAAGCUACUGCCAUCGAAGAUCGAUGCUCAAUUGUUCAUACCUAAUAAUGGCUUUGUAGCCCUAUAAUAGUACACAUUCUACUACAUCCAUCUUCCCAUCUUCAUUGACAUCAUUUUCCUCUUCUUGUGUGCUUUAUGCUUUUCUGCAAUCCUCAGCUUCCUCUUGGCAUUUCUCAUUGGAUUAACCACAGCAAUGACCUUCUCUUCUUGUUUCCUCUUAUCCCUCUUCGAUUUGAUAUUCUUCCUUAUAUGACUGUAAAUUUGGACAAAAAUAUGUGUUCCUAUAACAUUGCUUAUGCUCCCUCGCACUCCUUCAGCCAGUUGUUUCACGUCGUCUGUGGAGAUGAUGCAAACGUAAUCAUCAAAUAUAUUAAGGACUACAAAGUUUAAUCACUCGGAAGCCAAAGAGGAAGUGAAGAACAUUUGUAAAUGCAGCUAGCACUUUGCAUAUAUGAUAGUAUGGACAGACACUUGAAACAAUAAGUUUGCAAGAGAUUGAAUGAGAGACCAUACCUGAUAUAACUUUUCCGGCAAAUCCUUCACAAACUUUGUACAGGGGCAACAGCAUAUGAUAUGCAAAGCUUUGGCAAUCAACCUCACCUUCAGGGGACAACAAUCUACUCUGAUCUAUAAGCUUUGGUGAAACUGAUUUGAAACAAUUGAAGAUAAUUCUCAUCUGCAAAAAAUUGUGCACAUUCCACAGCAUGAGAACAGGCACUCCUAGCACUAUAUAUGGGAGACUAAGGCCCAAAAUAUUUUUUUUGGAAAAACAACGAGAAGGUAAAUUACAUAGCAAUGACUAGGCUAAGAAAUUUUUUGCGAGUCGAGCAAACAGAGAUAUCCUUAAUUAAUCACCCACCUGCAUAUCCUCCACAUGAAGGGAAAUCUUUCCCAUUGUCUUAAGCAAAUAAGAAAUGACCAAGUAGCGCUGGCCUUCAUCUUCUUGAUCGCUAAGGUCAGACACAAGAGACAGAUAGAUGUUUUUCCCUUUCCUUGAAUCAAGCUGUUGAAAAGCCUUAAGCAGAAGACCCUGCUCGUCAUGUUCAAUGGUGGACCAGAACUCAUCUUUACAUUCAUUUUUUCCUAAGAAUGAAUGCAGAGAGCAAAUUGAAAAGACAAGAUUUUGAGUAAUGAGAUCACUGGCAGCAUCAUCAGUCUGCAGCACCUUCAGCUGACAACAAAGAGAAGUAGCUACGAAGAAAAGUCUACUUGGCCUCAUCAAAAAGUAAGUUUCUUGUGGCAGUUCAAGGUUUUCUUUCCAAGCCUCAGUCACAGUGGCAAAGUAGCAAGCCACAAGACGGUUUGAUAUGUUGCGCAACCACAGAUGCGGAUGCAAAAGCAACUCACAGAUUGCUUCCCACAGAUCCUAUGAGAUGUCAAUAAAAAUAAUAGUCAGAAAACAAAUAUGAAUUUAUCCAAAGAACAGGACAAGUUAUUGGCAAUCUGGAAAUGGGAGUGUGGUAGCUGUGGAGCGUACUUUCCCCAGUACAACAAUAACAUACCUAGUGAAAUCCCACUAAGUGGGGUCAGGGAAGGGUAGAGUGUACGCAAUCCUUACCACUACCUCGUGGAGGUAGAGAGGUUGUUUCCCUAGUCUCAAGUGCAUCAAACCAAAGUAAAAGUAUCCUCUUCAAACUUUAAGCCCAGUAUACUAUUCAAACUCUAAGCACUUGAAUUUCAAAUACUUCUUAACUUUACACCUAGUCUGUAGUUGCAAACUAUCUUUUGGCAUGCUGCCUAAGUUUGAGGACCAAAGCAAUUUCACCGAAGUGGUUUUAGCCACACCAAAAAGUAAUUCAUUUCAUAAAUCUAUCACAAAGCAAAAUGAGGUCCAGUGGUUUUCACACAAGUCCCCUCGUACAUAUGCUAAGUUGGACAUAUUAUGGAUGACUUGGUUUUAGCUCUCCUAUAUUUUAAGACCAUAGCUAAAACAAUGAAAUACAGCAGCACUAGCACUAAUGAAAUAAAGGAUAGAGAGAGAAAAUAUAGUAAUUUUUUUCUUUCUACAGAGACUAAUAUCCAUUCUAUAGAGGAUAGAUAUAGAAGAUAUUUUAUCUUUUUAAAUUCUACAAAAACAAACAUCCAAUAUGUGCUAUAGAGUAUCAAAACAAUGUCUCAAAGGCAAUUCAACCAGUUAUGAAUAUCCAUUAGCUCCAUUUUAUCCCAAUAGAAUAAGUCUGGAUGGCAGGCAAAUCUUAUAAAUGUUCAUAUGUUGUUGUUGUUGUCUUAUUUACAGAAGUAAUCAGUUAGUACCUAGUAGUAGUCACUUUAAUUUCUAACAUAGGAUUAAAAGAAAGGAAUAAAUACCUCAAGAUCCUUUCUGAAGCACAACUUAGGAAAUUGAUUUAAUAUCUUCUCAAACAGAACCAGUGAAUAAUAUGCUUCUUUCCAAGAUGAAAUCGUUGCAUCAUUCGGUAGAUCCACUUGCUUAUUUGUAAGAACAUUAACAGCAGAUUGCAAGAUGUUUCUCAUAACAGGUAGGAGGCUAUCAAUAUACUUUUGGAAACCAUCUUUAAGUCCUUCAAUGAGUAACCCCAAAACCUGUAAAAGAAAUAAUGAAGUCUUGAAACAUGUUUUUCUAUUUUUUGAUGAGGAAGGAGUUAUAUCUCAGAUUCAUGACAAAAUAAUGACGUCAGUUUUUGUCCAUUCUUCCGGCUAUUUAAUUCAUAGUUCAUAUACAUAAACGAAUAUGAAAAAAGUGAAUGACAUAUGGAACUUGUAAUCCUUCUUCGGUAUUUCCAAACUUGCUCCACGAUGGCAUAAUGUAGUUGAAUAAAAGAACAGUUUGGGGUUUUCACUCGUUUACCUGUGCUGCAGCACUCCAUAAAUGUGGUUUAUCUCCCAGAUACCAGGACCGACUAAACUCAAGAAUUGACUGGAGUGAACGGGGGCUGACUCGUCCAACAAGUAACUUUAUGACUGUACCAGUCAUUGAACGGACUCUGUUGUCACGAUCAUUCGCCAGACAAACCACCAAAUGCAGAAAAAACGUCUGAGAUUGUUCAUCUAUGAUGCUAACUGGGAAUUUCAUUAUAACAGCAUGAAGCAUUUCAAGGAUAGCUUCUCUUCCAGUUGAAUGCUCAUAUCUGAAAAAUUCAAAAACAUCAUUACAGAGAUGUCACCAUCUAUAAAUUUUACCAAAUGAAAUUAUUGAUUGUGCCCUUAUGUCCUUGCCUUAAGUUUGAAAGUAAGAAAUCAAGAUGUUGUUGAAGACGUUUCUCAGAUAUAUGGUAGUCCAGUAAAAACUGCAGCAAAAUUUGGCUGCUUUUCUUACGAAUUGAUUCAACUUGACUAGUCACCAUCAACACUGCAAGAUUUCUGCAACUACCAACUUCCUACUCACUAUUGCUUUCAACAGUGAGAGAGCCACAAAAGAGGGAUUUCUUUCAAGAUCAACAAAAAGAGGAAACUGGAUUAGCAUAUGCAGUUGAUCAGUAGAAAGUGUGAUCUUAGUGCUACGCAAAAGCACAGUUAGCAACUUAACGCAAGACUCCAAUAAUGGAUUACUGGAAGUUACUGAACCUUGAGCAAUAUUCAGUAAUGAAUUCUUUAUCUUCUCUGCCUGAGAUUCAAGAGAUGGCAAAGGGAGCCUCACCAGAGGAGAUAAGCACCUAAGUGAGGCAGACAUGACAUUCUCAUAUUUUGAGUUUAAGCAUUCACCCAAUAAUCUUACAAAUGGAUCUAGCAUUGACAACAACUGCUCAUCUUUCUUGUCAAAUUUCAUGUUCUUCAUGUAAUUCUGAAGCACUCCAAGAGCAAAUUCAGUAAUAAGAUGGGAAUAUCGUGGAUCAACGCUGACCAACUUAUCUGAUUUAGCAAUCUGGCUGCUUACUCCAUCUUUCUUUUGCUUACCUUCCAUUAAAGUCGAUGUCUCUGCAUGCCCUGGAGAUUCAUCUUUUAUGCCAUCUUUGAUCAGACCAUAUUCAUAGAUAAAGAGUUCUGUCUGGUUAACGGAAGGAUUACACUGUAUUCCAGCAGCUAUAUGAGAGAACAUAUUCUCAAAUUUUGAUUUUACUUUUGGAGUCAGCUGCUUCUGUAGAUGCUUAAGAAUUGGCGCAAGCAGCUUCAGAGCAUGUGUUUUGAAUGUGAUGCUUUGGGCAAUCAAUUUAAGGGUAUCAUAUGACUUCUGCUUCCUAGUCUCUUCCAUCUUUGAAGCAAUCUUCUCAACCUCUUUCUCCUCUGAAAUAUCACUAAGUAUAUCAUUUAUUGCAAUCGAGAGAAGAUCCUCUAAACAAAAAUCCAGCUUCCCACUACUGGGAUUUAGAAGAAAUUUUGAUAGUAGAAAAUUGAGAGUGAAUCCCAAAACAUGCAAUUCAAAUCCUCUCUUCAGAGUGCCUCUCAAGACUUUGACAACAAAUUGCAAGUACUCCAGCCCUAGUUCUUUUAAACAAGCAGCCAAAGCAGCUCUGGCUUCAUCACGAACACUUUCCAAACGAUUCUUAAGGAAAUUCGCUAUGCGAUGCAUCAUAGAUGGAAGGUGCGAUUCCAUGAUGUCUCCCGAAAUUCCGCAAUAACACCUUUUGUUUAUCUGGUUUCAGUGUCAUCUCCCGAAAGCAUCUAUUGAGUAAUGCAUAAUACAAUCUCCAGUCCAUGAAUUUAGAAAUUGAUCCAACAGCUUCCAAACAUGCACUUCUAAUAUUUUCACCCUUUCCAACUUGUCCAUCAACCAACAUUUUAAAGAGAAGAGGGAUAAACACUUUAUUUAUGAGAACCUGCACCAGAAUUAUUCCCAACUAUUAGUACAGCUUAGCAACACAGAGCACAAAUUGAUGCUUAAAGAAAAAGGCAAGUAACCACCUUAGACAGAUUCCCGGAAUAUGUAACUCAUCGAUUUUAAGCACCCUCAAAUUUUUCAUUUUCUUAAAUGUCUUGGUGCUCAGGUUCGCGCCUUUUAAUUCCCCUGGAUCUACCACCAGUACUUCUACUUUUUCGGAACCCUGUAGUUUCAGCACAUAUUAAUUGAACAAAAGCAAUUAUAAGCAAAUAUUUAUCAAAUUAUUGAAAAAAAUUAAAAUCACGAAAGAUAAAGAAUCUACUGACUAUAUUUCCUUGUGGAACAUCUCGGACUUCUUGAGGUUUGAACAAUCUACUCUGUUUUCCAGAGUCUCAAGGUGAUUCCAUACGAACAAUUUCUCUUCCCAUAUCUCGCACUAGAUCAUGCAUCAUCAAAUAACGCCAAUCCCUUUAGAGCAAGUUCCUUUGGACUAAGGUUGAAAUUGCACUUUCAGAAUAAAAACCACACGCAUUUAAUGUUUUGAUAACUUCAUCCUCAAAAAAUCCAUGGAAGGCACACACGAUAUCAAGGAAAACACUUUGAGUAUCACAAUCAAGUCCGUCAAAGUUUAUCUUGAGGAUCUUUUGAAUAUCACAAUGAGGAAUUGCGUAUCUCCAUUCUUCUACGGAUCUCCCUUGUAAAUGUGACCCCAAUGUCACAAGAGCUAACGGUAGCCCACCUGAAUAUUUGAUUAUGCUUUGUGCAAGCUCAACAUAUUCUUGUGGCGGAGAAGGACUACUAAAAGCAUGACAAGAAAAAAGUUGUUGAGCUUCAUCUUGAUUUAAAAGUUUUGCCUUGUAUCUUUCAUUUUCUCUAAUCCGAGAUAACAAAUGCUUGUCUCGGGUUGUAACAAUUAUUAAACUACCAGAGCUAAACAAACUUCUGUCUCUUGUUAAGGAUUCUAAUUGGCUCAUAUGAUCCACUCCAUCAAGAAUAAUUAGAACCUUCUUUGACCCAGGUCUUGCUUUGAUUAGAUUGACGCCUUAGCAACACUACUAACUUUGACGUCCUUAGUUUUGAGAACUUGAUUUAGUAGUUUUUCUUGUAACGUGACUUGACCAAAUGCUUCAGCUUCUAAUCUAACAUCUGAAAGGAAGCAACUACUAUCAAAUUGUCGAAAUAUUUGAUUGUAGAUAGCUUUAGCCAGAGUUGUUUUCCCUAUUCCACCUACGCCCAUAUAUACCAACCAUACGAACUUCAUCUGCACUUCCUUUUGGAGUAACAACUCUAUAUCUUCGACACGAGAAUCUACUCCAACAGGGUGCCAAGAAACAUCUAGAGGUGUCUGGUUUACCUCUUGUAGAACUUGUUUUACAAUACUUUCAAUAAAUUUUGAUUCAUGUCUGUAUAUUACCAAAAACAACAGUUAGAAUUAAAAAAAAAAACAACUUUGAUAUGUGGAAAAAAAAUAAUUGAUAACCAACUUAUGACUUUUGACUGAUAAGUCAGUGUGACCAGCUUAUAAAUAUUACCCGUCAACAACAUUUGCAAAUCCCAUCCAGAUAAAUUUGCAGUUUCAGUAAGUGAAUCCGUCCAUUUUUUCAUUCUCUCAACCUCGAAUGAUCGUUCCUUAAGCAUAGCCAAAGCUUCACCAAAGCAUCCGGUUUGCUUGCGUACAUGAAAAGGAUGAACAUCAUAGAAAAUAGUCAAAACUAUUUGCUUUAACUUCUCUUUGCAUUCAAGAAUUUUAACAAGUUCAUCAAGACACCAACUAAACGAAGCAUAAUUUUUCGAGAAAACAACAAUGGAAACUCUAGAUUCUUCAAUUGCUUUCUCAAGUUCUGUUGAAAUCACCUUACCUUUUCUUAAUUCCUCGUCAUCUAUGAAGGUAUUAAUUCUGACUUGACAUAAUCUAGAAUAAAGAUGACCUGUGAAGGUUUUUCGAGUAUCUUCACCUCUGAAACUCAGAAACACAUCAUAAGAGAAGUUGGAAGAAGUAGUUGAUGAUUCUCCUACAACAAAUUGAGUAUUCAUAUUUGAUGUGAAUAAAUGGAAGAAUGAGUAGCUAUAUAUAUAAUAUACCAUGCACAUUCUAUGGUUUUUUCUUGGUAACUUAACUAAUGCUAUAUAUUCUUUAAUUUAUUUUGUACAAUUAUUCUUCAUUAAAUUUUGUUAAUUGGGAUUUUUUUUAAAUUGAUUCUUUACCUUUUGUCUCAUCUUUAAUUUGUUAAAGACUUGAAUGAUAAAAAUUUAAAGUAAGAUUCUUUCUUCCUUAACAACUCAAAAGUUCAUCUCUCCACAUAAUUAUGAUGAUGUUAAGCUUGAUGUCAUAAUCUUUUAAUAAUGGAAUUGAAAACAUCGAUUUGUUCUCAAUUCACAAGUUGGAUUAAACGUUUUUUUUCUUUCUUUUUACCUAAGUAUCACAUAAAUUAUAACGAUAAUUUUUUAAAAGAAAAACAAUUUGUAUUAAUAGUAAAAACUAGGAAACUUUGUCGUAAUAAAGCUAACUACUAGUCUAUUGCAACUAUUAAACAACUAGAGCUAUCAAUAUGGGCUGACCCAUCCCAUCCGGGUUAAUCUAUACAGGUUUUGAAAUAUGACGGGUUAGGCCGGGCUAGCCCAUUUUUGGUGUGGGCCAGAAAAUGGUCGGUCCAACCCACAAGUACGUGGGCUAGGGGCUUGUCGGGCCAGCCCUCUUUUCGUAAAAGUAUAUUUUUUAUAAUUUUUUAAAUUAAAUUAUAAUUUAAAAAUAUUAUCAUAAAUAUCGACAAGAUAGUAUUACACGGUGUUAGUGUUGACACCUAAUUUUGACCCUCCACAAUAAGAAUUAAUUUGUGAGCUUUCUUAAUUCCAAACGAUUUGAAAUAACUAAUUUUAUAAAAAUUCAAAAUAUGUUUCAAAGAUAUUUUAGGAAUUUUAUUCACUUUUAUAAUAUUUUAAAUAAUAAAUAUGUUUUAUAUUGUUACGUAUGUAACUAAUAUAUUUUAUAAACACUUGAAAAAUAUCUUGAAAAAGAUUUUUUUUUUUUUAUUAUUAUUAUCAUUUAUUUUUAACGUUAAACACUUUACUAAUUUAAUUUAGUUUGAAUUAUAGGUAUGUUUUUGAAUUAAUUAGUUUGAUUGAGUUAAUUAUUUUUUAGUUUGUUAAAUUUAAGAAGCUUGUUAAUUGAUCUUGUUUAAAUUCAUCUCAUUUAGCUUUUGCCGAAUUUGCUAAUUAAAUCCGAUUUAGCUAACUUCCUAAUUCCCAUUAGGUCAUAAUUGCUUCCAUGUGGCUUAAGCCAAUUUAAAUCUCACUUGGACCAAAUCUAAGAUCAGACUUGGGCAUGUCCUCAAUUUCCAAUUCCCAAGCUCAUUUCCCCUUUGGUUUCCAAUUAAGCCGAGCCCAACCCAUCCUUCUCCAAAUUUCCCGACCCAAUCCAACACAACUGACCCGACCCGGCCCAUUCCAACUCUAAAAGAAACUCAAAUGUCCUUCUCUUUUCCAAGGUCCCAGAAGCAGUUCCAAACGUUCACAGACCGACAAAGCAACAGCAGUCCACGGCAUCCUCACGAUGAGAGACGAUUCCAAAGGAAUCAACACGGAAUAUUCGAAUCACAAUAACCAACGACGUCAAUUCCGAUACACGGCGUGAAAGCAUGGAGAUACACGCAAGCAGUGAGGAACGAGACGGACAGAGGGCAGUACUAUUCCUUGUCUUCUUCCUCCAAUGUCUCUCUCAACCAGUACUAUGGCAGUAGCACGCGGUUUUCACCUUUCCUCUUUCGGAAUGGGGCGAAAACCUCAGAAGAAGGGUGUGUGUCCGAAUUUGUGAAAGGUUUUUGGAAUUCAAAUUUAUGGGACUUGAAUCCGAAAUUGCAUUUGUCCUUUCCCCCCACAAUCUACCCUAAUUUUCCCAUAUAUAAUCAUCUCUUCUAUUAAGUCUUAAGAAGUCAUUAAGUCGGUUAGUUAGCUCAUUAAUUUAAUAGUCAGUUAGUUAGUUAUUAAAAUCUGUUGUAACUAACUACACUGCUUGUAACUAACUACACUGCAGAAAGCCAGCUAAGGCAUCGUGUAUAAAUAGACAUUCAAUUGUCAUUGUUGACACAAGAAAUAAAAUUCCUUUCUAUCCUUUGUUCAAAGUGCUCUCAAUUCAAUUGUUCAUCAUCUGUGAUUGAUGAAAGUUAACAUGGUAUCAGAGCAGUGAUCAUAAGGGAUUGAUCUGCGUAGAAGAGAAGAACCCAGAGGUGCUGAGAAGCUGUAGAAGAAGCUCCUGAAACAAGCAUCAAUGGGGACUAAUGAAGUUACAGAUCUAAGUACAACAAUAGGAACAAAUGAGAUUACAACUCUAAAUCACAAUCACCCGCUUUAUCUCCAAGCUUCAGAUGCACCUGGAGUAGUUCUGGUUCCAAUCAAAUUAACAGGGCCAGAAAAUUACGCUUUAUGGAGCCGAUCGAUGAAAUUGGCUCUUAGAGGAAAAGGGAAACUUGGAUUCAUUGAUGGAUCUUGUGCGAAGACAACUUAUAAAGGAGGAUUAGAGGAACAAUGGGAGAAGUGCAAUGCAAUAGUACUGUCAUGGAUUGCGAGCACAGUUACGAGUGAAUUACUGCCAGGGAUUAUAUACGCUUCAAAUGCUAAGAGAGUUUGGGAAGAUUUUCAGGAGAGAUUUGAUAGAUCAGAUCUCACUAGAAUUUACCAUUUGUGGUCAGAAAUUGCAGCUCUCAAACAAGGUACUGAUUCUGUGACCUCUUACUACUCGAAAUUGAGAGAUUUAUGGGCUGAAUUAGAAGUAAUGGUUCCAUCACCUGGUUGUACAUGUGCGGAUUCAACUUCUUAUAUGGAGCAUUUAAGAUCUCAGAAACUGUUGCAAUUCUUAAUGGGAUUGAAUGAGAGUUUUGGACAUAUCCGGAGUAGCAUUCUAGCUAGGAAGCCUGUAGUGACAGUAAAUGAAGCAUAUGCAGUUGCAGCACAAGAAGAAAGUCAAAGAGUCCUAGGUGUUUUGGAUAAAAGCAGGGAUCCGUUAACACUUUUAGCAGGGAAAACUCAAGGAUAUAGAUCAAAGCCAAAGAAGUUUGUGCCACCAGGAACAAUUUGCGAUCAUUGUGGUUUCAAAGGCCAUUUCAAGGGUGAUUGUUAUAGGUUGGUAGGGUAUCCACCAGAUUUUCAAAGCAAGAGAAGAGGACCUGAUGGUUUUAAGCCAGAUUUCAAGCCAAAUGCACACUUAAGUAAGAAUACUGAUGAUCUCACCAACAGAGGAAAGCUUACUGAAAAUUAGGGGUCAUCAUCUCAAUAUGAGGAUUUGGGAAACAAAGUGGGUCGAGCAGGAAUAUCAGGAUGUGUUGCUAACUUGUCAGGUAUGAAUUCUUUAGAUUUCAAAACAGACACAGUUUAUGAGUGGAUAAUUGAUAGUGGAGCUACACAUCAUAUUACACCUAAUGAGGAGUUAUUAAUUGCCAAUAAAAGAACACAUAAUAGUGUUGGAGUUCAAGUUCCAACAGGGAAGAGGUGUGACAUCAAGAGUAUUGGAGUUGUGAAGAUUUUAGAAGGGGAAGAACUUCAGAAUGUGUUGUAUGUGCCAGAUUUCAAAUUUAGCUUGUUAUCAGUUGCAAAGCUAACCAGGGAACUUGCUUGUUCAGUUUCUUUCUAUCCUGACUAUUGUAUAUUUCAGGGACUUUACAAUGGCAAGGUAUUGGGGAUUGGUAAAGAAAAGGAAGGACUAUACAUACUAGAGAAUCAACUAAGGUCAAUAGUUCAUGCUGUGACUGUUGACAAGGGGAAUGGAGAUACAAAGCUAUGGCACUUAAGGCUAGGACAUGCUUCACCUGGAGUUCUAAAACACAUCCAGUCUUUGAAACAUCUCUCAAAUAAAGAGGUGCAACAUAACUGUGAGAUAUGUCCUUUAGCAAAGCAAUGUAGAUUGAAAUUUCCUAUUAGUACAAGUAAAACAUUUGGAGUUUUUGAACUGGUUCAUGUAGAUGUUUGGGGACCAUAUAGAAAGCCUACUUUUGACAAGAAAUAUUAUUUUGUUACUAUAGUAGAUGACUAUAGCAGGUACACAUGGUUAUGUCUCAUUCAUUCCAAGAGUGAAGUCAUUGUAGUACUCAAAGAUUUCAUUGCUUUAAUAAAAAAUCAGUUUGGCUUGUCUGUGAAAGCUUUAAGGUCUGAUGAUGGUACCGAAUUUUUCAGUUCAUCAGUUGUUGAUUUACUUGCUUCAUGUGGUAUUGUACAUCAAAGUAGUUGCGUUUAUACCCCACAACAGAAUGGUACAGUAGAAAGGAAACACAGACAUAUCUUGGAAGUUGCAAGGGCUUUAAAGUUUCAAAGCUCUCUUCCUAUUCAUUUUUGGGGUGAGUGUGUUAGGACUGCUGUGUACUUGAUAAAUAAAUUGCCUACUGAAGUGCUGGGAGGGAGAUCACCUUAUGAGAUGCUACAUCAGAAAAUACCUGGUAUUGAUCAUUUAAGAGUGUUUGGUUGCCUAUGCUAUGCAACUAGGUUGCCUAAAGGAGAUAAGUUUGCCCCUAGAGCUAGAAAGUCAGUUUUUCUAGGAUAUUCUGAAGUUCAAAAGGGUUACAGAUUAUAUGAUUUAAUUGAGCAGACAUUCUUUGUGAGCAGAGAUGUGGUCUUCAAAGAGAAUAUUUUUCCUUAUCAAACAGAUACAUUGUCUCCUGAGUCAGACAUGUUUGAGUUAAAUAGCUCAGAAUUGAGUCAUGUAUAUUCAAAUGAGGAUGUGGUGUUCGAUACAACAGUGGUUGAACCAUCUGUCUGUGGUAUUGAACCACCCGAGGUUGAUGCAGUUCCUGAUGUUGUCACUGCAGUCACAGAGGAUAGUGAUUCACUAUAUGAAGGGAAUCCAAUCUCAUCACCAGAUAUACAACCUGUCAUUAUUCCAUAAACACAUGUCAGACCUCCCAGAAACAUCAAACCACCUAGUUGGCUUGAUGACUACAUUACUAAUCCUAAGAAAUCUGCCAAUUGUACAUAUCCCAUCUCAAAUUACCUUCAAUAUUCUCAUCUGUCAGCAGCUUACCAAGCCUAUUUAGGUACUUUUUCUCAACCAGUUGAGCCUAAAUCCUUCAAGGAAGCAUCUUUAGAUGACAGGUGGGUCGCAGCUAUGAGUGAUGAAAUUGCUGCCCUUGAGAGCAAUCACACCUGGGAUAUAGUCGAUUUGCCACCAGGUAAACAAGCCAUUGGUUCUAAGUGGGUAUUCAAGAUCAAACACAAUGCUGAUGGAUCUAUAGACAAGUACAAGGCAAGGUUGGUAGCUAAGGGGUACAAUCAAAAGGAGGGGUUAGACUAUCAUGAGACUUUCUCACCAGUUGCCAAAAUGGUAACAGUGAGAACUCUCAUUACAAUUGCAGCUUCCAAAGAUUGGCCUCUCAUUCAGAUGGAUGUUAACAAUGCAUUCCUACAAGGUGAUUUAUAUGAAGAGGUUUAUAUGGCUUUGCCACAAGGGUUUCACAGACAGGGGGAGACUAAAGUAUGCAAACUGACCAAGUCUUUAUAUGGAUUAAAGCAGGCCUCUAGACAAUGGAAUAUUAAAUUGUCUACUGCUCUACUGGAAACAGGCUAUGUUCAGAAUUCACAUGAUCAUUCCUUGUUCACAAAACAUUCAGGAGAUGAUAUAGUGAUGAUCCUUGUAUAUGUUGAUGAUUUGUUAAUUACAGGAAACAGUCAAAGUUUGAUUGAGGAUGCUCAAAAGACUCUACACAACAAAUUUAAAGUGAAAGACUUGGGGCAACUUAGAUACUUCCUAGGAAUUGAGAUAUUGAGAUCAGAUAAGGGAAUCUUACUCAAUCAGAGAAAGUACACCUUGGAACUGCUGUCCACAGUGGGGUUAGGUGGUGCUAAGCCAGUUUUUACUCCUAUGGAGAUGAACACAAAGCUUACUACAAUAGAGUAUGACUCAAUGGUUGGAAAUAAAGAUGAUCCUGUACUAACUGAUGUACAUAGCUAUCAACAGUUGAUAGGGAAGCUGAUUUACUUAACAAUCACCAGGCCAGACAUUUGUUUUGCAGUACAGGUCCUAAGUCAAUUUAUGCAACAUCCCAAGAAGUCACAUUGGGAUGCAGCACUAAGAGUCCUUAGAUACCUGAAGGGAUCACCAGGACAAGGAGUAUUAUUGAAGAAAGGACCAAUUACAAACUUGACAGCCUUCUGUGAUUCAGACUGGGCUGCAUGCCCCAAUACUAGGAGAUCAGUAACAGGAUAUGUUAUUAUGCUUGGAGAGUCUAUGGUCUCAUGGAAAUCAAAGAAGCAACAUACAGUGAGUAGGAGCUCAGCUGAGGCUGAGUACAGAAGUAUGGCAGGGGCAGUAUCAGAAAUUAUUUGGUUAGUUGGUUUACUGAAAGAUCUGAAAAUAGAUGUCACUACUCCAGUCAGGUUGUGUUGUGAUAGCAAAGCAGCUAUGCAAAUUGCUUCAAACCCAAUCUUUCAUGAAAGGACUAAGCAUAUUGAAAUAGAUUGUCAUUUUGUGAGAGAGAAGCUCAAAGAUGGCCUAAUCAAACCAGAGUUUGUUGGCACUAAAUCUCAGUUGGCAGACUUGCUUACAAAAGGCUUAGGAACAGUACAACAUCAUUUUCUUCUGUCCAAGUUAGGAGUUCUUGAUGUUUUCCAUCCUAGCUUGAGGGGGAGUAUUAAGUCUUAAGAAGUCAUUAAGUCGGUUAGUUAGCUCAUUAAUUGAAUAGUCAGUUAGUUAGUUAUUAAAAUCUGUUGUAACUAACUACACUGCUUGUAACUAACUACACUGCAGAAAGCCAGCUAAGGCAUCGUGUAUAAAUAGACAUUCAAUUGUCAUUGUUGACACAAGAAAUAAAAUUCCUUUCUAUCCUUUGUUCAAAGUGCUCUCAAUUCAAUUGUUCAUCAUCUGUGAUUGAUGAAAGUUAACAUCUUCUAUUCAUUGUAGAGGGGGGGAUUUUUUUUUUUGGAGUUGAAAAUUUUAGAAAAAGAAACAUUGAGAAGUAGCGAGAAAGCAAGAAGAAAAUAUUGGAGAAAAGUGGGGAGUUUUUCUUGAGCGAUUUUUACACUUGAGAAAUUUGGAAUACAUUUUAGUUUUUGGUUUGUAAGAGCCUUUGCUCGAAGUCAGUUCGGAUAUCCCGAUUGUUUGCUCGAUUUUUUGAAGUGGUGUAAGAGGUCGCCGCUCGUUUCGGCUCGUUCUGUCUCGGCUUCGUUGCACCUUUAAAGGUAACACCUCUUUCUUUGUAUGAUUUUUCUUCCUUUAUAUUUUAAGAUGGUGUUUUACUUGUAUCCUGGAAGUUUGCUUCCUGCUGAUAGUUAUUAAGUUCUUGACGUUCUGAUACACCUUAGUUGCGAUACUCUAGUUAUUUCGAGUAUCGUUUUCGAUCUUGUUGAUUCGUGCCUAGAUUUGCUGCUUCUUUGUUGGUUUUAUUUAAGGGUGUUUCACUAAUCUUUUCUUGAAUUUAUUGGUUUGAAUUCCACCGAGCAUGUAUGCUUCGUUUCACUCGUUCAUUAACGUCAGCAUCUGUAGGCUCUCCCUUUGCUGCUUGCCUUUGCUUAACCUGUUCAACAAGUAUGUUUGUCCAGUUUAGCGAUUGAUUGAGAGUGUUCAAUGUCUAUUGCUGUUUUUGAAGUAAAAUUGCAGCUUUGCAUCGGGUUAUUUAAGUAUCGGCUAAUCGUCCUAUGUUUUUGAGGCAUAGUAAUUAAUUUUCUUGCAUGUUGCCGCUAAUUAAAAUUGCAAUGGCUCUUCUAUCUUUGUCUAAAUCUAAAGAUGUCUCCUGAUGUUGGCUCGCCAUCUAUCUUGGCCAUUUACGUGUUUCUUUGCUUAAUAAUGCCCCUUUUCUCUGCAUUUUUCUUGUAUUUAUUCAUGUCUACUCGUGUUUGUGUCCGGCAUGCUCUUUAUCCCUUAAUGAUCUCAUCACUGGCUCCCCAACUUGUUUGGAAUUUGAUCCCGCCAUCAGUAAUUAAUUUUGUUUUCUGUACUGAAAGUCCCGGGUGACAAUUACUUAAGAAUGUGGAGAAUGACAGCCUUUAUUGUGCUAUUAGUCUCCUCGUCUGCAAUAAGUUGAUUUUUUCAGCUAAAAGUAGUAUUGUUGAGAUAAAUAUUUAACAAAGAUUCCGACUUGUUCAUCUUAUGUCUAAAAAACAAUAAUCAUAUCCCUUGGCUGAUUCACGUGUUUCCCGAAGUGUGCUAAGUAAUGAGUUGUUUCGGUCUCAAAUGUAUAUCCUGGCUGCCGUAGUUGCCAAAUUGGACUUUAGUAAUUUCAUGUUGUCUUUUUCCUUUGGUCUACAAUUUAAAAUUUAAUUAUUAUUUUUUCUAUGUGUCCACACUUGCCUAUUUCAACUACUGGUAAUUUGCUAAAAAAUGGAGUGAGUCGGAGGCAAUAGUAUAAGCGUGAGGAGUCUGGUCAUCUCGGCUUGCUCUUGGUUUUUCUUUUCAUGUAUUUGCAUUUUUUGUUCACAGCUACUGCUAGUUGCUUGCAAUAUAAAUGGGUUAUGUUCCUUUUGAUACGUUCAUCAUUUAGUGACUAGUUCUGAGAUGUUAUUACUGGUUACUGAUUCUCUUGUUCUUUUCUUCGUUUUGCAUGAAAAAUCUGUCUGAGUUCAUUACGAACUCCUAUCUUCCCUCUUGCAUUUUGGGAGAGCCGCAAAGGCUCAAAAACUCCCUUUAUCGAGUUAGCCGGCCACUAAAAUCAAAGAACAAGUCCCUCAAAUCGACGAACAGGUCCCAAAGGUGGGGAAAUGCGGAAGCGGAGGAUAAUUGAAAAGAUCGGGCCAAAGGCCCACUCUUUAUAUAAAGAGGAUUGUAUUUUUUAUUUAUUAGGCCUAAGUCCAGUUAUUUGCUAUUAUAUUGUUAGAAUUUAGGACAGGUGGCGAGAAUUGGGCCUUGUGGCCCAAAAUGAAAUUAGGCCCAAGUGUUGGUCCAGGCGGACAGAAAAAUCAAACUUGGGCCCGAGUCUCUUUCCCUUUCUAUUUUAUUGUGUUUAUCUACUAGUUAAUAUUUGCCAUUAAUCUUAAGAUUAACAAUUCAAAUCCCCAAAAGACGCUCAUUUUCGCUUUAAAUCUUUUUUACUAAACCAUUCAUCUCUUAACAAGACUUAAAGAAAUAAUUUUAUAAGAUAACCACUCAGAUAAUAUUUAAAUAUUUCCCUUUUUUCCUUUUUAAAAAAAAAAUAGCUCUAACUAUAAAAUAGUUCAAUCAUGUUAUUCGAAUUAAGUUAAAGUAUUUUUAGCCAAAUAAUUAAUUGUCGGAUAACCGCUUAUUAGCGGGGAUUUUGGGUGCUUUCAAAUCCUUUCUGAAAUGCUAAUAUGAACCUCGAACCCCCUUAAAUAUUUUUCAAUUGAUUUCCUGUUUUAAUCAUUUGAAAAUCAGAUUUCUUGAUUUUUCUUAAAAAUUAAGUGGCGACUUUUAAAAACAGUCUUAAAUUAUUUUAAAAUAAAACAGUUAGUGUUACUAUUUGUUAAUCAAAUCCACAAAUAAAAUUAUCUUUAUAUUAUUAAGUUUUAUUUCAAGUAAAAGCAUAAAUAGCUAAAUAAAAAUAUUAACCUAAUUAUUUUUCAAUAAUCAUAAUAAAAUAUAAAAACUAUGACAAUAUUCCAUAGGCUACGUAGUGAUUCCUAGAAAUUUUAGGAAAAUUUUAUUUUAUGUAAUACAUAUUUUAUAAACAUAAUUUAUAUUUAGAUUGUAAUAUUUCAAACUUUAGACUGAUUUUGAGUUUAGACUCUUGUUAUUUUUAAUACUCUAUUUAUUAUUUAUUUUUAAUUAAUUUUUAUUUGGCUCACGGGUUGGCCCCCUAUCCAUAUUUCUCAAGCCCCUCAAAUUGGCAGACUUAUUCAGGCCAGGCUAAAAAAUCACCUUUUUCUUAAAUGGGCUCCAAAAAUCAUAGCCCAACCCUAUCAAAUCACGGGUUAGGCUAGGCCGGCCCAACGGGCCUAGCCCAUAUUGACGGCUCUAUAAACAACUAAUAAAACUAAUUGGAUCAUUCUUACUGCACCAUUGGUCCUAAUCCUAUACCUAUCAUACUGAUAUAGAGGCGAAUUCAGAACUUAAAAUUUAUGAAUUCUUAUAAAAAAAAAACUAAAAUUUAUGAACGAUAUAAUUGAGUUCAUAAUCAAAUUAUACUAAAUACUUAAUGAUUUUCUUAGUACAUAUAAAUAAUAUGAAUAAAAUCUAUUGAGUUCACACUAACCUCUCUAUAGUGUGGCAGGUAAAAUCAAUAAUUUUGAUCCAAAUUGUACUUUGUAUUUAUGAUAAUAAAUUUGUUUGUUAUGUGUAAAAAAAUAUUCGGAACCCAAUCCGACCAGUAAACGCCAGUAGUAGUCAUAGUAUUUGGAACAAAGAAAAGCAAGGGAAUAACAAACCAUAUCUUCUGCUCCAACUUCAUUUUCUUAUAGUAUUUUUGGAGGGAAAAAAGGGAAUACAAAUUAAAUAUUAUCAGAAUGCCAACCAAAUACUGACAUUGUGCUCUAUCUUUACUGUGGAAAAAAAUUAAAUGUAAUUUAUUUAUGCAGUUUUUUAAUCUUCCAGGGGUCCCAUUUUUCUAUAGAUUGAAUUAUCUUUAAUAUUUUAUGACAAAAUACUGUAAAGUGGUGUAUAGUGGCAUAUAUAUAUACCAUUUGUAUAUUCCUCAAAAUCAUGAUAAUACCAUUUGUUUCUAACUUUUUAAUUGUACUAAUUGAAUAGAUUAACUGUACAAUAUACUUUUGUUUAGUUCAAAAUUUUCCUCUUUGUACUUUAAGCUUUGGUGUCUAUUGUUUUCCACAUUUUAUGAGGUGUUAGGACUAGCAAAAGGCAUAAUACAUAAACAUACAUUCAAACUAGGUCUUAGUUAGAGUGAUCAUUUAGACACCUCCAAAAUUUAUGUAUCACGUCAGUAUAGGGUGUCCACGAGACACAUUAAGGAUGAGUUGGAGUGUUUAGCUGUUAGUUGAGAUGUCUAGAUGUACAUUCUCAAUUAGUUACGGUUGCGAAAUUUUAAUUGGAUGACAAAACUAGGAUCGAAGUUUCGAGUGUUUGGCAUCUGACAGAUGAAAAAAAAAAUCUGAAAUUUAAGAACAAACUUUUUCUUACAUAACGAACACAUGAAAAUAAGUAAGAAACGUACUUAUUCUCCGGAAAAACAUUUUCCAAUAAGACAUUUUAGAGGCAUUGUUAUCAUUUGGUAGAUCCAGGUCCAUGACCUAUUUCUAUGGAACACAUUUUCCAUGGUACUGAACACACUCUCAGAACUUUGCUCGUUGAUAUCCACUAAUACGGACCUCACUUGUAGGAUUUCAUUGGAUAUGUUGUCGUUGUUUGAGUUGAUAUGCCCUGCUGAAAGUCUUUGUGGGUAGGAGGGAGUAUAAGAAUGAUCCACAACUCCCGGCAACGAUGUAACAUUACCAUGUUGGUCCAAGUAUAACAAAUGGAUCCCUAUUUUCUUUACUGUGCCUCUGCCAGUUUCAUUCUCUACUGUUAUCUGUUCCCCGCCUUUGAUAUUCAGGCCUUUAAAAGGUGUAUCAUUUGAGUAAGAGAAGUAAUAUACAUAUGAUACUUCGUGACUGUCAGAUCUAUCACAAGGCCAAAUCCAUGAAAAACCUGAACGCUUUAUAUGGGCAACAGUAACAGCGAAGUGUAUAAGCUCAUGUACAUCGCAAAGGCGGCAAACAAACCAGAGAACCAUUCCUAAGAACUUGUUAUUAUGUACUGUGGGCAUAGUCAAACAGAUAGAUGUAGCUGUUACUUUAUUGCUGCACCAAUCUGGAAUCUCAUUGCUUUCGUGAUUAAUUUGUAAUGACAGCUUCAUCAGACAAAUUAAGACGCAAUUAGAUCAUUAAUUAUUAAUAUGAUACGAGAGAUAGAUCAUUAAUUAUUAAUAUGAUACUAACCUCAUACCGUUGAUGUUUUCUAGACGGAAUUGAUAGAGCAUGGGCACUAAAGAAGCCUUCAUUGAAUGGAUUCUGCAGAAGAGUACAAUUAAUCAUGCCCAUCUUCUCUAUUGAAGGGAGGUUGUCCAACCCUGUAAUCUUGACCAGUUUUUGGCAAUUCCUAAGUUCAAGAGUUGUAAGGUACUUUAAAUUUGAUAUUGACGGGAGUGUUUGAAGGUUCUCACAAUCAUUCAAAUGCAAGGAACUCAACCGUGGUAACUUGGAAAAAUCAAAGGGUAGAUUGAGGAAACUGUUGCCGCUCAAAUCUAAAUCAUGUAAGUUGGAUAAACUCCCAAUAUCCCUAGGAACAUCAGCCUCCGAGAAACCACAAUAUCGAAGGCUUAACAUCGUAAUAAAAAUUGGCAAGAAUUCUACGCAGCGGACUCUUCUUUGAGAAAACCUCCUUUUGGUCUCCAAGUAUUGACCUCCUAAUUCCAAAAUUAUAAGAUUUCCUAGCAUUUCAACAGAUCCAGGCAAUUCUUUUAUACCUGUUUCACCUGCAUUAAGAAUACUUAGGCUUUGCAUAUCUCCAAUGUCAACUGGCAGUGUUUGUAAAGAUAAGCAGUCAUUAAUGUACAAGUAUUGAAGGGAUUUUAGCUGGCAUAUGCUGCUCGGAAGAUCCGUAAUCUUUUUGCAACCAUUCAAUUUAAGAUCAGUUAGUCUGUCCAAAUUUCCUAUUGAUGGAUGAAUCUCCUUUAGACUUGAGCAAUUCUCAAGCCACAAAGUCUUGAGACUUCGUGAACCGUUGAAGUUUGGAGUUUUUCUAAGGCUCUUGCAAUCAGAGAGAUCCAGCUUUUUCAAAUUUCUACAAUACUAAAAGUAAACAAAAUAUUGUUUCAAUUAAGAUUUUCUUUCUCUUAAACAUUACACAUAAAAUUGCAGAAUUGAGUAACGGACCUGCAAAUUCAAACCAAAUUCUUGGAUAUUGCUCCCUUUCAUAUUCAGAAAUACAAGUUUCUCAGAUGGAAAAUUUGACGGUAUACAUUUUAAAGGACAUCCUUUCCAAGACAGCCAUCUGAGCUCCUUGGACAAUAGCUCAAAAUCUCCACUAAUAUGUAAGUCAUCAAUUUUAAGCACCCUAAGAUAUUUCAUUUUCUGAAAUGCUUUGGUGCUCACCUUCACACCCUUUAAUGCCUGUCGUUCUACCACCAGUAUUUCUACAUUUUCAGAACCCUGCAGUUUAGUAAAAAGAAAAGUACUAUAAGACCAUGUUUAAGUAUGAUAAAUUAAGAAAGAGAAAUGCUUUAUACAAAUUGAAGGUCAAACAAAGAGAAUAAAUUAUCUACCAAUAAAACUAAAUUCACACAUUAUAUCCAACUAAAGGAUAUUUAUUUGAUAAUUUUGUCUUUGAUAGUUUGAGUGUUUAGACUCCAGUAAAUGUUCAUUUCAAGUACAAAAUGGUUCAAACAUCGAGAGAUAAUUUACUUGCCGGAGAAGAAUUAAGCACAAAUGCAUAAAUUAUUAGCAAAUAUAUAUCAAUAUAAAUGAAAAAUGAAGAAGAAUAAGUAUUAACCAAGAUAAAGAUAAUGAAAUUUACUGACUUUAUUUCCUUGUAGAACAUCAAUGGCUUCUAGAGGGUUGAACAAUCUACUUCGUUUUCCAGGGUCUUGAGAUUCCAUGCGAACGAUUUCUCUUCCCAUUUCCUGCACUAGAUCAUGCAUCACCAAACCAGGCCGAUCCUCCCUUUGGAGCAAGUUCCUUUGGACUAAGGUUGAAAUUGCACUUUCAGAAUAAAAACCACACGCGUUUAAUGUUUUGGCAACUUCAUCCUCAUAACAACCAUGGAAGGCACAUGCGAUAUCAAGGAAAACACUCCGAGUAUUGACAUCAAGUCCAUCAAAGCUUAUCUUGAGAAUCUUUUGAAUAUCACCAUGAGGAAUUGCUUUUAGUUUUUUGAACUCGUAUCUCCAUUCUUUAACGGAUCUCCCUAGCAGAUGUGACCCCAAUGUCACAAGAGCUAAUGGUAGCCCAUAUGAAUAUUUUAUUAUGUCUUGUGCCAGUUUAACAUAUUCUUGUGGUGGAGAAAGACUGUUAAAAGCAUGGCAAUAAAAAAGUUGCUGAGCUUCAUUUUCAUUUAAAAGUUUGGCCUGGUAUAUCUCAGUUGUUGUAAGCCCAUACAACAAAUGCUCGUCUCGGGUUGUAAUAAUUAUUACACUACCAGAGCCAAACCAACUUCUUUCUCUUGUUAAGGAUUCUAAUUGGCUUCUAUGAUCCACGUCAUCAAGAACAAUUAGAACCUUCUGAGACCCAAGUCUUGCUUUGAUGAGAUUAACACCUUCAGCAACACUAUCAACUUCAAAUUCCUUAGUUUUGAGGAUUUGAUAAAGUAGUUUCUCUUGAAGCUUGACCAGACCCGAUUCUUCAGUUUUUGAUCUAAUGUCAGAAAGGAAGCAAGUACCAUCAAACCGUUGAAAUAUUCGAUUAUAGAUAGCUUUUGCCAAAGUUGUUUUUCCAAUUCCACCAACGCCACAUAUACCAACCAUGCGAACUUCAUGCUCACAUCCACUUUGCAGUAACACCUCUAUAUGUUUGAUAGGAGAAUCUAAUCCAAUUGGGUAAUGAGCAACAUCUAGAGGUGUCUGGUUAACCUCUUGCAGAACUUGUUUUAUAAUACCUUCAAUAAACUUUGAUUCAUGCCUACAGUUUUUGCAACAAUAAAUACUUAAGUAUUUUAAAAUAUUUGAUGAACAAAAUAAAAACCAAUAGCCAAAAGAUAACAAAGUUUAUAGAAUGGAGAUUAUCCCUUGUCCUAAUCUACAGUUUAAUUUGUCCUUAUCAUGUACUGUGGGCAUAGUGAAACAGAUAGAUGGAGCUGUCACUUUAUUGCUGCACCAAUCUGGAAUCUCAUUGCAUUCGACACAAAUUCGUAAAACUUGCUUCUUCAGAGUGUGAAAUGAUAGAGCCUGGGCACUAAAGAAGCCUUCAUUGAAUGGAUUCUGCAGAGAAGUACAAUUAAUCAUGUCCAUCUUCAUUAUAGAAGGGAGGUUGUCCAACCCUGUAAUCUUGACCAGUUUUUUGCAAUUCCUAAGUUCAAGAAUUUUAAGGUACUCUAAAUUUGAUAGUGACGGGAGUGUUUGAAGAUUCUCACAAUCAUUCAAACGCAGCUCUCUCAAGAAUCGAAACUUAGAAAAAUCACAGGGUAGACAAUGGAAACUGUUGCCACUCAAAUCUAAAGAUCUUAAGGAGGAUAAACUCCCAAUAUCCCUAGGAAUAUCAGCCUCCGAGAAACCACAAUAUGAAAGGCUUAGAUAUGAAAUAAAAAUUGGCAAGGAUUCUACGUGAUGGACUCUUCUUUGAGAAAAUCUCCUUUUGGCCUCUAAAUUUGGACCUCCCACUUGCAAAUUUAUAAGAUCUCUUAGCAUUUCAACAGAUCCGGGCAAUUGCUUUAUACCUGUAUCAAGUGCAAAAAGAUAUCUUAGACUCUGCAUAUCUCCAAUGUCAACUGGCAGUGUUUGUAUUCAAGGGAUUUUAGCUGGCAUAUGCUGUUUGGAAGAUCCGUAAUCUUAUUGCAACCAUACAAACGCAGAUCAGUUAGUAUGUCCAAGUUUCCUAUUGAUGGAUGGAUCUCCUUCAGACUCGAGCAAUUCCAAAGCCACAAAGUCUCGAAACUUUGUGAACCAUUGAAGUUUGGAGUACUUCUGAGGCGCUGGCAAUCAGAGAGAUUCAGCUUCUUCAAACUUGUACAAUACUAAAAGAAAACAAAUUAUAGUUUCAAUUAAAAUUUUCUUUCACUUAGUUGAAAUAUAACAGUACACAUGAAAUUGCAGAAUUGAGUAACGAACCUUCAAUUUCAAACCAAAUUCUUGGAUAUUACUCUCUUGCAUAUUCAGAACUACAAGUUUUGGACAAUAGCUCAAAAUUUCCACUGAUAUGUAACUCGCCGUCAAUUAUAAGCACCCUAAGAUUUAUCAUUUUCUGAAAUGCUUUGGUGCUCAAGUUCACACCUUUUAAUGCCCAUCGUUCUACCACCAGUACUUCUACAUUUUUGGAACCCUGUAGUUUAAUUAAAAGAAAAGUACCCCAUAAGACCCCAUGUUAAGUACGAGAAAUUAAGAGAGAAAAAUGUGUUAUACAAAUAUAAGGUCAAAGAAUUAACCUGAAUACAUUACGUAUCAAGAAAAAUGAAUUCACAAAUUAGAUGAUUAGAUCCAACUAAUUGCUCAAAAAAGCUACAAACUGCAGUUAAAGAGAAAUAACACCAAAAGAAUAAACAAAGAAAACAAUAGCUUAUAGAAACUUGAUAACGGUACAAAUAAAAGAUAGAACAUACAUAUUAGACUAUAUUUAAAAGAAUAUUUGACAUAUAAAGUUUUUGAACUAAUAAGAUAAAUGUUCCACAAACUAAUUUCCGCAAUCAGAUACAAGCAUAUAGAAAUUUAUAAUUAAACAAAAUGCUCAUUUCAAGUAUAUAGUCGCAGGCAAACAACUAGAGAUAAUUUACUAACCAAAGAAGAAGCACAAAUGAAUUGAAUUCUUGUGGUGACAGUAGAAAUUGUAGGUAAAAGAACGGAAUUAUCCAGUUGGUUAAUAAGCAAAUGUUUAUCAAAUUAAAUUGAAAAUAAAAAGUAUAACCAUGAUAAAGAUAAAGAAUUUACUGACUUUAUUUCCUUGUAGAACAUCACGGACAUCUUGAGGGUCGAACAAUCUACUCCGUUUUCCAGGGUAUCGAGAUUCCAUGCGAACAAUUUCUCUUCCCAUAUCCCGCACUAGAUCAUGCAUCCUCAAACAAAGUUCAUCCCUUUGAAGCAAGUGUCUUUUGACCAAAGUUGCAAUUGCACUUUCAGAAUAAAAACCACAUGCAUAUAAUGUUUUGGUAACUUCAUCAUUAGAAAAUCCAUGGAAGGUGCAUGAGAUAUCAAGGAAAACACUUUGAGUAUCAGAAUCAAGUCCAUCAAAGCUUAUCUUGAGGAUCUUUUGAAUAUCACAAUGAGGAAUUGCUCUUAGUUUUUCGAACUCGCAUCUCCAUUCUUCUACAGAUCUCCCUUGCAAAUGUGACCCCAAUGUCACAAGAGCUAAUGGUAGCCCACCUGAGUAUUUGAUUACAUCUUGUGCCAGCUCAACAUAUCCUUGUGGUGGAGAAAGACUGUUGAAAGCACAACGAGACAAAAGUUGCAGAGACUCAUCUGGAUAUAGUAGUUUGGCCUCAUAUCUCUCAUCUUCUCUAAGCCCACAUAGCAAAUGCUCGUCUCGGGUUGUAAUAAUUAUUACACUACCAGAGCCAAACCAACUUCUUUCUCUUGUUAAGGAUUCUAAUUGGCUACUAUGACCCACGUCAUCAAGAACAAUUAGAACCUUCUUUGACCCUAGUCUUGCUUUGAUUAGAUUGACACCUUCGGCAAUACUGCUAACUUGGACAUCCUUAAUUUUGAGAACUUGCCGGAGUAGUUUUUCUUGUAACUUGACUAGACCAAAUGCUUCAGAUUCUGAUCUAACAUCGGAAAGGAAGCAACUACCACCGAAGUGUUGAAAUAUUAAUUGGUUGUAGAUAGCUUUUGCUAGAGUUGUUUUUCCAAUCCCACCAACGCCACAUAUACCAACCAUGCGAAUGUCAUGCUCACAUCCACUUUGCAGUAAUAACUCUAUAGCUUUGACACGAGAAUCUACUCCAACUGGGUGCCAAGCAACAUCUAGAGGUGUCUGGAUGUUGACCUCUUGAGAAACUUGUUUUAUAAUACUUUCAAUAAAUUUUGAUUCAUUCCUACAUUAUUAUUUUUUUAGCGAAACCAGAAGUUAAAACAAAAAAAUAAGUAAAAACUUCGCAUUUGAUGAACAUUUACAAUAUUAGUUAAUUAUCAUUAGAUUCAAUGUUGCUACCGGCUUUAGGAACAUUUACAAAGAAUGUUGAUUGCCACUAAAAUUACAUAUUUAGCAAUAACUGUCGUUAAUUAAUAGCUGCUAAAGAUCAUUUUUGGUGUAGUGACUUGACAAGGAGAUCAAGGUUGAAGAAAACAAAUGGCCUUCGUUCUCUUCAUACAGGACAUUUUAGAAAAUGGAUUUAAUUCACACAUAUCGAUCUUUUUACCUAUUAGUACAUUCUGACUUGAGAUAGCAUGCUAAUAAUUGCUUCUAUUUUUACCAUAUUAUCAACUAGUACAUUUAUCAAAAACAGUAGUUGUAAUUAUCUAAUAAUAAGCAUAUGAUUGUGUAAAUAUACUUCUACACUCAUUAAAAGUGGACAUUUAUAAUUAUCUUGUAAAUAAGACAAGAUACAUAAUAGUGUAAGAAUUAGUGUAUAUAACUUAGAAGCCGUUUGAAUUAAUAAAUCAUACCCGUCAGCAACAUUUUGCAAAUUCCAUCCAGAUAGAUUUGCGGCUUCAGUCAAUGCAGCUUUCCACUUCUCCACCCUUUGAGCUCCAAACAAUCGUUCCUUAUGUUUUGCCAAAGCUUCACCAAAGGACCCAGUUUGCCUUCGCACUUGAGAAGGAUCAACAUCAUAGAAAAUAGGCAAAACUACCUGAUUUAACCUCUCUCUGCAAUCGAGAAUUUUAACGAGUUCAUCAAGACACCAACUAGACGAAGCAUAAUUUUUGGAGAAAACAACAAUGGCAACCCUAGAUUCUUCAAUUGCUUUCUCAAGUUUGACUGAAAUGACUUCUCCCUUUCUCAAUUCUUCAUCAUCUAUGAAGGUAUUAACUCCGACUUGACACAAUCUGAAAUAAAGAUGACUGGUGAAAUUUUUGCGCGUAUCUUCACCUCUGAAACUCAGGAAUACGUCAUAAUGAUAAUAGAAGUGGGAAGAAGUAGAUGAUUCUCCUUUUACAAAUUGAGUAUCCAUGUAUUGAAACUUCGGUGUGAUGGAAGGAUGAAAUUUAAGUUUUAUUUGUCCAAUAAAUAUAUUGAAAAUUAAAAUAAAUAUCCAUUUUUAGCUAUUCAAUUUGCAACAAUUAAGAUAAACUUUACUACUAUUUAAUUUAUAAUUUAAUCUUGUUACUCGGCUUGUGUCGUUGGACAUCAACAUAGUCGUUAACAUGUCACUAUGUGCCGGCAUUAAUUAUAAUCAUUUUGCAAUAUAUUAGCUAAAAUAUUAAAUUUAUUGUAUUUAAAAUUGUUAUAUCAUAUUUAAAUAAUAUAUUCUGUUGUCUGUUUUGGUCAAGAAUUAAUGGAUCCGUCGUUAAGUUUAAUUAAUACUCCCUUCAUCCACUUUUUAUUGUCAUAGUUUUUCUUUUAGAGUAAAAUUUUUUUUACUAAUAUUUUAUAAUGUAUUUUUUUCAUCAUAUUAAUAUGCAAAAAAUUGUAAUUUAUAAUUUUUUCGUAUAGUUUUUGAAUAUCUAAAUUUUUUAUUUAAAAUAUCGAAUUAAUAUAAUCUAAUUUAACUUUGAAAAUUAAUCAAAUUAACUUUCGAAAAUGACAAUAUGAUAAAAAUGGACGGAGAGAAUACCAAAAGAGUUGGCAAAUUUCCACCAAAACUUCGCAAGUGGAAAUUAUUAUUAUCUUAAAGUUAUGAAUUCACAUCUAUAAUUAUUAGUUAGUUUAUUAUAUUUAAAUAAAAAAGAGGAAAAGUCGGAAGUUGUAAAAUUUUAAAUGACAAGUUGAAUGUUUCAACGUUGAAUUUAUGAUACUUUAAUAAGCAAUAUUCGUUCUGUAAUAAAUUAAUCGCAAAGAAUUGAUUAGGAAUUUGGUUGAAAAUAGAAAUGGUCCAAUUCAAGAUGAAACUAUUAGAAUUGACCUUUGGUGAGGAAGUAAUUAAACUACUCCCUUCGUCUAUUUUUAUUUGUCUAGUAUUAACGCAUGCAAUAAAUAAAACAAAAACAUGAUCGUAUUUAUUCUUGUAUUCUCACAAAAAAGUUAUAUUUGUCAUUUGUUGUACUUUAGAGUCAUAUUUAUCCUUGAGGCAUUAAAUCUCCAUGACCCGCCUUAAUUUAACGCAGAAUAGGACGAACACUCUUCUCCAAAGUCCAAGCUAAGACUGGCAUUGUAGGUUACAAUGUUCUCUGGCAUUGUAGGUUACAAUGUCCUCCAAAGUCCAAGCUAAGACUGCCAUUACUAAAAAUCAAUAAAUUACACAGUUCGAUCACUUACAAUGUUCUCUGGCAUUGUAGGUUAAUCAGAGAGACCCUAUAUUCACUAUACAAUGAAAAAGUUGAUUCAAUUUUUUUAAACUAAGCUUUAGUGCAACUCAACGUACUAGCACUAUACAAUGGAAAAUUUGUUUACAUAAAUUAAACAAAAUUUUCUAUAGAAGCUACUGCCUAUAUCGAACACUCAAUUGUUCAUACCUAAUAAUGGCUUUGUAGCCCUAUAAUAGUACACAUUCUACUACAUCCAUCUUCAUUGACAUCAUUUUCCUCUUCUUGUGUGCUUUAUGCUUUUCUGCAAUCCUCAGCUUCCUCUUGGCAUUUCUCAUUGGAUUGACCACAGCAAUGACCUUCUCUUCUUGUUUCCUCUUAUCCCUCUUCGAUUUGAUAUUCUUCCUUAUAUGACUGUAAAUUUGGACAAAAAUAUGUGUUCCUAUAACAUUGCUUAUGCUCCCCCGCACUCCUUCAGCCAGUUGUUUCACGUCAUCUGUGGAGAUGAUGUAAACAUAAUCAUCAAAUAUAUUAAGGACUACAAAGUUUAAUCACUUGGAAUCCAAAACGAAAAUGAACAACAUUUGUAAAUGGUGGGAGAAUUACAUAUUAAUUGAGUAGUUAAAAGAAAACUAGCUUGAUUCAGGACUUUGCUCUGCUGCGAGUAUAAAAAUGAUCCACAAUUGCUGGCAAAGAUGUAAGAUUGUCAUGUUUGUCUAAAUACAAGAGAUGUAUCCCUAUCUUCUUUACUCUUAACUUUCUCAGCUUCGUCUAAUGGGUGGACUGUUAUCUGCUCCCCGCCUUUGAUCAUCCCGUCAUCUCUUAAGUAAGGUAUGUAAUAUAUCCAUGAUACUUCUUCGUAUUCUUGGGGUACAAUAAUAUUGCAAUGCGUUGACAUACAUACUCUCUCUAUAGGAUACAGUAACGACAAAGUGUCCAUAAGAGCAUAAACCCUUAAUGUGGCAAUUAACAAGCCAGACAACCAUUCCGAAAAACUUAUACUUGUCUUUAUUAUGUACUGUGGGCAUAGUGAAACAGACAGAUGGAGCUGUUACUUUAUAGCUGCACCAACCUGGAAUCUCAUUGCUUUCGAGAUUAAUUUGUAACCCAUGCUUCAUCAGACAAAGACACAAUUAUCUAGAUCAUUAAUUCAUUAAUAAUGUGAUACAAUUGAGAUUGAGAGAAAAGGAGAGAGUAUAACCUGAAGUGUACGUUUUACAAUUAGAGCAUGUGCACUAAAGAAGUCUUUAUUGAAUGGAUUCUGCAGACAAGUACAAUUAAGAAUGUUGAUAUGCAAUAUUGAAGGGAGUUUGUCCAACCCUGUUAUCUCGACCAACUUCUGGCAAUUCUCAAGUUCAAGAGUUUCGAGAUUCUCUAAAUUUGAUAACAAAGGGAGUCUUUGAAGAUACUCACAUAAUUCCUUCAACCAUCGUAACUUGGAAAAAUCAAAGGGCGGACCAUGAAAACUGUUGCCACUCAAAUCUAAAGAUACUCAGUGGCGGCUCUACAGCUUUGAAAAAAAAACAACUGCCUUAGGCACCAAAAUUUGAGGGGCCUCAUUUUUUAAAAAUACAAGAGGUUAUACAUAUUUUUUUUAAAAAAUAUCGCGUAUAAUUUGUAGAAAAUAUAAUUUUUUCAUAAAAGAGCAAGGAAGUAAUAGAAGUUUGACAAAUUAUGAGUACUAUGUCUCAAGAAAGAUUAAAUAAUUGGCUAUAAUAAACUUCAUAAAAAAUAUAUAUUCGAAUUUAAGGCCUCCAUUCGAAUUUUGCUUUAGGCCACCGAUUUAUUAGAGCCGCCCCUGAUUAGAUACUAAGGAGGUUAAACUCCCAAUAUCCACAUGAAAAGCAGCCUUGGAUAAACCAAAAUUUUUAAGGACUAAACACGAAAGAGAAGUCGAUAUGGAUUUUAUGACUAAUUCCUUGAUUAUUGGCCUGUAUAUAUGCAUUUCCAACUUCUAAAGUUUCAAGAUUUCUUAGCAUUUCAGCAGAUGUAGGCAAUUGUUUUAUAUCUGUAUCACUUGUUUUGUCAAUUGGCAGUGUUCGUACAGAAAAGCAUCUAGCAAUGUCUAAGAAUUUAAGGGAUUUUAGCUGGCAUAUUGAUUGAACGAUCUCCUUCAGCCUUGAGAAACCUUGAAGCUUUAAAGUCUCGAGAUUUGUUGCACCGUUGAAGUUUGGAGUUUUUUUGAGGGCCGAGCACCAAGAGAGAUUCAACUCCUUCAACCUUGGGCAACACUAAAUGUCAACCAAAUCCAACAUUCAAGUUAUAUAAGAUUAUUUUGUAUAAUUUCACUAGUCAAUGAAAAAUGUAGAAUUGGGCAACAAAUUAAACCUGGAAAUUCAAACCAAAUUCUUCGAUAGCACUCCCUUCCAUAUUAAGAACUACAAGAUUCGCAGCUGGAAAAUUUGGUGGAAUAUAUUUUAAAUGACAUCUUUGCCAAGAUAACCAUUUGAGCUCCUUGGGAAAAUGCCACAAAUCUCCAUGAAUACGUAAUCCAUUGAUUAUAAGCACCCUGAGUUUCUUCAUUUUCUUAAAUGCAUCGGUGCUCAACUCCACUCCCUCUAAUUCCCCUGGUUCAUCUAACCUCAUUACUUGUACAUUUCCGGAACCCUGUAGUUCAGAGAAAAUGUUUUAAUUAGGACUAAGAAUUGUAACACGACAUACAAUUAAAUUGAAAAGGAAAAAGAAUUUACUCAUGUUUUUUCCUCGUAAAACAGCACAGACUUGUUGAGGUAUGAAUAAUCUACUCCGUUCUCCAAGGCAUUGAGAUUCUGAGCGAACAAUUUCUCUUCCCAUAUCUCGCACUAGAUCAUGCAUACUUACACAACCCCCAAGUACCCCUUGGAGCAACUGUUUUUGGACUAAAGUUGCAAUUUCACAUUCAGUAUGAAAACCACAUGCAUUUAGUAUUUUGGUUUUCUUGAGAGUCUUUUGGAUAUCAUCACGAGGAAUUUCUUUUAGUCUCUUGAAUUUGCGUCUCCAGUUUUCUAUGGAUUCCCAUCGCAAAUGUGAACCCAAUGUCACAAGUGCUAAUGGUAGCCCACUGAAUAUUUGAUUAUGUCUUUCGCCACCCCAACAUAGUCUUGAGGUGGAGAAAGACUGUCAAAAGCAUGACGAUAAAAAAGUUGCUGAGAUUCAUUGUCAUUUAAUAGGUUGGUCAUAUAUCUUUUUGCAUUAAGCCAACUUAGCAAAAGCUCGUCUUGGGUUGUAAUAACUAUUAUACUACCCAAACCAAACCAUUCCUUUUCUUUUGUUAACGAUUCUAAUUGUUUUUUUUUUGUGUCCACAUCAUCAAGAACAAUUAGAACCUUCUUUGACCCCAGUUUUCUUUUGAUUAGAUUGAUUCCUUCAGCAACAGUGCGAACUUUGUACUCCUCGGUUUUGAACAGUAUAUUGAGAAGUUUCUCUUGUACCCUUUCUAGACCCUUUUUUUCUAGCAAUCUAACAUCAGAAAGGAAGCAACUACCAUCGAAGUGUACAUCUCUAAAUAAUCGAUUGUAGAUAUCUUUGGCCAGAGUUGUUUUCCCGAUUCCACCAACUCCAUAUAUACCAACCAUGUGAACUUCAUCUAUGUGUCCAUUUUGCAAUAACGACUUUAUAGGUUUAGUACGAGAAUCAACUCCAAUUGGGUAAGAAGCAACAUGUAGAGGUGUAUGGUUGACCUCUUUCUUCAUAUCUUGUAUAAUCAUUUCAAUAAAUUCAGCUUCAUGCCUACCAAUAUUUUUACCAAAAAACACUCACAUGAUGGGAGGUGUUACGCUUUAAAAUAGUUGCCUAUCUAUGGAUGGCAAUGGGGGCGGUGCGGGACGGGACGCGUUGAGCUUAAUGUAUAAAAAAUUUAAUUCGCUCUGCAUAACAAUUUUUUUCAUUUUCAACCUGCCCACAUGAAACUCCCCACAUAGUUUUUUUAAAUAUUUUUCUUUUCUAGUUAAGUUUGAUACUCAAAAUGAAAUUCAUAAAAAUAAAUUCUUUUUUUCAUUAAGUUGUAUUAAUUUAAUAGAAAAUGACCUAAAUUUUAUUUUUUAGAAGUCAAUUGGGAAACAUGUAAGAAAUUGUAUUAAUUUUUAUUGAAUCAUUUUCUUUUACCAUCUUGAAUAUUUUAGUAGCUUUAGAGAAAUUAUCUUAAUAAAUAAUGUUCUAUCACUCUUAUAACAUGUAAAAAGUUAAAAUUAAAUUGAAUCCACAUAAUGCCACAUAUUCCCGCAACCCAUCCCGUCCCACAUAGCCUUAAAUCCACUCCAACCCGCAUCCGCCCCGUCUCAUUGUUAUCUAUGGCUAUCAAACGACCCAAAAUUGUUAACCGAAACAAAAAGGAAGUUUCCUAAGAGGUACUUUCUCUUUUGGGUAAUAACCAUAGUUAAUAGUAUAAUUAAAAACAUUACAUUUCAUCCUUGUAGGAAAUUACUUAUGGGGUUCUUGAUAGGCAAUCUUACUGUGGAGGAAAGUUGAUAGAAAUUAAAUGGAAACAUUCAAAUUCUUUUUCUUUUUAAUUGAAUGGUUUCACAUUCUAAAUUUCUCUACCCACCAAAGGUCAAUUCUAAUAGUGGUUGCAUCUUGAAUUGGACCCUUUUUAUUUUUAAACAAAUUUCUUAGUACACAAAACAAAUAUAUUGCUUACGUAAAGCAAGGUAUCAUAAAUUCACGUUGAAACAUUGUAGUUGCCCUUUAAAAUUUUACAACUUAUGAUUUUCAUCUUUUUUAAAAAAAAAAAAAUGCAAGAAAUAUGUCAUGAUGUUCCACUAUGCCUUUAUAAAUCUCCAUUUAUCUUUGUUUUGUUUGUUUAAUCGAAAUUUAAUCUUCUUACUGUUACGAUUACCAGAUUUUACACACUACUUGCCUAUUCUUUCUUCUUCUAACCUUUUCUUUUCCUUUUUGAAUAUUUUCUUUUAAUAUUAGUAUUUCUUUUGAAUGGUCUAACCAGUAGUUGAACUUAGAAGCUUUCUUUGGUUAUGAAACCAAAUUAAUAUUAUUUACCUUAUAUAGAGGUAUUGCCACUAUAAGUAAUACAAGGAUUAACUAUUUUACGCAAAAUUUUAGUAAAUGUGCUUUUACAUAAAUUUCCAUUCAGUGUGACAUACACGAAGUAAAACCACAUGUUUCUUCUUUUUGCAUUCCAAAAAAAAGGAAGAAGAUUCUUCUCCAUUACUAAAAAUCAAUAAAUUACACAGUUCAAUCACUUACAAUGUUCCCUGGCAUUGUAUGUUAAUCAAAGAGACGCUAUAUUCACUAUACAAUGAAAAAGUUGAUUCAAAAUUUUAAACUAAGCUUAGUGCAACUCAACAUACUACCACUAUACAAUGGAAAAUUUGGUUACAUAAAUUAAACAAAAUUUUCUAUAGAAGCUACUGCCAUCGAAGAUCGAUGCUCAAUUGUUCAUACCUAAUAAUGGCUUUGUAGCCCUAUAAUAGUACGCAUUCUACUACAUCCAUCUUCCCAUCUUCAUUGACAUCAUUUUCCGUUCUUGUGUGCUUUAUGCUUUUCUGCAAUCCUCAGCUUCCUCUUGGCGUUUCUCAUUGGAUUGACCACAGCAAUGACCUUCUCUUCUUGUUUCCUCUUAUCCCUCUUCGAUUUGAUAUUCUUCCUUAUAUGACUGUAGAUUUGGACAAAAAUAUGUGUUCCUAUAACAUUGCUUAUGCUCCCCCGCACUCCUUCAGCCAGUUGUUUCACGUCGUCUGUGGAGAUGAUGCAAACAUAAUCAUCAAAUAUAAUAAGGACUACAAAGUUUAAUCACUCGGAAGCCAUAAAGGAAGUGAAGAAUAUUUGUAAAUGCAGCUAGCACUUGGCAUAUAAGAUAGUAUGGACAGACACUUGAAACAAUAAGUUAGCAAGAGAUUAAAUGAGAGACCAUACCUGAUAUAACUUUUCCGGCAAAUCCUUCACAAACUUUGUACAGGGGCAACAGCAUAUGAUAUGCAAAGCUUUGGCAAUCAACCUCACCUUCAGGGGACAACAAUCUACUCUGAUCUAUAAGCUUUGGUGAAACUGAUUUGAAACAAUUGAAGAUAAUUCUCAUCUGCAAAAAAUUGUGCACAUUCCACAGCAUGAGAACAGGCACUCCUAGCACCAUAUAUGGGAGAGUAAGGCACAAAAUAUUUUUUUUGGAAAACAACGAGAAGGUAAAUUACAUAGCAAUGACUAGGCUAAGAAAUUUUUUGCGAGUCGAGCAAACAGAGAUAUCCUUAAUUAAUCACCCACCUGCAUAUCCUCCACAUGAAGGGAAAUCUUUCCCAUUGUCUUAAGCAAAUAAGAAAUGACCAAGUAGCGCUGGCCUUCAUCUUCUUGAUCGCUAAGGUCAGACACAAGAGACAGAUAGAUGUUUUUCCCUUUCCUUGAAUCAAGCUGUUGAAAAGCCUUAAGUAGAAGACCCUGCUCGUCAUGUUCAAUGGUGGACCAGAACUCAUCUUUACAUUCAUUUUUUCCUAAGAAUGAAUGCAGAGAGCAAAUUGAAAAGACAAGAUUUUGAGUAAUGAGAUCACUGGCAGCAUCAUCAGUCUGCAGCACCUUCAGCUGACAACAAAGAGAAGUAGCUACGAAGAAAAGUCUACUUGGCCUCAUCAAAAAGUAAGUUUCUUGUGGCAGUUCAAGGUUUUCUUUCCAAGCCUCAGUCACAGUGGCAAAGUAGCAAGCCACAAGACGGUUUGAUAUGUUGCGCAACCACAGAUGCGGAUGCAAAAGCAACUCACAGAUUGCUUCCCACAGAUCCUAUGAGAUGUCAAUAAAAAUAAUAGUCAGAAAACAAAUAUGAAUUUAUCCAAAGAACAGGACAAGUUAUUGGCAAUCUGGAAAUGGGAGUGUGGUAGCUGUGGAGCGUACUUUCCCCAGUACAACAAUAACAUACCUAGUGAAAUCCCACUAAGUGGGGUCAGGGGAGGGUAGAGUGUACGCAGUCCUUACCACUACCUCGUGGAGGUAGAGAGGCCGUUUCCGAAAAACCCUCGGCUCAAGUGCAUCAAACCAAAGUAAAAGUAUCCUCUUCAAACUUUAAGCCCAGUAUACUAUUCAAACUCUAAGCACUUGAUUUUCAAAUACUUCUUAACUUUACACCUAGUCUGUAGUUGCAAACUAUCUUUUGGCAUGCUGCCUAAGUUUGAGGACCAAAGCAAUUUCACCGAAUUGGUUUUAACCACACCAAAAAGUAAUUUAUUUCUUAAAUCUAUCACAAAGCAAAAUGAGGUCCAGUGGUUUNNNNNNNNNNNNNNNNNNNNNNNNNNNNNNNNNNNNNNNNNNNNNNNNNNNNNNNNNNNNNNNNNNNNNNNNNNNNNNNNNNNNNNNNNNNNNNNNNNNNUAUCAUAAUCAAGAUCUCCCAACUCUACAGUAGACGUCGCAUUCAAUUCACGAAGAAGAUUUGCCUGUAUGAAAUUAAGAGGUGUUACACGUCAACAAACACCUAAAGCAUCAAGUUCAAAAGAAAACUAGAUGGUCUAGUAAUACCGUAGGAUGUACAGAAGAAUCAUUCCCUGCGACAGCAUCAAGAACAUCACAAAUAGAAGUACGGACAUCCAAGCCAGCAGAAAUUACGAGUGGAGAAACAGAUUUGACGGUCUUUUUACUGCUUUCACUACCCAAUGGUUCUACAAUAUCCUUAAUAAUCUGUAAAGUGCCUACACAAAUCUCUGCAACCAGAAAGAAAGGUAAUCUUAGAAAAAGAGCAAGGACAUGAGACCAAACAGGUCCACCUAAACUGUAAGACAAAACUGAGACUCUGACCAGGGUCUUUGGAUCUCUUUGACAGAAGCGGAAGCAAGAUGUCAAGAAACUUCCUUGCAGCCAAUGGUCCCUUUAUGUGCUUCGAUAAAAGCUUGAAGACAUUGAGCUCUUUUUCCCCAGGAUAUUUGACAAUCUUCCUGGAAAAGUGAAUACAUCAGUUAAGAGGAGAACUGAUGCUAGUGCAUCUCAUAUAACACUUAAUUACAUAAAGAGCAUGCUAAGUCCACUUAGCCAUAUAGGGUGGAUGACACGUACACUCUCUCUUGUAGUUGUGGGGUGGGAGAACUAUGGAAGAAAAAGCUAGAAAACUACAAAGAAAAAGAUUUAGUUGGACAGGAACAUACUUUGUGUUCUUUUCUUUCCUCCUUUUUUUUGGGAAGCAUACAUGUGUUUUUCUUUCCUUUUUUUUGUGUGUGCGCGGGGGGAUCUGUCCCUACCUACCUCCAUCCACUCUCUUUCUCUCCCGCUCAUAUAUAAGUCAGAUUAAAUUUAUCGUUGGAAACGAUUCACUAAUCCCCAUCAAUUUAAGAAAAAAUGAAUUAGAAUAAAAGAACAAGCCAAUACAAACUCAAGUUGGUAGCUCCAAAUAGCAGCGAAGAAAAUCGAUAGUGAAAAGGAACAGGACGCUGAUGAAGCAUUAAGAAUCAAUGUACGAGGUGCCAGUAAGAUAAGUUCAUACUGAGUACUUCUUCAAAAUAGAAUUUUCCUUCACUGACCUAGAUAGUUGUUUAAGAGUGCCACUACAUUCUUUAAGAUGAUAUUUGAGUCCUAUGUGAAUACUCAUAGUUAGCACUUACAAGUGCAAGUAAAACUGUGGUCAGACAAAACUUGAGCAUUAUGUACAUUAUUAUCCAACCACAUUUGAUGUGAAGAUAACACAUUUUGAUAGGCUCUCUAAUUGUUAAAAUGUCAUAAGACAUCAUAUCCUGAGGUGACUGUUAAAAUUUGUAAUAUCAGCUAAGGAACAAUUUCGAGGCUGGUAAGUCGCAAGCCAAACGAAUAUAUGAUUUACAUGGAUUAGUUAUUUAAAGAUUUGUGCAAUAAGCUAUAACCAGCAAAGAAAUGUUUUCAGCAUAUGGGUCAAUUUUGAGCAUGAUAUUGAAGUCCUAUAAAUUGACACAAUCUUCAAAGAGGGAAAAAAAAUUAAAGCAACAACGUAAAUUUCACAUUGUCAUACCUCUUAUGUGCACCGUCAUGUACAAAAAGAUGAUGCAAACUGCAUACUAGUACAUCAACGUGAGGAAGCAGUAAUCUCUUAAGUGGGUUGUCUUCAUUACCUAGCUCAAUAUCAAGAUAUAACAGAUUCUCCACAAACUUAAGAACUGAGGAAACGAUGGCAUCUGAUGCUGUUGAGACUGCUAGCAUCGAAAAUACAUCAGGUACAAGGUUCUUUUCUCGGGACAACAGAGGCACAAGUUUGGAACUUCUACUCAUAGCCAGAAAACAAGAAAAUAACGAGCUUGCUUUCUCACUACUAGCACCUUCCUGUUUGAAACUGGCAACUAAGGGUUUUACUGACAUAAAGAACAAAUCCCAAAAUUCAGGACUGAAAUCAUGAUCUUCAAAUUUGCUAAGGAUAAAAGAGAUGAUCUUCAGGCAUAAAGAUCUCAAAUCCUUGCACUGCUUUGCAGCCAUGUUCGUCUGCACAAAAACCAAGACAUUGGUUAAUAAGAUUUUUCUAUACAGUAUUUUCAAAUACUGGUUAAUAAGUAUUUCUUCAUUCAAUUCACAACUUCACCACAAACACAGAGCCGCCUUUUUUCUAAUAAGGAAUAAUUUGAUUAUCAAUUGAGGGAAACCCUGUAUGCAAACCAUAUAUCAAAAGUUCAGAACCUACACCAAAACAUGGUUCUCAACAAAAAUGAUCCAAUCCUCCAUACAAAUAGGGACCUCACAAAUACACCAAAAAGAAACUAGAGAUAAAACACUAAUUUGCAUUUUCACAAAAUCUAGUUCCACCCAUUCAAAUGCAAUCUUACUGCUCUCUUUCCAAAUGAUCUACAUGAUUGCUAAAGGGGCAACACCCCAUGUCCUUGGGCUUCUCUUCCCCCCUUCUAUGGGUCCAACUUUGCACAACUUCCUUCACAGUACCCAGCAUCACCCAUUGCAUACCAAACAAAUUAAGGGCCCUUAAAGGUGUCCCUUAAUUUGUUUAGCUUCCUCCCACCCCUUCAUGAUACUCCUCUACAAACCACACCGAAACACAAAGUUUCCUUUAGUUUUCUCAGAGAUUAUAUAGAGGAAAACUACGUUAGCAGCAGUUAAAAGUUCUUGAUUCCUCUCGAGAUCAAACAUAAAUACCCAUGAAAAGAAAAUGGCAUACUAUACAGAGUGUUCCUGUCGCCUAUUAAAACCAAAAUGAAGUUUACUCUAACUGGAAAAAUGGGAAAAUUCGUACCUCCCAUCCCUUCCCCAUUUUAAGCCAUAAAUUUUAUGAAUAGUUGACCAAACCACCCUCAAAAAAGCUACCUCUUUUAGGUUAUUGCUCAAGGGUGAUCUGAAAGGAAUACUAAUACUGUCAACCUCCAAAAACCAAAUCAAGGGAUAUACAAAAUCAUUUACUAUUAAUAUUAAGUGUCAACCACCUAAUACAAUAUUUUGGGCAACAACAUCAGUCUUUUUUUUCUAAAAGUAAACCUGCUAGGCUGUAGUACAGCAGAUGAUGACAUUACCACGAUUUUAUCCUCUACUUGGUGAGCAUGAUCUGCCAGCGUCCCAUCAUUUCGUGUCCCUUCAAGAGUUGAUGUACAGCUGUCCAAGAGACGCACAAUGCAUCCCAUUAACAGGUCAAGAAAAGGGCUAAUGUGCACUUCAUCAAAAACAGCUACAAUAUCCUCAAUUACAUGUAGAAAACCAUAUCUCUUCUUCCAUGAAAUGACAUUGAUACAAUCUCUGGAAAAAUGCUCCAAGACACUAAAUGAGUCAAGCCCAUGCUGAAGAACUCCAGGUGUAGUCCAGGGCCAUGCACUCUUUGCUGCAGCACCUUGUGAAGCCGAUACAAGGGGUUUUAUUAGCAAAGCAAAGAAAAGAGGAAGCUCUUCAACAUCUAGCUGAGAUAAGAAGCCAAGAAUCGCCUUUCGAUGAUGGACACUUGCAUGCUGAGACAAAUAAUGCAUUAAGUUACCGUAUUAUACUGGAAAUGGUAAAUAAAGAAGAGAACGUAAAGAACAGGAAACAAAAAGCUAUGAUACUAGAGGUCAGAGAAAAUUGAAUAAAUUUGAUAAAUACCUUACGAGAAGCGAGCGCCUUUAACUUUCUGACUUUUGGAGACAGUACUCUGAUAACAACAGGCACAAGGAAAGCUCUAUGCCUUGUAUCAACAAGAUCUGAUUCCCUAGAUAAGCUCCACGUCGUGAGCUCCUCCCUCAGACUUUUCGAAUUGAUCAGAUUUUUUAGAUGCUGAUCAUACGGAAGUAAGAAGUCAUCUUUCCAAUUUAACAGGCAAUCAAGGACCUUACUUUGCAUGUCAGCAUCAUCUUCCUCGAGAAGUCUGAAUCCCCCACCCCAAAAUAAAUAAAUAAAAAAAAAAGAAGGAAGAAUACAAUUAAUAGGUAACCUCAAAAAAGAUUUAAUGAAGUACACAAAUUUUGACUGUUGAGAAUAAUCCAAAACGCAAACCUGUACAGCAAAACCUCCUUGAAGAAUUGAUUGAGAUAAAAAGACCUAGGAUUUCGCAUCAGUCUGAAUAAGGACAGCCAUUCUUGAAGAACACUUUUCCACUCUUUCCCCUUAGAACCCUCCUGAUUGUAUAACUCCACACUGCAUUUUCCAGAACAAGCAGAUAAACACUGGUUAACUGGAGAGGAUAGAAGCGCACACACUUACUGCAAACCUUAAAAACUAUAGUUGAAAAAUAAAAUGAACCUCUUAAGAUCUUCAAUAUUAUAGCCUAGGAACUUCAAGAACAGAGGGAUGAUUUGUCGUGAACGCGAUUCAGCAACAGAUGGAAUUCUCUGUAAGCACUGAAUCAACAAGGAAAAAACUGUUGCACAUGACGCAUCAUCAGACACCGGACAGACAUAAGACCUAAAGCUUCCAUUCAAAUCUGCAAAUAUAUAUCACAAUAAUUAAUAAGUAAAACCACUGUGGACAAAAAAGAAUAGCCAGUGGACUGUAUGGAGUAAAAGAAAAGCUAGCCAACAGAUAAAAUUUAUCUUUGAGAUCUGGGAUAAAAUAGAUGGAACAUACUAUUAGCUGUUUCUAACGAUUCCCCCUUGCUUUGAGCAGCUUCAUCACGAGAACCCAGAAAAACAAACAGAUAAUGAUCAAGGUACUCAAUAUAUCUGUCCCACAACAGCCCAAAGUAUUGACUGAGGAGGACAGCUAUGCAGUCCAAUGUUGGGUUCCACAAAUAGCUAAAACGGUUAUGAAAGAUUCCAAUAAUUCCACUGAGAACAACAGGCAUAUACUCUUCAGCUACCCUCCCAGCAGAUAAACUCAUCUGUAUUUUGGAUAUCAGUAGGAUGACUUUUCUACUGGUCACAAUAGAAAGAGGCGUUUCUUCAAUCAAAAGUAGGAGAUGAAUCACCUGGAAAUAACCAGGAAAGGAUUAGUGACAGAAGAAAUUACAUAACAAAGGAGAAGGUAUCACAUUCAUACAUUAUUGCCAUGGUAAUCCACAAGAGUGGUCUGAGGAUUAUCCAUUCUCAUUUUCUUCUCAAGGGGCCGUUCAUUAGUAGAACUGACAUCAGUCAAAGGUUCAUAGUGGCACAAUAUUCUCAAUGUCGAAAGCCGCAAAUUCUUGUCGUGGUGGCUCAAAUUUGCAGCAAACACGCCUAAGGCAUCCACCAACUUACUCACUGCAAGCUCUGGGUGAAACUUUUUAGUGCUUGCAUCAGCUUGGAUUAUGGACCUUCAAGCAUAAUUGUAAAGGGGUUACCAACUGAAAGGAGUAAAAAGAGUUACAAACCUGAUUUUCAAACAAAUAUGAACAUACCCACAAACUGAAUCCAAAAAAUCAGCUACUGGAGACAACACGUGAGAACAUGUCUUGUGCUUCCUUGCCAGAUCUAAGAAACUGCUUACGACAGAAUCAUCAAAUCUGGAAUUUUGAUUGGUCAGUGACUUGCAAUAAGAACCCAAUGCAGCACCAACCAAGCUCUGCCAGGUAGUUCUGGGAUGCCCAGCAAUGUCAGCUAAGAAAAGCAAAGCACACAAAGGACAGUCAGAAAGAGAGACAUGUAAUAAGUUUUAGUGAAAAAAAAUUCCCUAUACAUUGGAGGGGGAGGGGGAAGGUCACAGACUCACAGCAACAAGGUCAUCAAAGAUUCGCUUCUUUUAGAAACAGAUGACACAUUCUAGCAUAUAGGCACUAAGGUCCAUAUCAUGAACAUCCCCCAAUUAAAUUUUAGCACUUGGUGUGUGAAAUAUUUGUUCUUUUUUGUCCCAUAAAUACCAAAGGUGGUAUAGAACUUUGUAUAGCUAAGUUUCUCCCUAAGGAAUCUAACUCAUCUCAGAUAACAUGUCUUACCAGAUUCAGUACUCAAAAGCUCAUCUAGAGCAUUAACCAAGUCCAUUAGCAAUGACUCAUUCGCUGAACCACCUGCUAUAGGGUAACAGCCUACGAUUCCCCACAGAAUGGCUAACUCAUUUUCUUCAAUUUGGGUAGAAUAUGGUUCCUUUUGAAUCCGCCGAAUCCAGCGGCCAAUGGCUUCUCGGAGAAAACUACGAAUUCUUGAAAGCUUCUCAUUUGGAACUUCAUCCAAGAAGCUAUGCCCUUGUGCUGGCAGCCUCUUAAAAAAGAUCUGCAGCAAAUGUAUAACCUCUUCUUCUGAAAUCUCAAUCAUAUCAUUUAAUGCACUGAAAUGUCAUUCAAAGAUUAAAGAUCAGUUAGCAACCAUUAAUUAUCACAUAUAAAGAAAUACCAAAAAACAAGAAACCACAAUUCAUCCCAUGAAGUGUGCUUUCAUGUGCAAAAGUGAAGCCAGGGACAAGGGCAGGACCUUAUAAUGCUAGCUCUGAAGAAAUGGACAAUGCAAGGGUCCUUCAAUAGAAGAUCUUCGACAAAAGACAGCAAACUACAACAUUAGGCAAUUGUUAGGGAAACAAGCAAGAAAUAUCACCUGGAAGACAAGCUCACAUUUGCAAAAGAAAGGCAAUACCUCUUAUUCCUCAAAUCAAACACAGGAGCCCAUUGCAUUGAAACAGAAGAGAGAGUAGAAAUAUUAUUAGCUCUAUAUAGACCAUCAAGAAUGCAAAGCAUUGACUGCAUAACUUUGUCAACAAUGUUUGAUGUUUGAUCAAUUGCCUUCACAGUAGGAUAAGGCAGAAUGUAAGUCUGUACAAGUAACUGGAUCAAUUGUAGCACCCCUUGGUAAUCUGGAAUAAGCAAAAUAUCUUAGAAAACUAUUUCAUAAUGUACAAGGCAAAGCACAUGAACAUCGCUUAUAGCCUACCAGAAAUUUUCUGAAUGUAACUAGCUUGCAGGGUAGAAACAAGAAGGGAUAAAAGGCGACCAAGGUGCAAUAGGUGGCCUUGAGAUACACACUCCGUUAUCUCCUCAUAUAAGCAAACCCACAUCAACUCCAACUCUGUAGCUUCCAAUUCCUCACAUAAUCUCUGCAGUGCUAGAACAAGAACUUCAAGAAUAGCCUCAACACCUACACUUUGCCAAAAAACACGUCAAAUGGAAAAGCUAGACCCAACAAUAUGACGGACUGUAAUAACACUUCCAUUUCUUAUAAGGCUUUAACAAUUUCAUUGCUCCAACAAUAUUUAAAACCAUUAGAUACAAAGAAAGCAUUAAUAUGAAUUGAGCAUACAUGAUUAAAUCACAGUAAAUUUUAUGUUAAAUUUUUAGACAUUUCUCCUCAAGCUCAUAUGUAAAUCACAGUAAAUUUUGUAUAUCCUACCACCUGAAAAUAUAGAACAUGGAAAGAUCUAAGCGCAAUUUUAUACGGAGCUAGCACUUCGAAUUUUCUGCAGGCAGCAAAAUAGAAAGUACUGCAAUGGUAGAUGAGCUUACCCCCUGUGAACUGAUCACCUAUUACAAACAGAGACUUGUCAGUCAGUAGGCGUAACACUUGUUCAGCCCUUGAGUGUAACCUUGAGGUGCUUCCUCUCACAACAUACCACAAUAGUGAACUGACAGCGGACUUUCUUAUUUCCAAUGGCUUCUUCGCAACUUCAAACAUAAGCUUCCUCACUCCUGUUGGUUUCAAGAAGUUAAUAGCAAUGAGGAAUGUUUAGCUGAAGAUAGCAGUGUGCUUACCUUGCUCACCCAUCAUAAAAACAAAAAACAUGUAUGAACAGAAUGAUACACGAAAGAGAUCAGAACAAGAAGGAACUGCAAAGUGAUACCUCUCGAGUUGAUUUCCAGAAAAUCUGAAUAUCUAAUAGCAACAACUGCAUUUUUACUCUGUCUAGGCAUAGGAAGAGUGACAAUACAUCCUAAGCCCCUAUUUGGAACUACCGAGAUGCUUGAGAAUAUUAGAGCAUUCAUAACAAAUUUGAUGGUAUUUAACACUUCUUUUUGAAGACUAAUGUUUUCUAAUUUCAGCCUAGGAUUCUUACUGUUAUAUUCCCAUGAAACAGGCAUAUCAAAGAGAAAAUUGCCAGACAUUGAGCAUCUCUUUACAGGGUUUGUUUACAGAAAUCUUUGUACAAGCUUAUUUACUAGUCAGUUCUUUAGUACUUCUUGAUCUUUUUUUUCUGAUGAAGUUAAAUUCUUCUGAUUCAGAAACAAAUGGUCUAUGAGUCAUCGUCAUACGGUUCUUAUCAGGGUUAAAUCAGGAUUUCUAUGAUAAAUUCUUGAUUUGCACAAUGGGAUGCCGAACCCAGAUGCUAGAAAGGAACUGAGCCAUAAUAGGUAUUUUGCUUCUUUUCCUAGUCUUCUCAACUACCUCACUGAUAACUAGCAUUUAGCACCUAAAAGAGAAAACCCUGUUCUGCUUGAUCAAUAUUUUGUUUAGAAACAACAGUUAACUUAUUGCAAAACACUUGACCAUUUGAAGUCAUAUUUCUGCACUUCUCUGCCACAAGCUUUAAAAAACAUAAUAACGAAUUGACAUAAUACAGUCCAGCAUCAUGCUGUAUAAAGAACAUCAUUAAAACUUUAAGGUCUAAAUAAUGAGCAGGAUAAGAUCUACUAGGGGCAAAACUAAGAGCACCAAAAGCUGGUCAUGUUAACUCUUUCCAUAAGUGCAUUGCCUAUGUAAUCAUUUGAAUGUAGCACACAGCACAAGAGGACAAAAGAUCAUGAAAUAAAUAGAACAGGGAGUAAGGACGGUAACAAUGAAGGAAAUUAGACCAAAUCUCCCUGCUCAGCCAAAUAGUUCUAACUACGAUGAAAGGCGAUAAUACAUAAUAGUAAAUCAGUCCCAAAAGAAGCAAACAAGAAUACAGCCAUAACAGAUAUACUUGAAAUGGCACCUAAAAAGUUCAUAAACACAAAUUAUGCCAUUUUCCAUGCAUUUCAUUUCUUUAGACUUGGAGAUGACGAAAUUGUUUAACCCCAAAGCAUUAAAAGCUAUAAGAUAGUAAGUCAUCAAAAAGGGUCAUAAAGGAGUGAUAUACAAAGUUAAGACAUAGAAACAGUUGAUUAUUACAUUUUGAAACUGAUAGCUUAAAACAGGUCAGGUCAAAUAUUCUUUUGCAACUACAUCUCUACAAAUAGAAAUUUCUCCAAGAACACAUGACAGGCACACAGGUAGAAUACCUUUUAUAAGUUGUUUAACAGGAGCAUUCCUCAAUAUGAAUGAUACUGAGUCGGCCAUAAAUUCGUGGACAUACUCCUUGGGAUAGUAUCUUAAUUGUACUGUUACCCUGUGGAGAGAGAGAGGGAUAAGCUACUUACUAACACCCAAAACAAGUGGAACCUCCAAUUAUUUGCAGAGAACAACUUAUAAGUAUAAUCUGCUGAAUUGACAGAGAAUCACAGUCAUAUCUGCAAAGUGAAGCUUUGAUAGUUGGGUAAACUUACUUUAGAACAUCAACAACAUCUUUAACAAGAUAUUUUUGCAGGUACAUCAUAAUAAAAGACCAUGACCUGAAAAUCUGCAAAACAACAAAGAAGAAUUCAGAUCAGAUAUGAAGAUAAUGUUGAGGCUGGCAUACUAAAGAUUUCUUUGCGCAAAACCCAGUACCUGCUCAAUUAUAUCUGGUUCUCUAUCAGCACCACUUUUGAGAAGACACGCCAAAGAGUCAGCAAUCCUCUGGAGAAAGCUGGCAACAAAAAUACGACUAGAAUUAUUAAAGGAACAACUAAAACCUGUUCUGCAUGCAUAAAAUUACUGAAGUAUUAGAACAUAGUGGAAUAAGCUAGCAUAAAGAUAUGGGUAAAACUGUUGAAAUGUUCUUUAUGCCAAACUUGUAGAAGUUCUAGUACUGGGUUGAUCUGCACACACCCACAAAUACUAAACGUCUUCAAGGUCAUAUGGAAUAUUUUUUACCAUUCAUGACACCGUUAAAUUAGACAGAUGAAGCACAGGGAAACUAAGUUGCACGAACCCUUCUCUUUCAAUGCUGAACUCGUGUCAGAUUCUUCAAAAUACACUACUUUUGGAGAAUCCGACAUGCAUCCGUUGACCUUUUUGAAAAGUCCGAGCAACAUAACAGGGAAACAAAUAAAACAGACACCAACAAAAUGUAUCAAUUUAACCAUAACCAUCUAUUUUUACAUGCAAGUACACCCAUCAUCUGUGGAGAAUAUUCCUAAGCCUCAAAGGCAUCUCCUGGACAAUGCCCAGGAAGGUGGCUGAGGCAUUACUAUGCUGGGAGGAAGCAGGUGUACAUGCUAAGGACAGAGGUAGAUGGAGAAUUAUCCCGGGGGUUAUCUGGUGGGCUGUUUGGAAAGAAAGGAAUUCAAGAUGUUUUGAGAGCAUAGAGAACAAUGUGCAGAAAGUUAAACUAAACUGCAUUUUACUUUUAGUCUUUUGGUGUAAUCAGUUAUACUCUAAUCACACUGUCUCUAUUAUUGAUGUGUUAGACCCAAUUUAGACGUAGAGAAGUGAAAUCAGGAGUACACUUGUAUAUAAGGUUACAGUACGACCCAUGUACUGUUUUGUGAUAUAAUACAAAGUUACCAAGUUCAAAAAAAAAAUGUAUCAAUUUAAAAUAUGAAGAUAAUAUCUGCAAAAUGAGAAGGAUAAAAACAAAAAGACAGCCAAACAAGAUAAGCAAGAAAAACUGACAGCAGCGGCCACAAUAUUAGGGAAUUGUUCCCAGAAAUGACGAUACUAUUUCCAAAUGUUACUGUUGUGAAACUAAAAGCAAGGUGCUAAACAAUCCCCACAAUGUUCAUCGGCAUGAAGCAAGAAGAAAAUCAGAUAGAAGCAGCACUCACGGUAAGAAGUCCUCCAGGAGAUCUCUAGAUAAGGCUGCAAUCAACCUACAGAUAACUAUAGCUCAUCAAUAACGGGACUUGACAAUAAAGAGGAAAAAGCAAUAGUUAAUCACUUUAUCUCUGUCGCUCUAUUAAGAAAAUGAUGGGAACAAUAAUGUAAUUCUAGGAAUAGUUAAGCACUUUACAGAUAUAGGAAUAUUUUUAGGAGAUUUGAGAGCCUAAUGUAAUUCUGAAGUAGAUAACAAAGUAGCAUUUAUGCUUCAAAAACAAUCAAAGGAGUAAUAUUUUCUUCUUUCUUUUUUAUUUUGUUAUAACUGAGAAAUCUCUGAGGCCAGUGGCGCGUAGUUCAAAACUUGGUAGAUAACCCCCCUCCUACACCACUUAAAUACCCACUUUUCUGUGGCAGGGUUUGAACCCGUGAUUUGAGCCUAACCCACACAUCAUGCUUCGUGCUCUCACCACUAGCAAAGGGGUUAUAUUCAAAUGAGAACAAAUCAAGAAACCUCAAUAAGUCUUUCCCUGUACAUUUUUAUUUAUCUCUUUUAUCAGAAAGUCUUUUCCUGUUCAUGAAAGCUCUUAAUUUGGUCAAUCAGAAUCUAUUUUUUUUAGUAUUAUGAAUCUUUUCAGAUAUAAGAGGCGGUGAACUUCCGAAACUAGAGAGAAAAAGAUGUACUGUUCACAAGACGACAAAAGCAAAAACCAAGUGAAUCAUCAAUAAAAGAAUCCAGUAAGUUCCCAGAAUACCCGAGGAUUGGCUCAAGGGAUAGUCUCCCUUUCAUGUCCAGUCUCAAAAGAAGCUUUGCGACUAUCAGUUCCUUCUGCAGUAUAAUUUGCGGUAGCGUCUGUACCAAGGGAAAUAUUUCCUCAUAAAAUGAAAUAAAAUCCUCUGCAGUGUUUAAUUCCUGUUAUUUUGUCCCAAAAAAAGAGAAGAGAAAUAAGUGGAAAUCCAAAAAAGAAAAGACAAAACAUCCUAAAAUUUAAGAAACAAACAAUCAAAAGCAGUUGAAAGGAACUUCAAAAUCAAAUGGCAAAGCAGUCAGAAGCUAUAUUGCAUGAACUCUUCAUUUGCUUAGACAUAUAUGUGUCGGAUCUGGUGUAAUGCCUAAUGGGCACUUCUUGCAAGUUCUUCGAACAACAUUAAUACUUCUCUAAGAGUUGAAUGUGCUUGAACUGGUGCUUAUAAGCACUGAAACUAUAACCAAACGCACGUACCAGAUCCCAAACUAUUUGGACAAUGGAGAAACUUAUAGAACUCUUUACCAACUGUUUCUGUGUUUUGUUUUACAGCCUCAUAGGGAAAAGAAAUCCUGAUUGAACCCUUACGAACUGUUUGGAUCUUCUUCAAAUACAAAAAUGUAAACAUAAUCAAAUGCAAAAAGAUGUUAACAUUAUCCAAAACUUAAUUCUAAGACUUUGUGAAACAACAGCUUCAUCCCACUUCUCAAAACAUCAUCAACAGAAUUGAUUUGCUGACAAUUUUUCGCCAACAUCAAGUUCAAGCCCAUAUAAAAGAUCUCUAAACAGAAGACUUGUAAUUGUCACGCUAACAAAACGAAAAAAGUUCACACUCCGCAGAUGAAAUAUAAAGUUAAUAAAAUUCAACAUGAAAAAAACAGUUGAAACAAUGAAAUUCUCCCAAAACAAAGAAUUAACUAAAUAUUCAACAAUUUUUACAUAUAAGGUAAAAGAAAUCUUCAAACAACAAUAUGAAAGUACGUACUCUCCAUUCUGUAAUACAAUCCCGGAAGAAGGAGGAACCUUCAGUGGGCUCAGCUUUUAAAGGGUCAAGAUUUCUGUACACAUCAAUGUCAACAUCCUCAAUCCGCUCUGAAAAUGUCUUGAACUUCACCAUACAUAAAAUUCAAUAAAUUCAAUCCCCACAAAAGGAAAGAAACAAUUGACAAUCAUAGGUGCAACAAAAAUGAGUACAAUGGACUCAUGUACAAAUUUUAGACGUAAAAAAUUGCUUAAUGUUAUGCAUACUUUUUACAUCAUAAACUAGCAAAAAGGCUAUCAGCAAUUGCACAUUUAGUAGGCUCGACUGUAAGUCAAAGCGUCUGACAUAACUACCCUUGACAUAGACACUAAAUCUUACAAUUGAAGAAGAACAAGCAACUGCAAAUAAGUUGAUAUAUUCAGGCCGCCUCAAAACAUUAAUAGUAGAAACAAAGAGCAUCAUUCACAUAAUAUGCACUCCCUAUGUUUCAAUUUGUUAGUUGGCACUAAAUUUAAGAAAGUAAAAAAAGAUGUUUAAAUUUGUGGUUUUUAAAUUAAAGAUAGACUAAAUGUACCAAAGAUACCCUUUAAUUUUGUCAUCUUAAACAUGCUACAUGAAAAAUUACAACUAAAGAGUUGUCAGACAAGGAAAAAUGCAUUCUUUUUCAACGAACUAAAAAGGAAAAUAAGAAAAAAUUGAACAAGAGGCAGUAAAGUUUAUGAAAAUACAACAACAACAACAAACCCACUGUAAUCCCCACAAGUGAAAGACGCUGCGGCGGACUAUGUGGCUGGUGACAUAAAAGAUAUACCGGCAGUCAGCCAACUCUGCUUUCUAACGAGGUUAAGGUUGGGAGGUAGAGAGGUUGUUUUCGAUACCUUGAGAUUAAAAAGUAAAAACAAUAGCAACAACAAAUUAUACAGUUACUAUAGCAAAGGAAAACAACAAGGUAAUACUAAAAUUGAAGCAAUGGUAAGAGAGUAACAAUACUAAUAAAAUUCCACUACUUACAAAACUUGUACCUUAAUCCUCGACUACCAUAUCUUCAUAUAACAUGUAACAACUCUAAAACAGGCUCAGAAAACUAAGAAAUAACUUACAGUAAAACGGCGGCGACCGGGGGAUUUGUUGAGAGAUUUAACAGCAUACAUAUCUGAAUGUGUUGCCAUUAUUUGCUGAAUCCCCAAUUGCUUUGCCCCCACUGUAAGUAGAUUUCGGCUGUGGGGAAAAGGAAAAAAAGAAGAAGAAGCUAAGAAGAAAGAGGUUUAACAAAAGGGUUUAAGUAUUAGAGAAGAGGCGUCGACCGUCGUAUGUAAAAAAUGGGUUUUUAUGUUCACUUUCGUUUCUUUUCGGGCAAAGGGUUUUGCUUGUUUUUUUACUUUUUAAUUUUUUGUACUGGUUUCUAACAAUAAGGGUCGUGGUGGAGUUUUGAUCUUUCAUAUGAGGUAUCGGACUCGUCUAGGCUGUAGAGUUGCUAUUUACUUUCUAAUGUAGGAUUUUUAGUGCAAAUUUAGAUAUAAUCGAGCUUUAAAGUGGUCUUUAUUAGGGAGUGUUUUAUUCCCAUAUAAAAAAAUUUGUGCGUGAAUGUGAAAUUUCACGAUGCGAAUUUGAAUUUAAUCGAGCUUCAAUGCAAGUAUUGAAUGCCGAAUGAAAAUAAAAAAAUAAGUUUAUACUGAGUUGAAUGUGUACAUUAUAUUAACAAAAAUACGAUAAUUUAAAAAGGAUUUUUAAAAUACAAUAUAAAUAGGUUAGUUUAUUUUGGAAUUUAAAAAAAAAUAUACACUUUUUUAAUAAUCACAAAAUUGAUCAAAACUUAAAAAUAGAAACAAUGACAAUAAUAUAUUUAAUGAAAUCCUACAAGUGAAUAAGACGGUUGGCUCCUCAUGAUCCGGAGGGCGAUUGGGAGCAAUGUUUGAAUGUAGAUUUUAUUAUUAUCUCGUAUGGAUGGAGAGUCUAUUUUCGAAAAUCUCUCCGUCUCAAAUAGAGCAAAUUCAUGUAAAAAAAAGAAGGAAAUUUGAAAAUAUUAAGUAAAAAGAAUAAAAUUAAAAGUUCAUUUAAGUACUCAUAAUUUCUUUUAAUUCUAUACGAGUCCAUAACUUUGAGGUUUCUAUAGAUUGACACCUCUUUUUUCUUUGGUCAAUUUCUCUUCGGUCUUGCCCUUCAACAGAUCCCUCGACCAAAAUUAGGGUUAGCAUAUUUUGUAGCUACAGUUACAUGGCUGAUCGGAACAAUUCAUCGGCGAUUACAGUGACGGCAGCGGUGAAGCCGAUAUGGGCGAAGCAAGCAGAAGAAGCGAAGCUUAAGAGCGAAGCAGAGAAAGAUGCGGCUGCGAAAGCUGCUUUCGAUGCUACGUUUAAGAACGUCGAAGCUUCAGUCACUGCAGCCGCAGCCGCAUCCGACAGUGACUUAGACGAUGAGGAAUAUGAGCAGAAGAGGCUUGCGGAGAAGCCGAUCGGUCCGGUUGACCCUAUAAAAUGUACGGCCGCUGGCACUGGAAUCGCCGGUGGAACAGCGUGUGCUCCGUCAACUUUCACCGUUGUGACGAAGGAUUCUGAUGGUCGUAAGGUACCACAUGGUGGGGCGACCGUUAAGAUUAGAGUUUCACCUGGUGUUGGAGUUGGAGGAUCAGAUUUGGAAGGAAUUGUGAAGGAUAUGGGUGAUGGGACAUACACAGUGAGUUAUAUUGUUCAGAAGAGAGGAAAUUAUAUGGUGAAUGUUGAAUGUAAUGGAAAGCCUAUCAUGGGUAGUCCUUUCCCUGUUUUCUUCAGCACAGGUUUACUUUUUUCUUCACUUGGAGUGGUGAAUUUCCUACUGCUUUGUACUUCCUACGUCAGGUAGCUUAGCUUAGUGAAAAAUAAAGAACUUUGGGAAGCAAAAGAUGCUAAAAUUAGCUGGGAUGAAGGUCUAGUGACAAUGGCAACAUACAUUAGGUGUAGUAGUAUACGCCAAAUCUUUUUAGUUUGCCUAGAAAAGUGUUGGUUAGAAAUAAUUGUAGUGAUACUCUAGUAUUAAAGAAAUGUGAAUUGCUUAACAUUAGAAUUAAAUGUGUUCCAAUGGAGCAAAAUGGAUAGCUUAUUAUUUAGAGGGCCUAAAUUUUUCAAAAAGCUGUGUAAAAUUAUGUAGAGUUUUCUUUUUUAGGAAAGGAUUGGAUUUAAGAACUAAAGAUACUCUUUUCAGAAUGAUAACAUUUAUCUAAACUCUAAAAUACUUUUCACCUGAAGUCUGAUUUGACUUCUAAAAGUUGGAUCAAAGUGAGUAUGUGAUUGAUUUGUGUUUAAUCAUAAUUGUGGUUUGUGGUAAUGUCAAAUGUGGGUAGUUGAUUGGAUUGUAAAUUCUCAAAUGAGGCUAUGAUAUUGGUUUUAUUAAAUGGAUUGCAUCGUUUUAAAGGCUUGCUUGAAUUAUAUAACCUAAACUAAUCAAUUCUACUAAUCAGAAUUAAUAAUUGGCUAUCGUACUAAAAAACAGGUGUUUUUUUUUAAAGUAUCUAGUAUCAAUGGAAUUGCUGAGAUGAGGUCCCAUUUGAUUGCGGUUGGUCAAUUCUUAUUUCCGUCGUAUGCUAUUUAGUUAAUUGUCUUGAUAAUUUCUGUUGGUAUCAGGAUGGCUUGUGGAGUUCUUUUAGUUGUUGUUUUGGACUUUAAAACAUCAGAAUCAAUAGGUGCCCCAUAAAAAAGCCCCCUCAAAAAAUAUUGGGGCUCCUAUUUAAUUGUGAUGAUUUAAAGUCCAUUUCUGUUGUCCCAAGUUUAAUGGAGCUGUUUGGUGUUAGAUAUGAGAUAUGUAGCACCUCAAUGUAAUAAUGGAAUAUAUUAUUUCACCUUUGGAACAAUUUUCACCACCCAUCAGUAGUCUAGAAUUGUAUCUGCUGCACCUCUCCACCAUAAUUAUUUUGCUCUGCCCCAAAUAGAAUGUUGUCUUCUUGUGUGUUCAGUGUUCACUUUUGUGCCUUCUGUGAGUAUGUAUAUCUACUUUUUUGAUCUAUGCAUUUGUCCUUUGUCAACAUUUCUAAAUUCCUGUUAGAGCUAAAACUUUAUUAAAAAUUCAUUCCAUGAUAACCUUACCACUACCAAUUAUUCAGAAUAUAAAUUACUCAAUUAGAUGUCCCAAGUUCUUUUGUGUUGGCUAUGGGUUUUUAUAUGGGAAGUAGAAAGAGUCUAGGCAUAUUCAUGAUAAGAUAAGAUGACAACAAAGGUGUCAGCAUGGGUUUGGCUGAAGCAGAGAUCAUAAGUUGAUGGUGCAUCAUAGCAGGAAUGUGACUCAGUCUUUGAUUUAUUGCUUGGUUACCGUAUUUUAGUCACAUAAAAGCAAAAGGACUUUAUAUACUGGCUAGAAGCUUUCAAACUACUACCCCACCUUCUGUUCUUUUCUCGAAUAACUCUCACUAUAUUUUUUCUUUUAUAACAUUCCUCUCUGAAUCUGUUUCAGAACUUAUAUAUAAAAUGUGGUACUGCUGUUCUCUUGUGCUUACUCUUAUUUUUCUCUUUUUGUGAUGUCCUCAUUAAUAUUGUGAUGUAGUUUGAAUGAGGAAUGAUAUGGUUGACGUUUAACAUGGAACUGUAACAGUAUGUUAGAUAUUUUACAUAGUUAUGAUGAAGAUGUACUCAUGUUUUGGUUUACAAAAUUCAACAUUGUAUUCUAGAUGUUAAAGAAUUUAAUGCUGUAUUUGUAUCACGCAGGCAGUACGACUGGUGGGCUAUUGGGUAUAGUACCGUCAACCACAUUUCCAAAUAUGGUCAACCAGAACAUGCCUAAUAUGCCAAACUAUUCUGGUUCUGUAUCUGGGGCAGUCCCAGGAUUGCUUGGGAUGAUACCAGGUAUUGUUCCUGGAGCUUCUGGAGGUGUAGUUUUACCUGGAAUUGGAGCAUCUAUUGGGGAAGUUUGCCGAGAGUACCUUUAUGGACGAUGUGCAAAAACUGAUUGCAAAUUCAAUCACCCCCCUCACAAUCUUCUAAUGACUGCUCUAGCUGCAACCACCAGUAUGGGAACACUUAGUCAAGUGCCCAUGGCACCUUCUGCGGCUGCUAUGGCUGCUGCUCAGGCAAUUGUUGCUGCACAAGCUCUUCAAGCGCAUGCUGCUCAGGCACAAGCACAGUCUGGAAAAGAUUCGUCUGGUAUUUCUAGCUCUCAUUACUGUCUAUAAAUUCCUCCUAUUUGUUGAUUAUUGUGAGUUAUUCUUAAAAUUUCCUUACUCCACUAGUCCACUUGUACAUUGAUUCUUGAAUUUUUUUUCUUGUACUUCUAUCUCCUAUCAUUGCCUAAUAAGUAAUUUAUAUAUUUUUUUGUUACUGGGGGCUGCUCAUAAACUUUUCUUACUUAAGUUUCUUCAAACUAUAUUGCUUCUAUAACAUAAAGAGAGCAGAUAGGCUCUUACUACUUUCUCUCUGCUUCUUCCCCAACCUACUCAUCAUAAAAUAUGAUGUGUAGAAUUAAAAAUGCAUAUUGACAUUUCUGCUAUGUAUCCAUGAGAGUGUACCUCAUUCUACUUCUUUGUGCUAUUUAUGUUUCUUUAUGUAUCAGGUGACAAAGAUAGAAAGGCCGAAUCCCUUAAAAGAACUUUGCAAGUCAGCAAUCUCAGCCCACUUCUGACAGUGGAUCAGUUGAAACAGCUGUUUGGUUUCUGUGGUGCAAUCAUUGAUUGUAGCAUUACUGAAUCCAAACAUUUUGCUUACAUCGAAUACUCAAAACCCGAAGAAGCAACUGCUGCUUUAGCAUUGAACAAUAUAGAAGUUGGUGGUCGCCCCUUAAAUGUUGAAAUGGCAAAACAACUUCCUCCAAAGGCAGCUGUCUUAAAUUCAUCAAUGGGCUCUUCUUCUUUGCCCUUGAUGAUGCAGCAAGCAGUAGCAAUGCAGCAGAUGCAGUUCCAGCAAGCCCUAUUAAUGCAGCAAGCUAUGACUGAACAACAAGCUGCUAAUCGAGCUGCAACCAUGAAAACUGCUACAGAUUUGGCUGCCGCAAGAGCUGCAGAAAUAAGCAAGAUGUUGAAAGCGAAUGGCCUGGUUUCUGAAGAUAAGGAAACUGAUGACAAAGCUAAGUAUGUCACUUGAGCUAUUUUUCUUAUAUGCUUAUAAUCUAUCUUAUGUGUUUGGUAAUUCAUCUAAACUGGUAUCAGGAGUAUCUUGUUUAAUUAUUAAUAGUUGGACUUAUUGCACCUGUAGAACAUCACCAUGUCUUGUGUUUAGGAAACAGCAUGAAGUGAAUGUAAGCUAUGCAUAUCCAUACCUUUAGAUACCAAAAAAGAUUACAUAUAGCUGGCUAUGUUCAAUGCUUUGAUUAUAAUUGACAACAUAAUAGACUUAAUUGUGAGUCUUGCGAGCUUUUAAGAUUCUCUAUGGCUGUCUUUGAUCUUGAGUGAUAAAGAGGUCACUAAAAAGUUCCAAUGAAGAGAGAGAGGGGGGGGGGGGGGGGGGGCCANNNNNNNNNNNNNNNNNNNNNNNNNNNNNNNNNNNNNNNNNNNNNNNNNNNNNNNNNNNNNNNNNNNNNNNNNNNNNNNNNNNNNNNNNNNNNNNNNNNNNNNNNNNNNNNNNNNNNNNNNNNNNNNNNNNNNNNNNNNNNNNNNNNNNNNNNNNNNNNNNNNNNNNNNNNNNNNNNNNNNNNNNNNNNNNNNNNNNNNNNNNNNNNNNNNNNNNNNNNNNNNNNNNNNNNNNNNNNNNNNNNNNNNNNNNNNNNNNNNNNNNNNNNNNNNNNNNNNNNNNNNNNNNNNNNNNNNNNNNNNNNNNNNNNNNNNNNNNNNNNNNNNNNNNNNNNNNNNNNNNNNNNNNNNNNNNNNNNNNNNNNNNNNNNNNNNNNNNNNNNNNNNNNNNNNNNNNNNNNNNNNNNNNNNNNNNNNNNNNNNNNNNNNNNNNNNNNNNNNNNNNNNNNNNNNNNNNNNNNNNNNNNNNNNNNNNNNNNNNNNNNNNNNNNNNNNNNNNNNNNNNNNNNNNNNNNNNNNNNNNNNNNNNNNNNNNNNNNNNNNNNNNNNNNNNNNNNNNNNNNNNNNNNNNNNNNNNNNNNNNNNNNNNNNNNNNNNNNNNNNNNNNNNNNNNNNNNNNNNNNNNNNNNNNNNNNNGGGUCUACUAGAAACAAUCUUAGUAUCUGCUUUAUAAGUUAUAUGUGAGCGGUUCUGGGAGGAGUGGAAUCUAAUUAAAAGGAUGGCCUAUUGAAUCUCCUAGGUAUCAUAUGUUUUACAAGGGUGGGAUUUGAGUGGAGUGGGACAAGGACAAGGCUUUCCUCGUGAAUCUUCCAAGCAUCGUAUGGUUUAUAUAGAAAAAAUCUUGAAUAAUUGUUGCAUAAUCUAUUUCAGUUCUGCAGGAGAUCCUAUAAUGUUUGCUGGUAUUGGUUGUUCCUUAUUAUGGAAAAACAAAUGUAAGGGAUGUUAAUCUGGAGCAAUUUCUAGGAAGGUGACACUUCUUUUCUAGGAUUUGGAUGUCCGAGAGUGUAUAGAGUUUCUCAUCAUCUGCUAUUUAUUUGCUUGUUUAAUUGUAUUGGUCUUCUACUAAUGAGCUGCACUGUUAUAGGUCACCUUCUCCCAGUCGUGCUAGGUCAAGAUCCAGGUCGCCAUCCAAAUCUCGAUCCAGAUCAAGAUCUCCAAUAAGUUAUAGGCGAAGGCGGAGAUCCCGUUCUUUCUCUCCUCCACGGAGAUCAAGAGAUUAUAGAUCCAGGUCACCUGUGAGAUCCCGGCGCUAUUCAGGCUACGAAGAUGAAAGGCGGCCAUAUAGGGAUGUUAGAUAUGCUAAUGAAAGAAGUCGAAGACGGGAUUUUGUUAGAUUCUAUGAUCGUCGUUCUCCUGUUUCAAGGAGAAACAGAAGUAGAAGCACAAGUCCCCGAACUAGAAAAUCUUACCGUGACGAUUCAGGCUCACCAAAACACCGCCGAGAAAGUCCAGCACUUAAGACAAGUAGAGCUUCUCGCCAUGAGUCACUAUCGCCUGAACAUAGACGAAAAAGUAGGUCAUCCCCAAAAGAUGGUGAAAGAAAAUCAAAAUAUAGCAGGCGCUCGAGAUCAAAGUCUGCUGAAGUUAGGGACCAGUCUGAUGAUAAGCUAGAAGGAAGCAGGGGUGAGAAAUCCAGGCAGAAGGAUCAAAGAAGGUCAGCAUCACCACAGGUUGAUGAAGAUGCACAGAAGAAAAUGUCACCGGAAGUUGUGGAAGAAAGCAAGUCAAAGCAGAGAAGAACCUCCAGGUCCAGAUCUCCAGAAGAGAAGCAUCUUUCUAGCAGAAGCAGAGAAGAGAAAAGAAAGCAUCAUGCUAGAAGGCGCUCCAGGUCAAGGUCCAAAUCUCCUGAAGAGAAAGUUCACUCAAGUGAUAAAUUAGACAGAAAUAAAGGAGAUAAACCUAAGCAUCGAAGUAGAAGGCACUCAAAGUCAAGGUCCAGAUCUCCUGAAGAAAGACAUCAUUCAAGUGCUAAAUUGGAAAGGAGCAGAAAAGAGAAAUCAAAGAGUCGAAGUAAAAAGCGCUCCAGGUCAAGAUCUGUCGAUGAUAAGCAGCACGGAACUAAACAGUCAGCAAGCCGUUCUGAUAGCCGACGAUCAAAGCUCAGGGCACGUUCUAGAUCAAAUUCUUCUGAAAGUAGGCAUGGAUCAGGUCAAGAUGAAACCAUAAAGGAUGAAGUGAGAGGUCAUAGGGGUCACCAGAGAAGAUCUAGGCAGGAUGACCAUAAUCAUGGAACAACUGAGAUUAGCUUGAUGGAAGAAGAUCCUGCUAAGGGAAUGUAAACCAGUGACUGAUAGCUUCCAAUUCAAAGAGUUCUGAAUCUAUGGGUUAUGGCUUGUGAUACUCAAUUGUGUGAACAUUUUAUUUUACCAUUGCAGAAAACAUGAGAAGUUUUGAGGAAGCACGAUGUCCUGGAAGAUCGUGAUCCCAACACCUGAUGAUCAAGAAAGAUCUGUUAGACUGAAUUAAUUGCAGUUUGUAUGACGGAAAUGCCUAUUUUUGCUUCUUUUGCAGGUCCUUCAUGGAACAUAACCAGAAAGUGAAGUAGCAUUAGUUGAAAGGUUGAGUAUCAAGUUUGUGCCAUCUUGGAUCAACUCUGCUGAGUUUCUUGUGAACUACUUUUUGAGCUCAUGUAUGGUGAACUUUUACCUCUGUCAGUAGGUAGUAAUUUCUUAAUUGUAUGUCUGUUUGAGGAUUUUAAUCACCCCUUAUCCUUUUAGUAAUCUCAGUGUUGUGAAGGAAGGUAUAUCAAUUACCCUUUCUUGUGAGGGAAUUGUGCCUUCCACUGAAGAAUUUGAAUGUCCUUGAGCAUUAUGUUUUCAUAUCCUGUACUCAUUAACUGAUGCGAUCUAAUGAUAGGGUAGUUUCAAAAAGCUUUCUAAUUAAGUAGCUUAGUUGUCUUAUGAAUCUAUUGUACUACCUUUGCAUGAUGAGUUAGUGAUGUUGGUAAUUCGGUAGGAGGCUCCAAUUUUAUUUACAUUUGGUGGCUUGGUGGGCCUGUUAAAUUCCAAAAACAUGCAGGUCUUGGGACUGAUUCUUGUUGGCGCUUUAUCAAUUGAAUGGGCAAAGUUAUAUCUGAUUGUAUUUGAAGGUAUGCAAUUGAAAUUUUUGGUUGUUUGAAUGGGAGGGCAUUCACUGCUUUUGGAACAAUUAUUUUAAGAAUGCUGGCUGAAAAUUGUUGGGAUGAAGAAAUAUGUUAAAGUUUAAGGUUGUUAAUCUUCACAUAUUUUGCAUUGCUUCUUUCCUCAUCUUUUCUUCUCCUUUUUUCCAUCUUCUCCUUUUUUUCCCUUUUUUUCUUUCUUUUGUCUUUCUUCUUGAAAAUGUUUGGUUAGGCAGGCUGCUAUUAAGGUUAAUGUAACCAGAUGUUGCUGAGAUGAUAGUGCAUGAUGCUCCCUGAAUCGAGCAUGAAACAGAUACUCAUAUCUGUUCUUUAAUUGGUGGAACUCAAUUGUUCCAUAACAGGUAAAAUCUUGUUGAAUUCAUUAGCUUCUAGUUUUUAUCCUUGCAAACGGAGUAAUGGAGGACAUGAUGGUUAUUGCUCAACACCUCUAGUUCACACAAUUUUAGUUGCCGAAAUUGUCUAAUUGAUUAACAGGUGGUUUAUCUGGCCUCUUGCUUAUAUUUUAUUCGUCUAGUGUCCUCCGGGGUUACAGUAAUUAAAGUGAUUGGAACCUCUUGCAGUUACUUCAAAUAUUAGGAAAAAAUAUUGCACUUAAGAAAAACAAUAGGCAUUAAGAAAAUAGAAGCGUUAUUAAGACAUUUAUUUGGGGGAAAUGGUAUGUAUGAAAUCCACAUUUGCACUGUAUGCUGACACUUGUUUGUAGCAUGCUAUGACAUGUAAAAGCUACAUACAUUGUAUGAAAUAACCUUAUCUGAAGAAUUCCUUGAUCUGUAUCAUAUAUCUGAUUGUGGAAAUUCUCGCAUUACCCUUGUACUUUAUAUUGACUCCUAUGCUCUCAUGGUGGCCACCUUAUUGUCUUCUGAAGGCAUUCUUUGUUAACUGUCUGAAGAAUCUCUGCCUUCUUUUUUUUUUUUUUUUGGGUUUUCCGUUUUGUUUUUUCUAGGUGGUGCUGGAUGUAUGGGACUGAGAGCUGUAUCCUGUUGUCAAUCUAGAUGUGGUUGAUGUCACACUUAUAAUUUCCUUCCCUUCCCCCUUCCCCCUUUCUUUUUCAUUUACAUUCACGUUUACCCUUCCCUGUCUUUCAUCUCAGCUUCUCUCCCUUGCUUUCCUCUUUUUGUUUUUGGGGUGGUUGGAGGUUCUAUAAGGAGUAGUAUGACUAGCUAAAAGGCACAAGCAGCAAGGCGAGGAAGCAUUAAUUUUGGCUGGUGAUUUGACUAUAUGUAUUUUUGCUAGGAUGUUUUUGUUUGGACAAGGAUUAUAGCUCAAGAGUAGACACUUUGUUUAGGUGUGUAUGGCCAUCUAUGAAAUAAAAAUCAACAGAUAUUUUUCAGUAGUCUUAUUCCUUUGCAUGUUAAAGUUUCAAUACACCCACAUAAUGCUUAUCAUCCUUCUUUCUUUCCCGUCAAUUCUUCACUAGUGGACUAUACUUGGGUUAAAAAUGGUGUUGGCUGAUACCAUUUUCACUCCCUGAUAGCAGAUUAUCCUAUAGGGUAAAAGCUGAUUCUGACCCUCGAAAUUUGCCUAGUGUUCUCAUCCCUGGAUCUGAAAGAUAUUUGUGUCUUAUGAACUGAUUAAAUUAUCUCCAGAAGCAAACUAUGCUUUUGUUUUGAAUUGUCUAUCCCUUGUUGUUUGGUGUGGUUCUAUGGACUCUUGUUUGACAAACAUCCUGUUCAAUUCGCUAUACGCAUUGUGCUAGCUCACUAACAAUGCACAUUCCAUAAACUUAUUGUGUGCAUAUGUAUCCAUUAUAUUCAUGGAUAGCACAUGGAUUUUUUCUUGAACCAACUGCUCAUUCUGGAUUUGAGUUGCUUAUAACGAGAAAUCUAUUUUCUUUGUUUAGUUUUUCUUAUAAUUUGAUAUGCUUUAUGAGUAUUGCUCCUUAUUUUCUGAAUUUCUCUAUUUUUGUGUGCGCAAUAGAGUUAUCUGAAGCUGAAUAAUGAAUGCAUGUAAAGAUUUUGAAAGAACAUUGUAUCAUCAGAAGGUUUGAGGUCAAGAAAAAAAUUAACGAAGCUGUAGGUGUUAUCAUUUUCAAUCAACCGUUAAAACUUCUGUUCCACUUGUUAGUCAUAUGAACAAUUUAAUUGUAACAAUUUGUUUACAUAAAUUGAAAAACAGUUCACCAGUAACCACUAAUACCAAUUGAAUUAGUCGUUGUUUGAUUGUGAUUUUGUUGAAAUAUGGUAAAUUACGGUAAGUACCCUUGUAAUUUGAAUCAAUUGCACCAUGUAUUUUUAAGUUCAACACUUAGAUAAGGUAAGGCUUUGUGUACGUACCUACAAUGUUUGUACUUAUCAAUUCUAUGAAAUAAAUAUAGGAUAAGAUCAUAAUUUUGUACUUUUUACACCAUCGAAAUGAAAAAUAACAUCUCGUAAAAAUUAUGUUCUUAUCCAAAACUAAGGUGUACAUUGCCAUAAAAUUCAUUAUCAAUGGACAGCUUUUAUCUCUGAUUUUGUAUUUUUGCAAUUUAGAGGAGUGACAUCUUAUCCAUCCACGUAGAAAGAGUAGGCAAUGUUUGGCAACUUUAAUUUCAUGUCAAAGUCAUUGUAGGCAAACAAAAUUUAGGUACAACUUACAAGUUGUUAUUUGGUGCAAAAGUGCAUUAAUAUAUUUCUUUUUCGUACGUGGGGCUAAAGUAACGUGGCGACUUACUCAUUCAAUGACUUUAGUACUAGACGUUCCCAAAAUGAAGACUUUUAGGUAAAUUCAUUUUAAUAGACAAGGAAAGCUUGAAACUUUUUCCAUCUCUCUCAAUAAUUGUGUCGAAGUAAUUUUUAGGGAGACUUUCUCAUGAAAUAAUUGUAAUGAGGAAUGUUAUAGUAUAUUCCUUGUAAUUAUGAUUAAUUCACAAAUUUUAAGUAAGAUGGUAGAAAGUGAGCAAACUUUUUGAAUCUCUCUAGAAACUCGACAAAAUUGUCUAACUCACAAUAUCAAGUUGUUGGUGUAUCAAAUUCAAUGAACUUAGUAACAUAUUUAGUUUUUCGAUAAUGAGUUCAUCUAAAUUUAAUAUUUUUAAGUGAAACAUAAUAGUAUAUAAAUGAAAAUCUUCAGAAAUAUUGAAAAUAUAAUGAAGUUUAAUGAUAAAAAUCAAGUAACUCAUCAAAUUAAGGUACUUUAUCCGCCAUCAACUAAAACUCAUUACUACUAUGGCUCCCAAAUAGGUUAUGAAAUCGAUUAGCCACUAACUUAUUUAAAAAUCAAAUUUAAAAUGAAAAUAUGUUAAAAACUUCAACUUCUCGGGUGAAAUAUGUGAAAAUUUCAUCCAUCUUAAAUUCCACAUGUGAAACUAUAUUGAAUUACUCAAUACUCGCUUCUAGUGGUGAAGUUAUGAAUUUUACUAAGGGGUCAAACUAUGAUGAAGUAAACACAUGAACUAGCCAAAGAGAGUCCAACAUAUAUUAUAUUACUGGUGUAAUUUUCCGUAUGUCGCGCCACCCGUGCUCCCUGAAAUGAACAUCUAAUUCUUUAAUUUAACUUUUUAUCUAAUAUAUUUAUAAUACAUUCAAUAUAUUUUUAUGUCGAAGUCAAAAUCAGACAAAUAAAUGGAACAUAUCCAAACACUCCACUUGCCUUUUUCUUAUAUAUAUACACACCUAAAAACCUUGACACUUCAAUCAAAUUCCACAAGAAAAAAAAUGUAUCUAAGAACCCCAAUAGAUCGUGUACUAUUUUCCCCAUCAUAUCCACAAUUUUCAAGAACACAAAAAGGGUCUUUGAGAGUUAACUCAAAACUUAACAACAAUGUGAUAGAAAUUAGUGAAUCAAAAAGCUUUUAUGAGCUUUUGGGUAUUCAAGAAACUGUUUCUUUAUUAGAAAUCAAACAAGCGUACAAACAAUUAGCAAGAAAGUACCACCCAGAUGUUUCACCUCCGGGUCGGGUCGAAGAAAAUACCAAAAGGUUUAUUCGGGUUCAAGAAGCUUAUGAGACAUUAUCGGAUCCUAAAUCAAGAGAUAUGUAUGAUAAAGAUAUGUCUAAAGGUUUUCACUUUGCAUUUUCUCCUCGUAGAAAGUGCCAAAAUGAUGAGGUUAGUUUUUUAUUUAUUUUUAGAUAAUUUUUUUGGAUAUUUGGGUGAAUUAAAGUUUGUGUUUUUGAAAUUUGUAAAUUAUUGUAUUAAACAUUUUAACUUUGAGUUAAUUGAUAACUUAACACUCUAAGCUGAUGUGACAUGUAAAAUUUUGAAAGUGUGUAGAUGAUUAUUUUGCAAGUUGGAGUGUUCAAUUGAGAUGAGUUGAUGUGUCUGAAUGUGCAUAUUGUUAGUUGAGGGCGAGUUUAAGUGAUUGUUUAUGUAUGAUUUUGUUAUACUAUGAGGUGAAUUAAAGAUUUUUUUUUAAUUUGUAAAAAUUUGUGGUAGUGGUGUUUUUUAAAGUUUGAAAUUAAAUGGGGUUUGUUUAAUUAUCUUGUUUUAGUCACCUAAUUUGUGUGUAAAAUAUGUUUGGUGUCUAAUUUGAGGGCAAUUUGUCUUUAGCGUGAUUGUUGACAACUAAGGGACUCUUCACUUUCGAUGUCGUACCCGUGUUGGUUUCUCUGAAAAUAUACUACUUUUGGAGAAUCCGACAUACAAUUGUUGACAUUUUUGAAGAGUCCAAGCAACAUAGGUUGACAAUACUCUGCUAUUUUAAUUCUUUUUUCCUCUAGAAUUUGGUAUGCUUAGUAUUUUUGUGUAGAACAUAUUAGGAUAUAGUUGUGUGAGUGAUAAGGUUGGCAACAAGGUCUGGGAUGGAUGGAAUAUUAGUGUCUGGCUGAUAUUUGAUUUGAAAGAGUUGUAAGAAUCAGGGGCGGAGCUAGCAAGACGCAAGGGGGUUGCCCAAGAUCUCAAAAAAAUUUAAAAUGUGUAUAUACUAGACGUUGAAUCCCUUGACUUCUUUGUGUCUUUACUUUUUAUAUUCUGAAUUCCUUAGUGAAGAUCCUGGCUUUGCUACGAUAAAAGAUCACUCGUAGAACAUGGAGUUAGUGUUGUUGAAAUGCCAUAUACUUGUCAGUGCAUCUCUACAACUUUAUACAGCCUCUGCUACUGAAAAUAUAUCGUUUGUUUAGAGAAUCGCAGCUUUUGCAUUCAUGUAAUUGGUUUUGUUUUGUUGUUGUACAGUGAUAUAUCCGCGAAUUCUACUCUUGAAAUCUUCUAUUUUCUUCACUGAUAUGGUUUUCUUAUAUGCAUUUAGUCAAUGGAGGACACCGGUGAAUGGAAGAAUCGUUGGCAUUCCCAGCUAUCCGAGUUGAAAAGAAGAAACACACACAAGGACUCUGGUAACAAUAUGUCUUGGGGUGCAUGUAUGCGUAGACAAAGGAAUGAAACAUCGUUAUAACGAAUAAUCCUUGCUAUAUAGUUUUUAUAUAUUGCUUGUAUAUUAGAUAUAUAAUUGGAAGUGUUUGGUUAGCAUUGAUGUUUUAAGUAGUGUAACAACUAUGUAAGUGCUAACCAAAUAUAGGUAACUGUUUGUACAUAGAGUUAUUUGAAUCAAGUUGCUAUUUUAACCAUAUCGCGCUAUUAUUUCUCGAGCUAUUUACGUGGUUUCUGCUGUGAAUGUAUGUUGAAUUUGUCUCAAUCGCGCUCUUUGUUUUGGCAACGGUUGAUGCAAAUAGUAGAGAGACUUUUCUAUUCAUGUGCAGUUGAUUUUCGAACAAAAGGAAGAGUGAUAGUAGCUUUCUCUCAUAAUACUAUUUGGACUAGAGCUGUCAAUAUGGGUCAAUCCAACUGAAGUCAGCCCAGUCUACAUGGGCUGUAUAAAUUAUUGGCCCAACUUCUCAUUUGAGGACCUUCAAAAUGCUAGCCCAAUCCAGCUCUACACGGCCCAUGGGCUGUUGGGUGUCCAACAAACCUUUCUUAAUUAAGAAAGAUUCAUUCACCGUAGUUUCUCUUAGUAGCAGAUAAAACUACUAAUAUCACAUCAUAUAGAAUAUCGAUCGAUAGGCAUUCAAGUCUAUUAUAUAAUUCAUAUUGAUGAUCUUAUUGUUUUCACGAGCGCAUCCUUUCUUAGAGUCAGUUGUUUUCAAUCAGAAGUUAAUGCUUGCUUUCCUAAAGAAUAAAGGGGAAAUUAUAGCCCAAUGUUUUUGGCUAUUCAAUUACAAAAUAUGUACUUAGUGUAUAAAUAAUGAAUACUUUAUAUAAGUAUAUGCAUAUACUACAUGUAACAUAUACAUACUAUAUAUCUAUAAUAUAUAUACAUAUACUAUAAUAUAUCUAUACACAAUAAUAUCGACAAUCAAAGUUUGACCUUCAAUCAUGUUGGUAAACUAGAUGAUCAAAGAUUACAUUUUACCUAAGUUUGACUCUCUUGAAGGGUGAUAAGGGUCAAACAUGUAGUCAAAUACAUUAAUUAAAUUUCAUAGAAAGUAAUUAAACAAAUAUCUGUUUUUUUACUGAGACUGUAAUUUCAUAAUAACGGGAUGUUCACUUAAAACAUGAAAAAAGGUAAGUAAAUAUGAUUUUUAAUAUUGUGUCUCUAUAUUAAAAAAAACAAGGAAAUAAAAUUUGGUAAAUUAAUCAUUAUUUUUUGUAACUUAUCAAAAUCAAGUACUUUUACAAGUCUAUAUAUUAGAGAAAAAUCUUAAGCAUUUUUCAUCAUCUUUUGAUUUUUGAGCACUAAAUCACAUAUUUUCAAUGGCCUCUACAAAAUCCUCCCUUCAGUCAAUUUUGCUGCUCUGUGUGGUUUUGUUUUCUCUUGUGAAUCUCCAUCAAUGUAUGUUUACUAUAAUUUAUUGAGAUUUUCAAUGUAAAACUCGUAAAAAAUAUGAUAUUAUUAUUUACGUGAUUCGAUAGUAUAAGAAUUUUUUUUAACGUAGUAAUGUCAGUAUAUGAAAGCUAAUUAACUAAUUUAUAUGUUAUCGUAUUUCACAAAAUGCAGGUGAUGAAAGCACGAAACUUGAUGCAAACGAUGUAUGCGACCAACUUGUGGUUCCUGGUGAACCACCCCAUUGGUGUUGCACGUUGGACAAACCACUCAAUUGUGACUAUCUUUCUCUACAAAAUUGUCAAAAUAAUUGUCAUUAAUAAUAAAUUAUGACUUGUAUUAGUGAUGAUUCUUCAUCAUUUCCAAGAGUUUAAUAAAAUGAUUUUGAAGUUUCAAUUUGAUUAAAAUGACUUAUAAUCUUUUGUGAUUUUUCUUUGUUAAUUCAAGUAAGGAUAUAAGUUUUUUUCGUCUAAGUGACUUAUAUUUGUUUGAUAUGAAAAUUUCUGAUCUCCAUUUUAUUAAAUUCUUCUCUUAGACAAGAGCUUACUCAAUUCCUUUUUAAACUUCCGCAAAGCUCUCCUUUCCUUAGAGUUGUAUAUGAAGAAAUAUAAUGUCCUUAGUUGUAUGUAGUUUUGUACCGUCAAGAACCAUAUUAAUUAAAAGUCUGUUUAGAUGAACUUGUUUUAAGUGUUUUUAAGCUAAAAGUAGCUUUUAAGCACCUGAUGGUAAGUUACAAUAAUAAAAAUAAUAAGUUAAGAUUUUUUACUUAUAAGUCAAAAGGAAAUACAAACAGGUUCUAAUUAAUCAUUCUUAUUAUUUUUACGAAUCAAAAUUUUCAAGAACAUAAACGACGUCAUGCUUUAAAUAAAGAAAAAAAAAUCGACUAGGGGAAUAUUAAUUUUGUAUUUAACUUUUGGAAUUUUAUUUUUAAAAUUUUAUAAAACGUAAGCUAAUGUCUUCUAUUAUAUUGAGAAUAUUGUAAUUAUCAUAUCUAAAACAUGUAAAAGAUAAGUAGUUGAAAUUUUAAAUAUUGUGUCUCUAGAUGAAAAUUAGGUAAUAAAGCUUGGUAAGUUAAUCAUAAGCUUAUGUCCAUUAUCAAAAUUAUAUACUUCGAUAGAACUAUAUAUUUGUGAGAAUUUCAUAUGUAUUUCUCAUUUUAUUUUAUUUUUAUCCUUGAGCACUAAAUCAUAUAUAUAUGUUCAAUGGCCUCUAUAAAAUUCUCCAUUGGAUCCAAUUUGCUAAUUUUUUUGGUUUUGUUUUCUUUAUUAGUUCUCCAUCAAUGUAUGUUCAAAUAUAUUUAUUCCUUUAUACUUAUAUUAUUAUUAUUAUUAGUAUUAUUAUUAUUAUUAUUAUUAUUACUAUUAUUAUUAUUGUUGUUGUUGUUGUUAUUAUUAUUAUUAUUAUUAUUAUUAUUAUUNNNNNNNNNNNNNNNNNNNNNNNNNNNNNNNNNNNNNNNNNNNNNNNNNNNNNNNNNNNNNNNNNNNNNNNNNNNNNNNNNNNNNNNNNNNNNNNNNNNNNNNNNNNNNNNNNNNNNNNNNNNNNNNNNNNNNNNNNNNNNNNNNNNNNNNNNNNNNNNNNNNNNNNNNNNNNNNNNNNNNNNNNNNNNNNNNNNNNNNNNNNNNNNNNNNNNNNNNNNNNNNNNNNNNNNNNNNNNNNNNNNNNNNNNNNNNNNNNNNNNNNNNNNNNNNNNNNNNNNNNNNNNNNNNNNNNNNNNNNNNNNNNNNNNNNNNNNNNNNNNNNNNNNNNNNNNNNNNNNNNNNNNNNNNNNNNNNNNNNNNNNNNNNNNNNNNNNNNNNNNNNNNNNNNNNNNNNNNNNNNNNNNNNNNNNNNNNNNNNNNNNNNNNNNNNNNNNNNNNNNNNNNNNNNNNNNNNNNNNNNNNNNNNNNNNNNNNNNNNNNNNNNNNNNNNNNNNNNNNNNNNNNNNNNNNNNNNNNNNNNNNNNNNNNNNNNNNNNNNNNNNNNNNNNNNNNNNNNNNNNNNNNNNNNNNNNNNNNNNNNNNNNNNNNNNNNNNNNNNNNNNNNNNNNNNNNNNNNNNNNNNNNNNNNNNNNUAUUAUUAUUAUUAUUAUUAAAAUUAUUAUGUACCAUACAAAAAGUAUACUUUUGGGUAAUAUGAGGUUUUUUUUUACAUAUUUUGUUAAUGUAUAAAAAUUAAUCGAAUAAUGAUAUUCAUUCUUAUUUCAUGAAAUACAGGUGAUGAAAAUACCCAAGUUAUAGCAGACGCGGCACCCGAUCAAUGCAUCCCAAUUCAUGAGCAAAGCAAUCCAGUACCCAUAUGGUGUUGCCCAGCAAAUAUAGAAUGCUAUGAUACUAACCAAACAUGUCAUAAUAAUUGUCACUAAUUAUAAUAAUUUUUAGAGUAUAAUAUAAUAUUACUAAUUCGAGAAAGCAUUAUGGAUUUCCUCAAUUAGUACUAGAGUUUCAUGUUACUAAUUUUGUUGAUGUAUAACUAAAACAAAAAUAACUCGAUAAUUAUAACGUUAAUAAAGUUCAAUUUUCAGCUAUCGAUUUUAUAUACUCUAAUUUUAUAUAUUUAUAUCAUAUUUAUCUUUCAUUCUCUCUAUCGAUUUGAAGUUGAACAUUUUAUACACUAGUGUUUCUCUUUCGACGCAAAAGUUUAUUCAUUUGCAACCAAAAAAAAUUAUGGGUUACAAAAUAUUUCCAAUAUUUAUGGGUUUUAUUGAUGUUUAAUAGUGUAUAGGCUUAUAGAUAUGCAGUAAUUUGAAUUUCGAAUUAUCAUUAUUUGUUAAUACAAUUUGUAUCGUAUAGGACUCUUCUAGGUAUAGAGUUUGUGUUCUCGGAGGAGUUAAGUACAUCGGUUGUUUCUGUAUUUUGUAUCUAUAAAAGAGUAUCUUGCUCUUUCAUUAUAAUAAGACCGAUGCUAUGUUUUACCACAUUUAUCAAUGUUAUUUUCAUGUUGGACAAAUAAGGAAAAAGUAUCAAAAAUUAAGAAAAUAUCUCUUGUGCAUAUAUAGAUUUUUUUAUAAUACAUAUAUAGACUAAAACUAAUUUGGUAAAUCAAUUAUUUAUUUGUGUUAGUUACCAAAAUGAAGUACUUUUAUAGGCUAUAUAUAUGUGGGAAAAUUUCAUAAUAUAAGUAUUUCUCACUAUUUUUAGACUUUAGAACAUUAAAGCAUAUUUAUCUUCAAUGGCCUCUACAAAAUUUUCCCUUCAAUCAAUUUUGUUGCUUUCAAUGGUUUUGUUCUCUAUAUUUGCUCUUCAUCAUUGUAUGUCCAUAUACAUUUUUCUUAUUAUUAUUUAUUAUAAUUAUAAUUGUUAUUAUUAUUAUUAUUAUGGGCAAAAAAUAAUUUAAUAAACAUGCAAUAGGUAGCCUUUGUUGUUUUUCAAGUUAUAAUUCCUCAUUUUACGGAUGGUUACAUGCAUAUUGUUAUCUUUUACAGUAAUUUGAUAGGAUAAGAACUUUUGUUAUUGUGUAGAAACUAAUCGAGAUGUGUUUUCUUAUUUUAAAAAAAAUGCAGGUGAUAAAAGUACGAGAAUUACAUCAAAACUUAACAGUGAUGUGUGCAUACCGCUUUUGAGUCAUGGUGAGCCACCCAAAUGGUGUUGCUACACGAACAAUCCACCCACAUGUGGCUAUGUUUCUCUAAAAGAAUGUCAUGCUCAUUGUCAUAAAUGAAAAUUUUCAAAAUAAUAAUUAUGUUAAUUAAUUUGAGAAAGCAUUAUGAUUUUUCUCAAUUAGAACGUGUGAGUUUCAUGUUACUAGUUAAUUACGUUGAUGUAUUGCUUAUUUAUUUAAAUAAAAGAACUGAAUUAUUAUUAAGAAAGCUCAUUUUCAGUUAUCGAUAUAUACUUUAAAUUCAUAUAUCUGAUUUACUAUUAGUUUUUUGUCACCAUUUAAAAAGUAAUAGGAGAAUAGCCACACUUGAAUGUAUAAUUCCUUUUUUUAAAAUUAAAAUUAUCCCUAUUUAAUUAAAACACGAAAAAACUUGUAAACUUUAAACCUCAUGAAUAUAUCAUUUCUUGUAGUUCACUUGUCAAUCCUUUGGAUUCCAACAUCAUUUUUUGGAGUUAAUUUAUGCCGUUUUUAUAAAUGGAGGAAAAAAUUUCAAAACUAUUUUCAAUAUUUAUGAGCUUAUCGAUGCUAUCUUUAUCGUUGCACCUAAACAAACACAUUAAGUAAAAAUUAGUUGGGAAGACUAGUUUUCGGGUGUAUUUUUUGUUUUUAGCUACCAUUUGAAGAGUACUGGAAAAAUAGAGAGUGAGACUCGAACAUCUAUAUAAGUAUGGACGGUUCGAUUGGUUAGUUUAAAAAAAAAUCCCAAAUUUUCAGGUCUUUUAUAAUGUGUAAUUAAAAUUAGACUUUUUAAAAUCAUUCCAAUCAUAUCGGUUUUCUUCGGUAUCAGUACGUUCGGUUAAUUUUCGUGUUUUUUUUAUUUUUAAAGUAUCACCUCAAAAUAUACUAUUAUUAAAAUAUUUCUUUCGCAAAUAUGUUCGUGAAGAAGCACUUCAGUUCUACACCAAGAAGUCAAAAAUAUAAAACCUUGUUGUUGUAUAAUUGUUUGAUCUUAAACAUUUAAUAUGAGUGUUUGCAUAUGUUUAGGUGUAUUAUAGAUUAAAGAGCAAAGACUCAUAUUGGGAAAAAAAACAGGUAGGCCUUCUGAGCGGUUAUUUAGGGGCCUUGUUAGCGAUCCAUCAUUCUUCCCUAAGCUGUCAGAGUCCGAUCGAAGCGAGUAAGAGAUAGAGGAAUCCUUGCUCAUAGAUGUGAAUUGAAAAGACAGUCGUUCAAUCACUAUUCACCAGAGGCCUAGGACCUACGUUAUAUUUAUAUUUGAAAAUUGUUAUGAAAUAUAUUUAUAUAUUAAAUUUAACAUAUUGCUAAUAUAUAAAAUAUAUUUACAUGUAAGGUUAUUCGGUUCGAUUUUGGCAUUUUUUAGUUUUUUUUCAUAAAUUAAAAAGAUCAUCCCAAUUAUUCUGGACGGUUAUAAACUUAAAUAAAAGUCCACGAUUUUAUUGAAAAAAUGACAUAAAUCGGUUUGGUUCGAUUAGGCUUGAUCGGUUUGAUCGUUUUUUCAUAUUAUUUUGAAGCCCCUACAGUGUCACUUUAUUUUUAAUCUGCAAAAAUAAAAGAUUAGAUAAGGAGAAUGGCUAUUUAUCUCAAAUUGAAAGAUAAAUUUAAUUUUUAAAAUAAAAUUAAGAGGUGUAAACGGUUUUCGCCCUAUAAAUUUUUUUUAUCAAACUAAUAAUUAGACUAAACACAUUCAUUGUGCAAAGUACAAAAAAGAAGAAGACAGGAAAAUAAUUUUGUUUUAAACAAACAUUUUAGGAAUAAAAACAAAUGGCAAUAAGGAGGAAUGAAUGUGUAGGAUACAUAUCACAUAUUCUUUCUUUUUUUUGGGUAAAAUUUCACAUAUUCACACACAAGUAAUAAAAGGAAAUGGUAAAGAAAUAUUAGUAAAUCAAAUAAGUGAUAAUAAGUAAAUAGUAAAGAAAAACAAAAAGAGUUAUUUUAGAAAUAAAAUAAAUUAUAGUGGUGAGGAAUAAGUGAGUUGAAUAUAUUUAUUUUUUUCCCCAAUUUUAUAGUCAACAACAAAUAAGGAAAAACAUUAUUGAGAAAAUAGAUACUAGUAGAAAUAAUAUACCAUAUCAACCUUUUUAGGUAAAAUCAUUAUUUUAUUAAUAUAUAGACCAAGAAGAAACAAUUUUAAAUUAAUCAUUAGUUUUCCUUAAUUAUCAAAAUCAAGUACUUUCAUAAGUCUAUAUAUUUGAGAGAAUUUCAUAAGUAUUUCUCACAAUUUAGACUCUUGAGCACUUGAAAAAUAUAUUUUUCAAUGGCCUUUACAAAGUUCUCCCUUCAAUCAGUUUUGCUACUUUGCUUGGUUUUGUUUUCCCUGUUGGCUCUUCAUCAUUGUAAGUCCACAUUUUUCCCUAUUAAAUUUAAUUUUUUAUAAUGAGUUACAACAUGUAACAUGUCUUGUUUUAAAUGUUAUUUUCACUUUUUAUGUUAUAAUAAAAUUCUUCUUAUAAUUGAAUUUCAAGAAAUACAGGUGAUGAAGGUAUAAAUAUUAAAUCAGACGCGGCAACCUAUCAAUGCAUCCCAGUUCAUGAUCAAGGCAAUCCAGUACCCAUAUGGUGUUGCCCAGCAAUUUCAGAAUGCUAUGAUACUAACCAAAUAUGUCAGGAUAAUUGUCACUAAUUAUGAUAAUUUUUCAAGAAAAAUAUGAUAUUAUUAAUUCGAGAAAACAUUAAUAGUUUUGUCCUUAAUUAGUACUCAUGAGUUUCAUGUUACUAAUUAUAUUGAUGUAUAACUAAAAUAAAAACAUCUUUGAUUAUAACCUCAAUAAAAUUCAAUUUCAGCGAUCGAUAUUAUAUACUCUAAUUUCGUAUAUUUAUAUCAUAUUAUCUUGCAUUUUCUCUAUCGAUUUGAAGUUGAACAUUUAUACAUAAGUGUUUCUCUCUCGACUCAAAAGCUUAUUCAUUUGCGACCAAAAAAAAUUAUGGGUUACCAAAAUAUUUCCCAUAUUUAUGGGUUUAUUGAUGUUAUUUUCAUUUUGGACAAAUAAGGAAAAAGUAUCAAAAAUUGAGAAAAUAUCUCUUGUGCAUAGAUUUUUUUAUAAUACAUAUAUAUAGACUAAACCUAAUUUGGUUAAUCAAUUAUUAAUCUGUGUUAGUUGCCAAAAUGAAGUACUUUUAUAGCCUAUAUAUUUGGGAAAAUUUCAUAAUAUAAGUAUUUCUCACCAAAAUGAAGUACUUUUAUGUUAAUUAAUUUGAGAAAGCAUUGUGAUUUUUCCCAAUUAAAAUGUGUGAGUUUCACGUUACAAGUUAAUUAAGUUGAUGUAUUAAUUAUUUAUUAAAAUAAAAGAACAUGAUUAUUAUUAAGAAAGUUCAUUUUCAGUUAUUGAUAUAUUCUUUAAAUUCAUAUAUCUGAUUUACUAUGAGUUUUUAGCCACCAUUUAACGAGUAAUAAGGGAAUAGCCACACUUGAAUGCACAAUUCUUUUUUUGGUAUAAACUUAUCGACAUUUUAAAACAUGAAAAAACUUAUAAAGGUAUGAACUUUCAAACUUUGAACCUCAUGAAUAUAUCAUUUUUUUGUGAUUCACUUGUCGAUCCUUUGGAUUCCAACAUCGUUUUUGGAGUUAAUUUGUUCUGUGUUUAUAAAUGGAGGAACUUUGUCCAAAACUAUUUCUAAUAUUUAAUGGCUCAUCGAUGCUAUUUUCAUCGUUGCACCUAAACAAACAUAUAAGUAAAAAUUAGUUGGGAUGACUAGUUUUUCGAAUUUGUUAUGAGUUUUUAACUAUUAUUUGAAAAGUAAUAGAGAAAUAGAUAGUGAGAGUUGAACCCUCAAACACCUACAUAAACAUGACCCAUAAUGAUACAUGUUCAGAAGUCCAGAGCUUAGAAGAAAUUGUGGAUACCAUAGAAAAAAAUAACGUUGAUGAUAAAGUAGAAGAUGAUACAAUAUCGUUUUAAACCAGUUACGGGUAAGAAAACACUUCACAUGUAAGACUCUUCACAAUUUUAUGGUGCAGUUCGAAAUGACAACACCGAAAUUUUUGGAUGCAAUAAGAAAAGUUAGAGAUGAGCUUCAACAAGAUUUAAAUUUUAACAAAAAAAACAUAAGACAAUAGAAUCAUGUUUCACUAAAUUAUCUUAUAUAUAUAUAUAUANNNNNNNNNNNNNNNNNNNNNNNNNNNNNNNNNNNNNNNNNNNNNNNNNNNNNNNNNNNNNNNNNNNNNNNNNNNNNNNNNNNNNNNNNNNNNNNNNNNNNNNNNNNNNNNNNNNNNNNNNNNNNNNNNNNNNNNNNNNNNNNNNNNNNNNNNNNNNNNNNNNNNNNNNNNNNNNNNNNNNNNNNNNNNNNNNNNNNNNNNNNNNNNNNNNNNNNNNNNNNNNNNNNNNNNNNNNNNNNNNNNNNNNNNNNNNNNNNNNNNNNNNNNNNNNNNNNNNNNNNNNNNNNNNNNNNNNNNNNNNNNNNNNNNNNNNNNNNNNNNNNNNNNNNNNNNNNNNNNNNNNNNNNNNNNNNNNNNNNNNNNNNNNNNNNNNNNNNNNNNNNNNNNNNNNNNNNNNNNNNNNNNNNNNNNNNNNNNNNNNNNNNNNNNNNNNNNNNNNNNNNNNNNNNNNNNNNNNNNNNNNNNNNNNNNNNNNNNNNNNNNNNNNNNNNNNNNNNNNNNNNNNNNNNNNNNNNNNNNNNNNNNNNNNNNNNNNNNNNNNNNNNNNNNNNNNNNNNNNNNNNNNNNNNNNNNNNNNNNNNNNNNNNNNNNNNNNNNNNNNNNNNNNNNNNNNNNNNNNNNNNNNNNNNNNNNNNNNNNNNNNNNNNNNNNNNNNNNNNNNNNNNNNNNNNNNNNNNNNNNNNNNNNNNNNNNNNNNNNNNNNNNNNNNNNNNNNNNNNNNNNNNNNNNNNNNNNNNNNNNNNNNNNNNNNNNNNNNNNNNNNNNNNNNNNNNNNNNNNNNNNNNNNNNNNNNNNNNNNNNNNNNNNNNNNNNNNNNNNNNNNNNNNNNNNNNNNNNNNNNNNNNNNNNNNNNNNNNNNNNNNNNNNNNNNNNNNNNNNNNNNNNNNNNNNNNNNNNNNNNNNNNNNNNNNNNNNNNNNNNNNNNNNNNNNNNNNNNNNNNNNNNNNNNNNNNNNNNNNNNNNNNNNNNNNNNNNNNNNNNNNNNNNNNNNNNNNNNNNNNNNNNNNNNNNNNNNNNNNNNNNNNNNNNNNNNNNNNNNNNNNNNNNNNNNNNNNNNNNNNNNNNNNNNNNNNNNNNNNNNUAUAUAUGUACUUUUAACGAAUUAUUAAUUUAUAAUAUUAAUGGGACCAUAUAAUAAUAUAAUGGUUUUCUGAAAAUAUAUUAUCUUAUUACUUAUCGAAAUGAGUGAUUUUUUUUCAUUGACCCAAGUUGGAACCGGAGGAAAAUAUCAUCUUAGAGAAUUUAUUAAUUAAUCGAAUAUUAAUUCAGUGAGAUUUUACAGUAAAGGGAAGAGAUGUAAAUGAUUUUCAGGCUAUAAUUUUUUUAUCAAACUACUUAGGCUAAACAUAUUCAUGCACUAAGUACAAAAAAGAAAAAGACAAGAAAAUAAUUUUGUUUUAAAAAAACAUUUUAGGAAUAAAAACAAAUGGCAAUAAGGAAUGUGUAGGAUACAUUUCAAAUAUUUUAUUUAUUUAUUUUUGGUGAAAGAAAUAUUAGGAAAAGAAAUAAAUGAUAUUAAUGGUAACAAGUAAGAAGUAAAGAAAAACAAAAAAGAGUUAUUUUAGAAAUAAAAUAAAUUAUAGUAGUGAGGACUAAAUGAGUUGAAUAUAUUUGUUUUUUUUUUCUCAAUUUUAUAGCCAACAAAUAAAGAAAAAUCAUUAUUGAGAAAAUAGAUAUACUAGUAUAAAUACUAUAUUUGUCUAUACCAUAUCAGUCUUUUGGGGCAAAAUCAUUAUUAAUAUAUAGACCAAGAAGAAAUAAUUUUAAAUUAAUCAUUAGUUUUCCUUAAUUAUCAAAAUCACGUACUUUCAUAUGGCUAUAUAUUUGAGAGAAUUUCUAAGUAUUUCUCACAAUUUUUAUACUUUUGAGCACUUAAAAAUACAUUUUUCAAUCUAAAAAUUAAUUUUUUCAAUCUAAAAAAUAUUUUUUUCAAUGGCCUUUACGAAGUUCUCCCUUCAAUCAGUUUUGUUGUUUUGCUUGGUUUUAUUUUCCUUGUUGGCUCUUUAUCAUUGUAAGUCCACAUUUUUUCCUAUUAGAUUUAAUUUUUUUAUUAUUAGAAUUAAUAAUAAAAACUUAUAAUGAACAACAUGUAGCAUGUCUUGUUUUAAAUGUUAUUUUCACUUUCUAUGUUAUUAUAAAAUUUUAUAUUCUUAUAAUUGAAUUUCAUGAAAUACAGGUGAUAAAGGUAUGAACGUUGAAGUAGAAGAUAAAAUUGAUUUAUGCCUUCAAAUUCCUGGUCAACCAGGCAAAUGGUGUUGUGCAACAGCUACAAAAGCAUGCUAUCCUUCUCUUGCUGCAUGUGAAUCAAAAUGUCACUAAUGGCAGUUUAUUAUAGAAAAAUAAUGUUAAUUAAUCCAAAAAGUAUUAGAAUUUAUUUUAAUUAGUACUCAUGAGUUUGAGUUUUAUAUUAUUGCUAUAUAAGUUGAUGUAUGAGUAUAAUUAAAAGUUGUUACUUUCAUUUAUAAAAUAUAAGUAUAGUUAUUAGUAAUUGGAAUUUAUCUCUCUUUCUGUCCAUUUAAAAUUGAAAAUUUAUAUAUUAUUUCACUUUGAUGUGAAAAAGAAAUAAUAUAUAAAUUUGAUUCUCUCAUUUUUUUUUAACCUAUUGUUGACAAUAUUUAGAUUCUAAUAAAGAAAGAGCAAAGACAAAGUUAUUAUUUCAAUAGCUCAAAUAAAAGUAAGUUCUAAAGCCCAACUUUAGUAAUGUAACAAACCAACACCACAAAUACACCAAAUUAAACUUUGAAACAAAUACUUUUUAUUUCAAGCAAUAGGCCAUUUCGAGACUCCACCUAUGUGAUUACACUGGACAUGUUGUUGUUGUUCAAGCAAUAGACCAUUCGUUGUUUAGCUCAUUUUUCAACUUCAUUAUCUCAUCCUCAGGCAAAGUCAUGGUCACAAUCCUUCCUUCAGAAUCAUUUGGCCCGUCCGAAAGUACCAACACGGUCCCUGCAUCGCCUACUCCAUCGAUAAAGUAAUUUACAUUUUUUGGCUUAUGUCCCUUCCAAUCGAAUCCAUAGAGAUCAGCACCCUCCAAGCUCACGAAAGUUAAAUUUGCUCCGUAAACAAUGAAAUCCGACACUCCAUGCUCUUUCUCGAUGGCUUCAUCAAUCUUUAAUCGCUCGUCGAUGAUCUCAUUUUUAAUCAACCUUGCUAAUUCACUAGGAUUAGCUUCUCUAAUUGAGUCAUCAACCUUAACCACACCAAUUACUUGAGUGUUUCCUAUAAGGCCCUCUUUCUUUUCUUCACUUUUUUUACAAAUGGUCACAACUUUUGGGCCAGGCCCAUCUCUAAUUCUUGAAAUGGACUGCCAAAUAAUAGCACAUAGUGAUUCAAAUGGGCCUUGAAUGCCUAUUCUUGAUUGUAUGUGGCCCAAUUUGGAUGCACUAACAUGGAUUGAAAAUGACUCCAACUUGCAACUUGCAUUAGCAAUCCAAUGAUCUUCAACCGGGUCAACCCGUUUUAUUGAAAGUGGAUCCUCCACAAUUUUUUGUAGGGUUUGGGUUGAGUUUGCUUUGGUUAAUGAAUGGGCCAAGUUAAGGGGCCGGGGCGGUUGGUAUCCACCAACUACUUUACCCAAAAAGUUCCAAAAUUCAGUUGCUGAAAAUACAUCUCCAAGUACAUGGGCCCAACUUAGGCCCAAUGAAAUUCCACCACAUUUGAAUUUGGUAUGCUACAUAAAUUGCCCAAGAUAUAAAUGUGUCAACUAUUAAUUACCAACAAGAAAAUUGAAAAAAAAUAUAGUAUUGAAACAACCAAUAAUUAAAAAGAUAUAUAAGAUGGAGGAAAAGGUUAUACAAGAAAUUUAUAUAAUUAGAGAAGAUAUUUCAUUUAUCAAGAAUCAGAGCGAAGCAACAAUCACGUCUGAAUCUUAUGUAUUAUAGCUCAACAAUUCAUCUAGUGAUUUCACAAUCGCUAAAGAAGUCUUACGUAUUUCGAUGAGAACCAUGAAUGACUAGCUCAUGUGACUUCAUAAAAAAUAAUCAACAAGAAUAUUGAAGAUAACGAAACACAUAUAGUAAUUACAAUGAAGUGAAUAUAAGACAUUAUAUGAUAUGCUUUUCUAUAAUUAACGAUUUCUUUAACUUAUAGAAAGUUAUGCUUAUCUACAUAUAACAUAUGUUAUGCCUAUGACAUCAUUCCUCCUACAAUUGUUGACUUGAAUUUCAAACAAAUUUAAUACAUCUUAUAUAUUUUUAUCUAAUUUUAUUUUUAUUUUGAAGAUAUUAAAAAUAAUAAUUUUGUGAAAUAUAUAUCCCGUGACUUGGAAUUAAUGUUCAAUCCUGCACCUUUAUGCAUUAAAUGACUCACUUUUUCCUACCAAAAUAUAAAUUUAAUAGCCAACCAACUGUAAUAACUUAGGCAAAAAUAAAAUAAAAUACACGGGGAGUCAUCUCUCGUCUAUAUUUUUUUCAUCGUUACUCUUAUGUGUCAAAUUAUAUGUCGUGAUUUUAAAAAAGAAUUCUAAUUAUUUUAUUAUUUAAAAGUUUAAGAUAAAAAAAAUAAAUUCCAUUUACCUUAGUAGUAAUAGUUCUUGAAGAUUACAAACACUUCAAUUAUGAAAUCUUAACACAUAAAUACGAUAAAUAUUUAAUGAAGAGAAAUUAUAUUUUAAGACAUAAAUAAAAAUAAAAUAGUCAUAAUUCUAAUUAAUAUUUGUCUUCAAAUAAAAAACACAACAUAUAAUUUGAGACUGUUAAAAAGAAAUUUAUAGGUAAAUUUAUUACUUUACUACCUCAACUAUUGAAAUAUUGAAGGAAUACCUGCCACGACCAUACAAUCUUUAAUAUGAUAGUGAAAUAUUGCAACUAAUUGUAUGGUCUAUAUGUUUAUUUGCAGUUAUUAAAGAGAUAAGGUAUAGAAUCACGGGUGUGGUGGAAUAUUUGGAAUUUUAUUUUUAGCAAAAAAUACAAGGUUUAAGCAUUAAAAAUGGAAAAGAAAAACUCUUAGUAAAAACAAUUUAUCCUAUUUAUUAAAUUGUUUCUAAUGCAAAUCUGGAAUGAUCGAUUUUUCAUCUUGAACAAAAGGUAUUGAGUUCAAGCAUUUAAAAUUAAGACAAAUAAAUUAAUAAAUAAUAUUUUAUUCUAUUUACUGAUAGUUUCCAAUAAGAAUUUGAAUUAAUAGAGUAACAAUUAACUAAACAUGAAAAUUGAUGAUUAAUCAUUUACUUCUCACAUUUCGUGAAUAGCUCAGACAUUAAGGAAAAUUCAACCAUCAUUUCAAAAAUCCGUCCUAAUUCUUUUUUUUGUUUGAUUUGAAUUUCAUCGGAGUCUUAGAAUUUUUCUUUAAAAAAAUCUCUAAAAUUCUAAUCAUACCUGCCCCCACCCCUAAAACCAUCUCUCUUUCCUCACUUUCAAGCAGAAAAUGAAAAACCUCUUGAUAAGAAGCAUUCUAUUAUUUUCUUAGUAAGCCUAUCCGACACAUCAUACCCCCUUUCCCUUCCUCCAAGCAAGAGUAAAAAGUGAAACAUAAAAUUCGAGACGUGAAAAUGAAUAACUUCUUGAUAGGAAGCACUUUAUCAGUAUAUAUCAUUUUAAUGAGCUUAUUCGAUAUGAAUUUGAAUUAAUCGAGCCAGUAACUUCAGAUAAAUAAUGAUUUGAAAAAAAACAUAUAUAGAGUAUACCUGUAUGAGGACUGGAGGUGAGAAAGCCAAUUCAGGACCAAGAACUUGAUUAGAAACAAGUAAUUUCUCAAGUGAAGCAUCUUUCAUUUCUAGCCAUUCUUCCAAAGUUUUAUCACAUUGUGCUUCAAUAAACCUAGCACCACAAUCAUUACAUUUAAUAUAAGGUCUCCCUGAUUCUGCCCUUCUAAACCUACCAUUAGUCAUAUAAAAAUAAUUAAACCAAAUAAAUAUUGGUUCUUUUAUUUUAUAAAUUGUGACAUCUUGAAAUGUUUGGCUAUCAAAGUAAUAAAUCCCUCUCAAAUAAUGUAAUUUCAUGGCCAAAUCCAUGUUACUUGGCUCAUAAACAACAUCUUGUCCUGUUACUCUAGCUGGUCCAACUGAGGAUAAUUUUAUGUUGUAAAUUAGACCAUCUUCUAAUUUUGAAGACACCAUUUUUGGAAUUAUUAUUUUUCUAAGUGGGAGUAGAGGAGCUUGUAGACAAUAUGGGAUGUUCUUGAUUAUGUAGAGGAUGGUUUAUAUAGGAUAUUGUUGUGUGAGAUACUCCCUCUGUCCAUUUUUAAUUAUCAUGUUGCGCUUUUCGAAAGUCAAUUUGACCAAUUUUCAAAGAUAAAUUAGAUUAUAUUAAUUCGAUAUUUUAAACAAACAAAAAAUAGAUAUUCAAAAGCUAUACGAAAAAUUCUAUAAAUUGCAAUUUUUUUGCAUAUCAAUAUAAUGAAAAAAUACAUCGUAAAAUGUUAGCCAAAAUUCUUAUCGUUUGACUCUAAAAAAGAAAACCAUGACAAUUAAUUAAAAGUGGACGGAGGGAAUAAUAAACUAGCAAUGAUUUACACACACACGUAUAUAUAUAUAUAUAUAUAUAUAUAGGUGUAUAUGUUGAUAGAUGAUAGGGGUGUGAAAUGAGCGAGUUGAAUUAUAUUUGAGCCGAUUAAAACUAAAUAGAGUGAGUUGAUAAAUGAUGACUCACUCAAAUGUUAUUAGGUUGAUGUCAAUGGGAUCCUAAUAACUUAAUUCGCCCAAUUUUUAAGAAGUUAUGAAUGUCUAACUUAUUAUUUGUAUAAUCACCAAAAUAUUUAAUAAAAUUUGUCUAGUUUAAUGAUGAUUAUCAUAAAUAUUUUAAUAUAAAGUGAAAAUAGAGGAAGUAUAGUUUGAAAAAAAAUACAAAAACUUUUUUGUUAUAUUCUAUUUACUUCUGUCUGACCAAAAAAAAUAAAAAGUUGCUAAGUGGCAUUGUCUAUUCUUAUUUUUUAUUGCUUUAAUGUUUUUUUUUUCUUGCUGUGUGAUAUAGAAGUUUUUUCCCUCACGAUUUGGACAGUGUUCAAAACUUUCAAAAUCUUUCAUCAUGACAAAAAUAUUAAGGAAUGAAGUACUGUGUGCUAAUUAAUUAUUGACGUGUGAUUAGUAGGUCAGUAUAAAUUUGAGUUAUGAAAAUAAAUUUUGUAGAAAUAUAAAAUAAGACUACAUAUAAUAGAUUCUUAUGAUCUUGUCAUUUCUUGAACUCCUCGAAUAAUCGGAGUUUAAUGCACAGGCUCCUAAUUUAUUUAUUUUUUGAAUUAACUUUUUGCAUGAUUGAGAUGCCACUUUUGCUCAUUUUCUCGUCCCUCCUAGGAGAAUUUAAGAAGGUUUACAUGAAAUUAUCCAACUCGUAUUAUCUUAUAUUUCAAGACCUAUAUUAUUUGUUAUCUAUUUUAGGAUUCGAAUAAUCUGAAUUUACGUGUGAUAAUUUCACUUUGAAGUAAAAUUCUUCCUAUUAACUAAAUGUGAAUUUACACCUAAAAUUUGAACUCGAGAUCUCCGCUAUAAAACAAUUUUAGCUUCCAAAACCACUAACAUUAAUUUGGACCGCAAGAGUAGUUCUCUAGCUGAAAAUAUUUUAAACUUAUCUUAUAUAGGAAUUCAAUUUUUCCAUAUAUAAAAUGGAAUAAAAGAAUAGUCGUUAUCUAAGUAACUAAAGAGCUAAUAAGUCUUAUAAUUAAUGGAGAAAAAAGUAUACAUAGGUGGCAAGGCUUUAAAUUAGGUGGUUGGAGAAAUUCAUUGCAAGUUAUUUGUGGCGUUUUAUUGUCCACAUUGAGGUAGUUGUGUGAUUAAUUUUGCAAUAAAUUACUCUCUCCGUUCAUUUUUAUUUGUUAUAUUUCACUUUUCGAAAGUCAAAUUAUAUGGACUUUGAUUAACAUUUUAAAAUAUAUAUUUUCAUUAUAUUAAUAUGAGAAAGAUCGAUCAUAUGAUUUUUGAACAUCUAAAUUUAAAAUUUAAAAUAUUGAGUUAAUAUAAUUCAACAUGGCUCCAAAAAUUAAUCAAAUUAACUUUUGCAAAACAUGACAAGUAAAUUCAAAUUUUUUUUCUCACCCGGUAGCUAGUACCCUCAUUGAAGUCUGACUAAAUCCAAUUUCGCGUAGGAGUCCCAGAUUGAGGGGAAAAGUGCUUUUUAACGAAGACGAUUUCGUACAUAGGAGAACUCAAAUCCAAAACCUUGAUUAAAAAUAGAAGGAUAUUUAUCAUUCUGCUACAACCUUAUCAGAUAUAUGCAAACCCUAGUUGCAUGUUAUCCAUUACCCAUAUUUAAGCCAUCUCCUUCAUUGCAAAAGAUGAAAAAUAGGGUGCAAAUAAAUAUACGUACCAAUUUUAGAGGUGCAAUAUUAAAUAUUUUACCAGAUGCACAUAAUACAAUACUAUAUAUAGUGUACCAUAUAACUAGACAACUGUAAUGUGCACUUUUUGUAGGUCAUUCCAUUACAAUAUUUACUUCAACCACCCCUAAAAUAUAGUUGCCUUUUCUAGAGGUAUAUAAUAAUAUAAUUUGACUCAUAUUGGAAGUUAAAUUUGAUUAAUUUAAUUAAAUAUUUAAAAAUUAUGCAAAAAGUAUUAUAUAUGGUAAUUCACCCCCCUCCCCCUCAUAUAAUUAAUAUUAUAAUAUGAUCGUAAAAAUAAUACACAUUAAUAUAUUGAUUAAAGUCCAUAUACUUUGACUAUCGAGAAGCGAGUCAUCAGAAUAUUUCGGAAAGGAAGGAGUAAAAUGUAAGGAGAACUUUGGUUGGGAUAACAAAAUGCCAGUAUAUUAUACACUGCUAUUUCUUCUAUAAAUUGAGAGACGUUUCUUAAAAAGAAAAAAAAGGCCUAUUAAUUGUAAUUUAAUUUGUUUUACCACAUUAUCUAUGGAAUUAAAAUCUGGAUUAGAAUAGUGGGAGUGAGUUAGAACACUUCUCGAUUAGGAUGGAAUUGCAUUAGGAAUCAGCUCUUAGUAUGUUCUUUUUUGUCUUACUGAUGGACUAAUUGACACGACGUAUCCAAAGUGAGGUGUCAUAUAUAGUGUAUGUUAUUUUUAGAUGUAGAUGACAUAAUAUUGAUUUGCAAGACGUGCAAUGGAGUUAAUGAUAGAUUAAAAUUUUUGGAAAGAAGCUAAAGAGUCUAAAAGUUUCAAGUUAAGAAGGAUUAAGUUAGAAUACCAAGAGUAUAAGUUUAGUAAUGUGUUGUAUGAUGCGGAAGUGAAAAUAAAGUUCGAUACACUAGUCAUAUCCAAGAGAGAAACCUUCAAGUACCUUGGGUCCAUUACUCAAAGAAACGUGGCAAAUGAUGAUGAUGACGCACAUCAAAUUAGAACGGGAUGGGUGAAACAAAAGCUCACCUCUAGAGUACUAUGCGAUAAAAGUAUGUCCCCAAGGCUUAAAUCUAAGUUCUACCGAGUGGUGAUUCGACCAACACUGUUUUAUGAAGUAAAAUGCUGAUCAAUAAAAAAUGACUAUGUUUUGAAGAUGAAGAUAGUUGAGAUAAGGAUGUUUAGAUGGAUAUAUGAUUUUUUUUGAAAUAUAAGUAAUUAUAUCUUGUUUUCACAAGUUAAAUACGUAAAAUAAAAUUAAAAUUAAUAAAAUAAAUUGGAGGUCUGCUCUAAUACAACAACAACAAUUUCAUUUGAUUAUUACUAUGUAUCAAUUUCCAACUAGUUGUUAUGAUCGCCUAAUGAAUUCAUACUAUCUACUGUCAGAGAAUAUAGUGUAGCGGAUGGGGCUAUGCUUUUCUCUUAAUCAGAUGUCUUGGGUUUGAUCCUUGAGUAUGAGAUUUUUUUGGUAGAGAGCACUUCCCCCAAAUGGAGCUCUAUGCGGCGUGAAUCCGAAAUAAUAAGGCUCCAACGAAUACUGAACACCAAAUGAAAACUUUAAUUGAAAAAAACAAAAAAAAAAUCACUCUAUAGAAAUUUCUUUUACAAAAUUAAUCGAGUUUUAAAGCAGGUAUCAAAUAUCAAAUGAAAAAAAAAAGUUUGUGGGUGAACUUCCAUAUAUCUACAACUGAAUUAAUUCCCACUCCACAAUUAAAAAAAUAUUAAUUAAUACGAUCCACAUAAAAUAAAUGAGACCAAUUAAUAACAUAGGUAUACUUCUUUGUCAUUAUAAUAAAAAUAGAAAUAAAUACAGACUUAUAGUUGAGAGUUGAAACAAAGAGCUAUUAUGAGAAGGAUAAGACAAGUUUAUGAAUGUCGUGGAAGCACCUGCCGGAUGUAGAGUUGGGGCUCGAGUUUUUCAGAAUUUAAUAUUUUUAACGUCAUACAUAAAUUUCUAUAAAAAUUAUAAAAUAUGAUAAAUUUGAACUCAUAAUUUUAAAUUUGUUCAACAUCAAAAAACUUUAAAAUUGAAACCAUAAAUUCAAAUUCUUGAUACGUCUCUGCGUGAAAGUCCAUAGAAGUCAUGUGUAUCAUGUAUGAUCUGUCGAUAUAGGAAACACAUUGUUUGCUUAAACUCAAUUGUUAUUGUUGUAUAUGUAGUGUUGUGAGCAGAUUCGAAUUUAAAAUUUUGAGUUCAUGAGGUUAAUUUUUUUUAUAAAAAAGAUAAUUUAUGAUUUUGAAUAAAUUAUUUAAUUAUAUAUAUUCAAUGAAUUUUUAACAUAAACAUAUGAUUUUAGCUAAAUUAUAAGAUUUUAUCGUACACGUAGCUAGAAUUCUAACUUUGAUUGUGAGAGUUUUUAAUUUUGUGAAAUUUUUUAGCAAACAAAAAGUCAUAAUUAGGAAGACCAGCUCCUCAUGAUACCUUGUAAGAUGAAUCUUAAAACUUUUAUGUUGAAAUCUUUUAAUAGUUUGGAGAUGAAAUGAGUAGAAAAUUUAUUCUUUAUGGAUGUAUACCUUGUAUUUGACAUAAAUAAUACCAAAAUAUAUAAAUAAAAAAUUGAUUAAACUAUAUUUGUAUUUUAUAUUUCAAAUUAUUGAAUGCUGGAGUUAUACUCUGAUCAUGACCAAUUCUACACUUUAAAAUGAAAUGUAAAUACAGUCGUAGACUCAUGGCAAUAAUAAAUCCAACAAAAAUUGGGGUCAAUCUCAUAAAGAGUGUGCAUGUGCCAAGGUAGAUAUAUAUAAAGACAAUAAAUAUAUUACUUUGCAAAACUAGAAUUGUGAGGAUUGAUUCUUGAAGAAGAAAAGAAACUAAUUAAGCUACUGCUAAUUCCAAAGGUAAAUAUACAUAAGACCAUAAAUAGAUAAAUAAAUUUAUUUAUUUUACAAAUUAGAAGCCACAAAUACAUCAACUUGAAGGAGCAAUCAAACAUUUAAUUUAUUUAUUACAAAUACAAACAGGCAUCAGAAGAUGCUCUCCAGCAAAGACAAUCAUUCUGAAAAGCAUCUGCAAUUUAUUAGACAUAAAAUAUUAAGUUGAUGAAUUAAAUACAAAUUAGCUUAUUUUGAGAUAUUAAAAGUAAAUAACUAACCUGUUGACAGUUGAUACAUUGGGAUUUUCAUAUUCUCAGCUUUGCAAGUCUUUCCGAGAGCCUAACGUUGGAAUCAGUUCUUUCUAUAAGUAAUAGCUUUAUCAAUUUAGGCAUACUCACAUCAUCCUUGCACGUUAUUUCAGACAACCCAUAUGAUUCUUGAAUAUGCAGAACUUCAAGUUGCGGAAAGCUAUCACCAUCACCAGAGAGAUCCAUCUUUUCUUCAUUAUGUUUGCACCAACGCAUUUUAAGUAUCCUUAAUUUGGGCAAUUUCUUAAGCACUGCCACUACAUGACCGUCUAGAAUAAAGCGGUUAAGAGUAAGCUUGAAAAGAUUUGGAGGGAAUGCUUCACAGAUCAACGGCAUUAAUCCGCUCAAAUGCAAUGCUUCAAAGUUCAAGGGCAUUAUUCUGUCCAAAUGCAACUUAACAAUAUUUGGAUACGACGACAAGUUUAUUUGCUCACUCGUGUCCCUGAAAAAUGACCCGAGCUUCAGAACCUCCAGUGUCGUUGGCACAGGGCUCAAUGUUGAUAAUUUCUUAAUGGUAGAAUCGGAUAUAUCCAUUAUACCCAGUUUUCUUAAAUUCAUCAAUCGGUGCAACAAUCUCGGUUCAAAAAAAUUACCAUCCAUCCACAUCAAAGUUUGUACAUUAUUAGGAGGCACGUUUGGAAAAAAUGGGCUAAAGCAACAGAUAGAUGCUUCAUCGAAAUUUUUAUGACGAAGAUGUCUCAAUUGUGUAGACUUCCAAACACCAGUAGGAGGAUCAAUGAAGCUUUCAUCAAUAUCUAGGGUCUCUAGAUGUUUGAGCUUCACCAUAUAAUUUGGCAGUUUCCCCAAAAUAUGCCCCUUCAAUCGCAGAUAGCGUAAGCAACUCAUGUUCCCAAAUUUGUUUCCCAUAGCGAAACCCCCAUAACCAUCUUGAGACAUGACUACAACCAAAACUUGCAAUAAUUUGAAGUUACGAUGAGCCAUAUGAGAAAAUAUGCAAGGGUCUUUUAUGAAACAGAAAAGUGCACGAAGCUUCCUAGGCUUAGGAUUUAAACGGAAGAACUCAUUCAUGACAUUAAUAUCAGAGUAGAAUGUAAUCCUUCGCACCAUAGCAACAUUGCCGGGAUCACCAAAUGCAUUGUGCUCCGUGUGAAAGAAGUUACUUUCCUUAGCCAAGUCCACACACAAACUAUGUAACAAGUCAUGUAUGCGAUAACUUGAAAUUCUUCCAUCAUAUGUCCUUUUGGCAACUUGAAUCAAGUUUCUUGAAACCAAAUCAUUUAGGACAUCCUCCGCCAAACUUUCAGCCUGUCGCCCAUUGCCACUAUUUACAACUAUCAGCUUCUCAGCAAUCCACAUAUUUGUCAAAUCAAAGGCUCGAAUUUCAUGGUCCUCAGGAAAAAGGCCAAAGUACAAGAAACAUGGCCUUAAUGCAAUGGGCAAAUCAUUGUAACUCAAAGUCAAUACCUUAGCACAUCCAUCUUGAACUUUAUGACCCAUACUCUCAAGUACUCUGUUCCAUGCAUGUUCUGUUCUUUCUCUUGCCCUUAACAUGCCUGCAGUAACCACAAUGGCUAGUGGUACACCACCACAUCUACCAACUAUACUUCUACCAAUAUUUACUAAGUCAGGUGAAGCAUUAGCCCAACUAUUAUUAUUAUCAAAAUUAAAGAUUUUCUUGCUAAAGAGUUCAAAGCUCUUCUCUGAAACUAAAGGUUGCAACACGUGGACUGAGAAAUCCCCUCCUAUGUAUCUGCCUACAUUACUAUUUCGAGAGGUUAAAAUUAUCCUACUACCAAUUUUUGAAUCACAUUCAGGAAGGACAAGUUUUAGAUCAUCCCAAAUUUCAACAUUCCAAAUGUCAUCUAAGAGAAUAACAUACCUUUUUAUUUUCAAGAGUGAUCGUAGGUUGUUCUCCAAGUUUUCUUUCCUUUCCUCUUCCGUCAGUCCAACUUGUUUGGCUAUGUCGGUUAAGAUUUCUCGCGCCCUUGGCUGUUGUGAAAUGUAGACCAAUCCCGAACACUCAAAUUGAUCACGGACAAGCCUAUAAAGUUUCUUGGCAAGAGUUGUUUUUCCUAGACCGGGCAUGCCAACUAUUGAAACAACUCCAUAAGGCAAAUCUUGAUCAAGUAAUUUGGCUUGUAGUGUAUUGAAGUCAUCUUCCAGACCGAUGACCUCUGUUUCAUUUGCAUGAAGGAACAAUCUUCUCUGGUCCAAUGGAAUGCAAUCAUUGUUGUUAUUUGUAUCCAUGAUGUUGUAAGUUGUCCUUACACGAUCAAUGUCCGCAACCCUUCUUUUUAUCUUCUCAAUCUCCCUAGCAAACUCAUCCGCAAAAGAAACCGUCUUUAGGCAACAAAUUGCGCCCUUGAACUUAUUGGAUUGUUCAAUUUUGGGAAGGAAGUCAUCUAAGAGAUCCUCCACAUCACCUGCCAGUUGUUGAAUAUCUUUUAUCAAGUUUUUCACACUUGUAUCGCCUUCAAUUGCCUUGUCCUUUGCGUUGUCUAUGUAUGAUCGAAUGUGUCUCAUUUCUCUCUGGAGCCAAUCGAUGUCUUCUUUCAACCAAUAUAAACGCGUUCCUUCUUGAAAGAGUACAUUUCCAGCUAUUUCAACAGAUUUAUUGAUGACUGCUGUGAGAAGAAUUUCAGCCAUUUCUUUUUCAGUAGCUACAAAAAAUUGAUCAGAAUGAGUAAUUAGAAAGAAGAAGAUAAUUGGUAAAGGAAAAGAAAGGUAAGCUUAGAAUAGUUGGAGUCAACUGCCAAGUCUCCUAAUAAUGUCAAGUAAAUGAAAAACGAAAGAAGAAAGGAACAACACAUGCUCUGGAUAAGAAACUGGUUGAAUAGUCAAAGGAAAUAACACCGUUCGUUCCAAUUUAAAUGUCAUUCUAUUUAAUUCGAUAUAGAAUUUAAGAAACAAACAGUGACUUUUAAUAUUUUGUGGCGGAUUAUUGAUAAUGUACCUUUUUAAAAAAAAAAUUACGUAACUAAGCAAACAUCUUUAGACAGUGGCGUACGCAAGAUAUUUCAUAAGAGGUGUCACAUUUUAAAAUAAAAAUAAAUAAUUAAAAAAUUAAGAUUUAUUUUAGCAUUUUUAUGUGUGUAGCGAAAUAUAUUUAAAUUAAAAAAAUUAACCAAGAAAGAAAAAGGCGGUAUUGAUGUUCGAACACCCAACUUCAAACCAGAAGAUAAGUACCCUAACCUACUGAGCUACGCUCCUAUUUGGUUUAAGGAGUGUCACUUUAUUGUAUUUGUUCUUUGUUUACAAUUUGCUUUCCAAUUAUUUAGAAUUAUUUAAUAAAAAAAUUCGACGAAGCCGUGUCAUGUGACACACCUUCGCCUAAGGUAAAUCCGCCCUGUCUUUAGUAUAUAACUAUCAAUCACACCAUAUGUUAAAAAAAUGUAUUAUAUAUCUAGACGCCAUUUUAUGUUUCCUAACUGUUUGAUGAACGUCUUGCAAAACUUUGCCCAAUUUGGUUCAUGGCUGUGAGUUUGGGCUAUUAUGAGAUUCAAUUUGUAUGUUCCAUGAAAAUUAGGCUUUUAUGCAAUUUGACUCUCUCAAAAUCUUUUGCCAUACUCAUACAGAGUGGGCGUUCGGUUUGAUAUUUAUUUAACUUUGAUUUGAUUUGGUCGUGAGAUAUCAUCAUAAUGACUCGAGUAGAAUGGUCGGAAUUUCUUCACUUUUCUGAUAAGGAGUGUUCUGUUCUAAAUUUACUAAUUCGACUAAUUCAAAUUUGUAUCACGUAAUACUGAUUUGAGAAAGAAAUACUUUUUAUCCAAAAAAAAAUCAUUUUCAGAGCUCGAAUUGAUUUUUUUUUUUGGUUUCAUUACGUGUAAUUUUCAAGUCCUUGUGGUAUCACAACACAGGUUAGGAUAUUUGGAGGUUAUUUCACAAGGACUUACAACAAGAAAAGAAAAAAAAAAGAUAUAAUUUGAGGAAAAUAUGAAAGUCUUGCAUUAAAGUUAAAAAAAAAGUAGUAGUUGUUUGCUCGUGAAGUUCAAAUAUUUUUCACUAAAAUUUAUAGAAUUGAAAUUGAAAAUAGAGUUAGGUUUAAAUUAUUUUUUUCUUGCGAAUGAAAGAACCGAACGAUUGGAGAUUGGAGAAUUUUACCAUCAAACUGCUUUUGAAAUAAAGUGAAAAAUUAUUUCGAAAAAAAAUAUAAAUAAUUCACAUAACAUCCUAAAAUAGCUUUCUCAAUCUCGACAAUUGCUCAUUUAUAAACUACGGAAAAUGGUCAAAAUUGCCCCUGCACUAUGUGAAAUAGACCACUUAUACCCUCCGUUAUAUUUUACGAUAAAAAAUGCCCGGUGUUAUCCUAAGAGACCACAAUUACCCUUAAGACUUAACAGAAAUGAUGCGGCAAGCCACAUGACACUAAUUCCGCCACCUAGGCUUGCCAACUAGGAUACUCACUAAAUUUUUUGACCCAAUUAAUAAUUCAACCCUAACCCAUUUUUGUUGGACCCAACCCACUAAAAUUAAGAGGGAAACAUCAUCUUUUUUUCACCUCAUUCCGUUUUACUAUUAAAUUCACCAAGGACGAUUUUUUGAAGACUUUUACGAGCUUAGCUUACUUGGACCAUGAUUGUGUGCCGCCAUAGAUUUAAAAACUAUGCUCUGGCACCAUUCUAUGCUUAGAAAGCUUGGGCUUGUGUUUUAUGUGGCUUUCCAAAAAAAUUUUGAGAAGCUCCACUUUUGUGAUGAUUAUACCCCACAACCACAAGUUUCUACGUUUUUAGCUUGUCGUCUAGCGGAUUAGCACUACGACAAAUAUAGGAGGGUGAUUGAUAAAAUGUGAAUACAAGAUUAUAAACAUGUAGGGGCAUAUCAAUGUUGCAUCCAUUUGUCUCUUACAGUGAUGAAUUUCAAUGAUUUUGGUUAUAAAGUAUAACACCAUAGAACCAUAAAGUUAAAUUUUCAAGCUUAUGUAUCUUUUCUAGUCCAUUGUGUCAUUAGAUUUUAAAGCUAGCAUUCCUAAGGUAGAGAUGUAAGGUAAACAAAAUAUUUUGCAGGCAAGAGAAACAAAUUAUAUAAAAAUCUUUUGCUUCCCCUGCUUAUUUACAACUAAUUUAUCAAUGAGUUAUUACUUUAAUUUCUUCCCUGGUUUUUUAUAACUUCAUCAAUGUACAUAUAUAUAUAUAUACUUUUGCCUUCAUAAACUUUGGGAGGUUUACAACUCCUUAAAAAAACAGCAAAUUGUUGUACCUUCUCCUCGUUAAUACUGGGUUUGAAACAGAACAUGUGGACUGCAGAUGGAACGGUUAGUUCAACCUCAUGGCUACAACCAAGCUUGAAGUAUAUAGAAGGUUUUGUCCUUACGAUUUGGACAAUAUUCAAAACUUUCAAAAUCUUUCAUCAUGACAAAACAUUAAGGAGUGAGUACGUUCUGGUUGUUGGCAUGUGAUUAAGAGGUUAGUAUGGAUCGAGUUUUGAAAAUAGACUCUUACAAAAAAUACUAAUAAAAUUACAUAUAAUAGAUUCUUGUGAUCCAUCUCUUCUUUGGACUCCGCAUAUAACCGGAAUUUAGUACACAUGGUUAAUAAGUUAUUUAUUUUUUUAUUAUCUUUUUGCAUAAUUGAGAUGCCACUUUUGCUCAUUUUAUAUUCCCUGCUAGUAGAAUUUAAGAAGGUUUACAUGAUUUAUCCACUCUUACAAUCCUAUAUUUCAAGACCUGUAUUAUUUUUAUUGACUAAACAUGGAUAAUGAUAACUACUGUCAAUACUAUUAAAAAUGUUUUCCACGUUAGAGUUGUGGGUUCGAGAAUAGCAGGCUUUAAAUUUGGUAGUUGGAGAAAUGCAUUGCAAGUUAUUUAUAAUGUGGUUCUAUCGUCUACAUUGAGGUGUGAAUAAUUUUGCAAUAAAUUAUUCUAUCCGUUUAUUUUAACUUAUUACAUUUCGUUUUGAGAUUCAAACUAUAUGAAUUUGGAUCAAUAUUUUAAGAUGAAUAAUUUUGCAAUAAAUUAUUACAUCCGUUUAUUUCAACUUAUUACGUUUCAUUUUUUGAGAGUCAAACUAUAUGAACUUUGAUUAACAUUUUAAGAUGAAUAUUUUUGCAAUUAAUUAUUCUAUCCUUUUAUUUUAACUUAUUACGUUUCGUUUUUUGAGAGUUAAAUGAUAUAUAUAUGAACUUUGAGAUGUAUUUUUUCAUCAUAUUAAUAUGAGAAAGAUUGAUCAUAUAUAGUUUUUAAAUAUUUAAAUUUAAAAUUUAAAAUAUUGAGUGAAUUUUAUUCAAUUUGACUCUCAAAGUUAAUCAAAUUAACUCUCAUGAAACAUGACAAAUAAAUCCAUUUUCUUGGUUUUCCACCCGGUACUCACAUCCAAAUCGUUCCACGCAUAUUCAGAAUUAUGGAGUAUUAAAUGAAAUAUUUAGUUCAUGAACUAACUAGUACAAAUUUUUUAAAAUCACCUUAUCGAGCAUAUUAAAUGUAAAUAGUUAACGCAGUAAACUAACCUGUGAGAUUUUCAUAUUCUCAGCUUUGCAAGCCGUUUGGAAAGACUUAUUAGGGAACGGAGUCUUACAAGUAAUAGCAAUAUUGCCGAGAUCACCAAAUGCAUUGUGCUCGGUGUGAGAGGUUGCAUGAAAUUUCUUAGUCUAGCAUUUCUCAUUUGUAUAUCUUUUACGAUUCUAUCUAUUAAUGAUUUUUGUAUAUAUUUGAUUGACAUAUUUCUAUAUUUUCCAACCCAUAGGUAUUUGUAUAAUAUUUUAUAUUUAUGCAAAUCAUCAUAUAAGCAAGAAAUCCGAAUCAAAGAGUAAAUAUAUCAAAAUUUUCAAAAAGAUACCAUACAUACACCACAAAUAAGGUCUACUUUUUUCUAUUGAGAAUAAGAUUUUAAUUUUAUUACUCCAUUAAUUAAAGAUAAAUAAACAUAAAACAAAACAAAGAGAAAUACAGUAUUAAUUUGUUUUUACAAAUCACAAGCAAUUAACUUGAAACAGCAAUCAAACUUUUUCUCUUAUUAUUAGUAUUAUAAUACCAACAGGCAUCAGAAGAUUCUCUCCAACACAGACUUAAAUCAUUUUCAAAGGCAUCCCUGCAAUUUAUUAGAGAUGGAAUAUUUAGUUGAUGAACUAAAUACAAAUUUCAAAAAAUCAUGGAUAUUAAACGUAAAUAAUUAUUUAUAGUACCUGUGAGAUUUUUAUAUUCUCAACAUUGCAAGCCGUUCCGAGACCCUGAGACUAAUUGGGGAAUAAAUGAAUGGGCCUUGUACAAGUAAUAGCUUUUUCAAUUUAGGCAUACUCAUAUCAUCCAUGCACGUUACUUCAGACAACCCUUGUGCAUCCUCAAUAUGUAAAACUUCAAGUUGCGGAAAGCUAUCACCAGAGAGAUCCAUUUUUUCUGCAUCAUGUCUGCACCUAAGCAAUGUAAGUAUCCUUAAUUUGGGCAAUUUCUUAAGCACUGCCAAUAGAUGACCGUCUACCAUCAAGCCGACAAGAGUAAGCUUGACAAGAUUUGGAGGGAAUGCUUCAAUGUUCAAGAGCAUUGCUCUGGAACCAAACAAAACCAAUUUGACAAUAUUUGGAUGGGACGACAAGUUUAUUUGCUCACUCGUGUUCUUGAAAAUUCUGAGCUUCAGAACCUCCAACGCUUUAGGCACAGGGCUCAAUGCUGAUAAUAUCUUAAUGGUAGAACCGGAUACAUCCUUUAUACACAAUGUUCUUAAAUUUAUCAAUCGGUGCAACAAUCUCGGUUCACAAAAUUUAUCAUCCACCCACAUCAAAGUUUGUAGAUUAUUACGAGGCAAUGAGUACACGUUUGGAAAAAAUGGGUUUAUACAAAAGUAAUUGUAAGGUGCUAGAUUAUAACCUAUAGAACGAAGAUGUCUCAAUUGUGUAGACUUCCAAACACCAGUAGGAAGUUUAAUAAAGAAGCUUUUACCAAUAUCUAGGGUCUCUAGAUGUUUGAGCUUCACCAUACAAUUUGGCAGUUUCCCAUUGCACGAAGCUUCUCAAGCUUAGUAUUUGAACGGAAGAACUCAUUCAUGGCAUUAUUAUCAGAGUAGAAUGUAAUCCUUCGCACCCUAGCAACAUUGCUGGGAUCACCAAAUGCAUUGUGCUCGGUGUGAAAGAAGUUACUUUCCUUAGCCAAAUCCACACACAAACUAUGUAACAAGUCAUGUAUGCGACAACUUGAAAUUCUUCCAUCAUAUGUCCUUUCGACAACUUGAAUCAAGUUUCUAGAAACCAAAUCAUUUAGGAUAUCCUCUGCCAAACUUUCAGCCUCUCGCCUAUUACCACUAUAGUUUACAACUAUCAACUUCUCAGCAAUCCACAUAUUUGUCAGAUCAAAAGCACGAAUUUCAUGGUCCUCGGGGUAAAGGCCAAAAUACAAGAAACAUGGCCUUAAUGCAAUUGGCAAAUCAUUGUAACUCAGAGCCAAUACCUUAGCACAUCCAUCUUGAAUUUUAUGACCCAUACUCUCAAGUACUCUGUUCCAUGCACGUUCUGUUCUUUCUCUUGCCCUUAACAUGCCUGCGGUCACCUCAAUGGCUAGAGGUAUACCUCCACAUCUUCCAACUAUACUUCUACCAAUAUCUACCAAGUCUGGUGAAGCAUUGGCCCAAUUAUUAUUGUUAUCAAAAGUAAAGAUUUUCUUGGUAAAGAGUUCAAAACUGUUUUCCGAAUCUAGAGGUUGCAACACGUGUAUUGAGAAAUCCCCUCCUAUGUAUCUGCCUACAUUACUAUUUCGAGAGGUUAUAAUUAUCCUACUGCCAAUUUUUGAAUCACAUUCAGGAAGGACAAGUUUUAGAUCAUCCCAAAUUUCAACAUCCCAAAUGUCAUCUAAGAGAAUAACAUACCUUUUUAUUUUCAAGAGUGAUCGUAGGUUGUUCUCCAAGUUUUCUUUCCUUUCCUCUUCCAUCAGUCCAACUUGUUUGGCUAUGUCAUGUAAGAUUUCUCCCGCCCUUGGCUGUUGUGAAACAUAGACCAGUCCCGAACACUCAAAUUGAUCACGGACUUGCCUAUAAAGUUUCUUGGCAAGAGUUGUUUUUCCUAGACCGGGCAUGCCAACUAUUGAAACAACUCCAUAAGGCAAAUCAUGAUCAAGUAAUUUGGCUUGCAGCUUAUUGAAGUCAUCAUCCAAACCGAUGACCUCUGUUUCAUCAGCAUGAAGGAAUAAUCUUCUUUGGUCCAAUGGAAUGCAAUCAUCACUAUUGUUGUUACUUGUAUCCAUGAUGUUGUAAGUUGUCCUUACACGAUCAAUGUCAGCAACUCUUCUUUUUAUCUUCUCAAUCUCCAUAGCAAACUCAUCCGCAAAAGAAACCGUCUUAAGGCAACAAAUGAAAUUAUUGGAUUGUUGAAUUUUUGGAAGAAACUCAUCUAAUAGAUCCUCCACAUCACCUGCCAGUUGUUGAAUAUCUUUUAAUAAGUUUUUGACCCUUGAAUGGCCUCCAACUUCCUUGGCCUUUGCAUCGUCUACAUAUGAUCGAAUGUGUCUCAUUUCUCUGUGGAGCCAAUCUAUGUCCUCUUUUAACCAAUAUAAACGCGUUCCUUCUUGAAAGAGUACAUUUCCAGCUAUUUCUAUUGAUUUAUUGAUGACUGCUGUGAGAAGAAUUUCAGCCAUCUCUUUUUUCCUUAAAUUUCUUUUUUCUAAAUGUGAGGAUUAGCAAGGGAAAGUAAGAGAAAAUUAAAAGAUGAUCAAUUAUUGGUAAAAGGAUAAGAAAGAUGCAGUAUUUGCUUUAGGUGUUGGAGUCAACGGCCAAGUCUACUAAUAAUAAUGUCAAGUAGAUGAAAAAGAAAGAACAAAUGGACAGAAACAACUACUCCGUUCAUAUUAAAUACAAUAAUUCAUCUUUUCUUAAUCAUAUUAGCUGGUAUUUUGUUUUCAAGCAUGCAGGGGCGGACCCACCGUUACCCGAUGCCCUUCGUCGAAAAAUUACGAGGUCAAAUUUUGAUUUUAUAAAUAUAUAUAUAUAUACAAGUAUUAACACAUCUGGACACAAGUUAAAAGGUUUCGUGUAUUAAGGUGUUACGAAAGUUCCUUGAGGUAGUGUGUUUUUGUGCUAUUAGCCUCAAAUUAUAUUUUUUUAUUACAAUCAUUGACACCUUAAUGACAAUCUUUGGAUCCACGUUAAAAGUCAGACAAUUGAUGCAGUACUACGCGAAAAAUUCAAUGGCAAAGAUGAGUUCACACCGAAGCUUCUGGAAUCUCCUUCGUCCGAUUAUAUUUCAGUUCAUUAAAACAAGGGAUAAGGGCCUGAAAAAUAUUCCAACUUUGGUCGAAUUUGCUGUUACGAUACUAAACUUUCAUGAGGACCUAUUACCUCCCUAGACUAUUUAAUACCGUAUUUUAAACAUAUAUAUUUGCCCACGUGGACAUAAAAAAUAAUGCAAAAUUAUAAAUAGUAAUGUGUCCACGUGGACACAUAUAUACCUUUAAAAUACACUAUUAAAUAGUUCAGGGGGUAAAAAAUACGGUAUUAAAUAGUCUAGGGAGAUAAUAGGUCCUCAUAAAAGUUUAGUAUCGCAACAACAAAUCCGACCAAAGUUGGGGUAUUUUUCAGACCAUUGUCCCUUAAAACAAGGCAAAAAUACUCAUUACCCCCUUGAACUUGAAACUUUUUAUACGGUGUGCACCUAAACUAAAUUCCAUUUUAAUUAACUCCGAACUUGUUUAUUCCUCCAUCACGUACAUCUUUUUCGUCCACCUGCUCCUAUUGUGUAUUCCUCCAUUAUGUACACCUUUUUCGUCCACCCGGUCCUAUUGUGACUACACGCGCGCGACAGCUGGCAAAAGUGGUGAUGUGGAUUUCCACCUGGAUAUAUAAUAGCCACCUAGAUAAAUUAAUAUUGCAAAAAAUAAAUUUCCUAAAUUUAAAAUUCAUUGUUUAAAAGUUAUUUUUGAAUAAGGGUUGAUUUCGCGGAACUCCUUGAAUUUCAAAUUUGUCUGAAAUUCUUACCAAGUAAGUGUUAAUCUUUGUUUCCUUUACUUUUCAUUUACAUUUUCGUCGCGUACACCUUUUUUUUCCACUUACUCCUGUUGGGACUACACGCGCGCGACAGCUGUCUAAAUUGGUGAUGUGGAUUUCCACCUGGAUAAAUUAAUAUUACAAAAAAAAAUAUUCUUAAAUUUUAAAUUCAUCGUUUAAAAGUUAUUUUUGAAUAAGGGUUGAUUUCGCGGAACUCCUUGAAUUUCAAAUUUGUCUGAAAUUCUUACCAAGUAAGUGUUAAUCUUUGUUUCCUUUACUUUUCAUUUACAUUUUGCCCUAUUUUUCAUUUAAAAUAUGCCAAAUAUUAAACAAAAAUGGAGAUUUUACGUUGUUUUUUUUUACCGUUGUAGCUUUGUGAUGUGGCAAAAAAUCACUUCCUCACGCGCCUAGUAGAGUGUGUUGUCAAUUUCUACACCAGGUGGACGAAAAGGUGUACGCGACGGAGGAAUAAACAAGUUCGGGGGGGUAAUUAAAACGGAAUUUAGUUUAGGUGUACACCGUAUAAAAAGCUUCAAGUUCAGGGGGGGUAAUGAGUACUUUUGCCUUAAAACAAUUGUUAAAUCUUUAUUAUAUAUUUCAUUUUCAAACAAGAAUAAAGAAUUUUUAGAGUCGUCAGCCGAUUGAAGCAGUAUAUGAUUAUCCCACUAGAAUAUAUAUAUAUAUACGUGGCACUAUCUUGUGGGCCUAGCGCGUGUUGACAAUUUUUUCAAGGAUAGUGCCACGUAGGCCGAAAAGGGGUAGAAAAUUAUAUAUAAAAUAAAUUCAAGGGGGUAAUAGGACCUUAGUAAAAGUUAGGUGUGUCUCAGAGAUUUUGGGCAUAGAAUGGGGGUACUUAUGCAUUUUCCCUAUAUAUAUCACCAAAGAUCGACGACCUUGGCUAUAUUUAUAUUGGAAAAAUGUUAGAAAAUAUUUUAUAUAAAAUAUAACAUAUUGUUUAUAUAUAAAUAUAUUUGCAUACUAAGAUUGUUCGGUUCGAAAGGUUUUUGAUUUUA
Molecule: long non-coding RNA, 133533 nt
Filed under: Solanum tuberosum (potato)
Lineage: Eukaryota; Viridiplantae; Streptophyta; Magnoliopsida; Solanales; Solanaceae
Description: long non-coding RNA (STUB_LNC009461)
Source: RNAcentral